GGCUAAAUGCAUGCUUAACACCUAGGGUGUUACAGCGGUCCUCUGCAUCCCCAUGUCGACGGCGAUGAUACUCGUUGAUGUUGUGCCGUGCGUCGUGUCGCCGUUGAUUAUCGACGGGGUGGUUUUGGACAAGCGCUGCCUUCUUUCCUCGAGGGGGUGGUUGCUGAUGGACUGACACCUCCUUCUCAUUUUGGAUCGGCUCAUCACGCUUCUCCGUGGCUGCUCCUCUGCUUUCUCCCCGUGGCUUCUGGAGUCUUCUAGAUGGUAGAAAAUUGUGCGGUGCGUUGAUAUCUCUAUGUAAUCCCGACAUGUGGGCCUUUCUUCCUUAUUUCCUGAUAACCCCCUGCAGAAAUAGACAAACACCAAAACUCGUGGAAUUCUGUCAGAUAAAACCCUAAGUCUGGGUGUUGGUUGCAUUUGGAUCCUUUUCUUUAUUUAUUUCAUGAUUAUAUUUGGUACUUAAGGACCGUCAACAACUCCCCCAAGCUUACCUCUUGCUCGUCCCUGAGCAAGGAUGAACUCAAGAGUUUCUGCAGUGGUUUCAUGCCUUAAAAGUACACACGCAUUCAAGCAAGAUCUCAUCUCUGACUUAGAAUAAACUGUUAAGACUUAAAACUUACUCAUUUUACCUUUCACCAUGGGGCUUGUAACCGUUACCUGUGUCUUGAGCAGUUAAAAGAUAGAAUGGUCUAGUCAAGCGCCAUGUUUCUUAUUCUUGAUCAGCUAUAGCUCUGGAGUUUUUACAGAUUUUCAAACAAAACUCAGAGAUUCCUUAUAUGAUUCUCUCAAAUCUCUCUUUUGUGGUGUUUCUGGAUCCUUGCCAAGGCAGUAAUGGUAUAUGCCUUCUCUCAAAGUAUGUAGUAUUUGUGGUAUGAGGCAUAGUGAUAUUGCUUUCUCUCUUACCCUACUCUAAUAAGGUUUUGAUAUCUAGAGCUCAUAGGUGGGAGACAGCUAAUACAUACUUACAAGACAUUUAUUGCAUAGUCAAACCAUGGAUCCAAAAGAACAAAUCAAUAAGUCAAAUCAAGAUAUGCAUGUGUGGCGAAUGAAUGAUGUAUGGUAAUGAUUGUGAUAACAAUGGUGAAAGACUAAUUCUACUUGUGCUCUUUUGAGGGGAUACAUACCUUUCUUGCUCUUUUGAAACUUUUUGAGGAGAAUGAGAUGCUCUAUAUUUUCUUUUUCUUUUCUGUCAGGUGGGUAUCUUGUACCCCUAGUUCUACUGUCGGACACUUAUCCAUUUUUACCUCUCGUCUCACUUUUUCUUUUCUUCGAGGUUCCGGGCACUUGCCCCUUUUUAUUUCCUCGUAUUAUAUUUAUUAUUUUUUUAUUUUUUUUAGAGCACUCAUCUCCUAAAAGAAUGUAGCAAGUGGUAGUAACCAAAAUAACUGGAGCAUUUAUUUCACAGGGAAUAACAGGGAUAGGAAAAUGUUUCUGGCUAUUCUCUCCCAGAUUAGGAGUAGAAUAAUUUUGAGUGAAUCUGGAGAUGGAAAUGAGUGGAUGUAUGUGGAUGUGUACUUCCGGAGUAGAAGCAGCAUAUACGAGUGAACAUACAAGUGAAUCUUGAUUUUAACCACAUGACAAGCUCCUAAGGGUCUACACAGCUUGACCACACUCAAUGCUUAUAAGCAGUAAAAAGUAAAUGUUUGGCUCAAAGUCUAAUAACCAUGUAUAUGUGGCUGUGGUAGGAUUUUAAACUCUCAUCAUACAGGAACUCAUCAUGUGAUAUUUUAAAGAUUUUUCAAAGAUAAAAUUCUCCAGAAUUCUAGCAUCUCUAGGAACAGAUAAACAGCAGCUCAACCUUCCCAUAUCGUAUCCGUUAACAACUUAGACUUUAGAUCAAGUACUCUUCCCACAAGUUCAGGUUUAGAGCAAAUCUUACUUCAUAACAGUCAUGCCUAAACUUGAGAGAGAUUUCAAUUUUAAGAACUAGUCAUGGCAGUGCAACUAUUCAUCAUUUCCAUGUGAGAGUUUAUCAUGAGGGUUCAUAGCAAACUUUAUUUAUUUAUUUAUUUAGCAAACUAAGAAAAGAUAUAUAUAUAUAAAAGCACAAAAUCAUUAUUUGGAUUUCCAUGAUUAUGCAUCUUUUAUUAUUUGAGUAAAGUAUAAACGCGAGUAGAAACACUUAGCUGGAUAAAUGGGGGUGCUCUCCCCCAAGCUAGAUUUUGAUGUAAUUUCUUCUGAUGUAGCUAGCAGGUGGCGGAGGUGUAUUUGAAUGUCGGCAGCACCCUAACAGCGAUUAGAAUGUCCUCCGUCUGCUAGUCUUCUUUGAUCCUUGAAUUAUGUGGAGCUCAAAUAGACAACAAAGCUUUGUGGAACUGAUUAGGUGUCAGCAUAAAAUCUCUUUGCCUUUAUCAUGUUGAGCCUCUUCAAUAAAUAUUACUUAUUUAGCAGGAUCAUGCACUUAUUAUUUUUAUAUUUUUAUUAUAAGAUGAAAACUUAUUUAUUUUAUUUUUAUGCCACCACAGUGAAUGUACUUAUGGGUUUUAUGCCAUGAGCAUACUCGCAUGGGGCUUACUAUUUUUUUAACAUUUUUAUUUUCUUUUCAAGAUAGCAUGAACCGGAUUAACUAAGCAAACUAUUGAAUGGAAAAGGAUAACUACCAAGUUUACCUCUUGGCAAGGCGUUCGGUAUUUUUAAAUCCUCCGAACGGGACUCUCCGUUUUCUCAAUCGUCCUGGGAUUCGCUGGAUGGCGUAGUCGGUGGUUCCGGCGGCGCCUCUUCUUCGUGUAUAACUAUCUUCUCUCUCCACACCUGACUCGGUGCUACGGUCUCCUCAGGACAGUUCUGUUCAAGCUAUAUGUCUUCAGACCUUAUCACUUCUCCUUCAUAGUCCACCCAUCCGUCCUUGAUGAUUUGCCUCCUCUGGUUGCGGUUGCGUUGUCUUCUUCUUGUCCUGACCUGCUUAGAGUCUUCAACUAUAUAGUUAGGGUCAGUAAAAUAGCGGCAUACCUUCUCAGAGGGGAAGUACAUGUGGACUUCUCCGAUUCCAAUGUAGAUGAUAACUUUGAUAGUGUUGAGGAAUGGUCUUCCAAAGAUGAUGGGUGGAUCGUACUCGUCUUCUCCCAUGUCAAUGAUCUGAAAAUCAUCUGGAGCUGAAUAUAUAUUGGUUGUUGGGGCAUGGUUCCAUGCAGGAGCUGAUAAGUGACUGUGGCCAUUAUGUUGUCAUCAGAUCCGGUGUCGUAGAGUGUCUUCUGAAAAGAGUAUCCAUUGACUGUGCACUCGAUGCUUGGAACACCAGGGUCAUCCUUCUUAAUCCGGAAAGGCGACUUGAGUCGACGAUCUUGACCUCCUCCGACAAGGAUCCAAUGUUUUAAGUCUUCUGGUCAAGACUUCUCACCGUCUUCAUCCUUUAGGUGCAUCAUUUGAUUAGGAGUGGACCUUGACGUCUGCACCUCUUGAUACGGUGUCACCCAUGUUCUUCGUUUGCCCAGCAGUUCGAAGUGCGGUGUGGGCAGUAUCUUGCUCAGUGUGUUUGUGCUCGUAGAUGUAGGUCCUUCACUUGGUGGAGUCUGGGAGUUGUAAAAUUCCUCCAUGUUUUGCUUGAAGUGUACCUAUUCAUAGAGACAAGGCAGAGAUCAAGUGCAUGGGCCCUGUUGGUGGAAAACACCAACAGAACCAGAAGUGUAAUUGUUCUUCUCUAACCUUAAGCAUAGUGAGCAAGACAAAGUUGAUGGAUCAUGAGUGUAGCAUUUAAAACACUUGCCAGAUCAGAUUGCUUGACCUAAUGGAAAGAUAAUCUAUAUAUAUAUAUAUUUUGUUUAUAUCUUCUAAAGAUUGAAUGUGCAACAUAUUAGCUUACAUGAUUAGGAGCGUGGGAUCACGAAGGUAGUACUAAGAACAAAGAUUAAAGGACUAAACAUGUCGAAUUAAUUGAGUUGGUUAAUUUGGAGUUACAGAUCAUACAUUUUUGUCUCUUUAUUUUGUGUGAAUGCCAGAACCAAGGAGAAGUUUAUAAAAGUGAUAGUCAAGUAACUUAAGGUGUUACCUUACUUGAAGAGUGAUGGUAUAGUAUCACCUUGUGGAAGCUUUCCUUUCUUAGCGGUUGUGCAUCGUGUUUGUGGCACCCUCCAUGAAUCAUCUCUUAUGAGCUACGUCUUUCUUGUGCAAAUUGUUAAACUUCAUGUGUCACUUUCUUCAUCUCCAAUGUGAGUUUAUCUCAGGACUUCCUGUUGAUAUUUGGGAAUGCAAUAAGGAAUUGAUCCGCAAGCGCACGGAUAUCGGUGAGCACUUCACUCGGGAGGUUAUCCAGAGUAUCGUAUUUAUUUUUUUACCACUAGGAGAAAGAGUGCAUCUGACUAACCGGUCUAUUACUACUAACCCGUUAGGCAACAAAGAAUGUCUCUCGAUGUGAGUGAUAAAUAGAGAAGACUGCAACUAUAGUCUUCUUCUAACCUUGGUAAGGAUGAUCUACUGUUCUAUUGGGGAGCCUAACGGAAUCUAGACACCACAAAGGAUGUUCAACCUGCACCUUAAACCCUAUCCUUCCUGUUAACGAGAUAUGCUCUGCAAAGGUAACUCGGAAUUGUCACGUUCCUCACUACUACCACAGUCUAGCUAGUCAGGGAAUAUCUAUGAGUACCCCAGCCCAAACACCAUGUUUACGCCAACAAUGAAUACUCUAAACUCUACGCGAAGAGAUUAAAGUAAACUCAUAAACCAGAAGAACAAUAAAACAAGAACUACUAGAAUUUAGAAGUCAAAAUACUGAAGAAUCCUAGGAGCAAGCUUCGUGUUAGGAGAACUUGAUCCCACAGGUACAAGCUUGGAGUAGACACCGACAGGCCGGGCUUCCUCCAAUCUACACCUCCACUCUAUUUCUCUCAAUCUAGUAGAAACUAGAAGAUCUAUUUCUACUUUACAUUGGUUGCUAAGCCUAAAAAGAAAUAUUAAUUAGAGAAGAGGUUUUCCUUCGAGGGCACCCCUCAAUCUCUAUGAUAAUUUAUUGUCUCCUCCAGGGGCCAGGGGGGUCUCCUUAUAUAGUCCUCCUCCUCUAUGCGUUUUUGGGUCGGUAGGCGAGGUGGUACUACGUUAUUCUUGAUCCAAUAGGUCGGUGGAACAUCAUGUGCGAAGAGAGUCCUGAACGGAAUCCAGCAGGGGGCGGGCGCCCUGGGCCUGGCCCCUUUCGGCCUCUACUUUCUUCCCGUGGCUUCUGGAGUCUUCUAGAUGGUAGAAAAUCGCGUGGUGCGUUGAUAUCUCUAUGUAAUCCCGACAUGUGGGCUUUUCUUCCUUAUUUCCUGAUAACCCCUGCAGAAACAGAUAAACAACAAAACUCAUGGAAUUGUAUCAGAUCAAACCCUAAUUCUAGGAGUUGGUUGCAUAUUGGUCCUUUCUCUUGUUUAUUUGAUAAUUAAAAUUGAUACUUAAGAACCGUCAACACUUCCUAGGUUGAUAUUGAAAGUUUUCCUGCAGCGGUUAGUCCCACAAAAUAUACCAAUAUCUACUCAAGCAGUUUUCAAUUCAGUAACCAAACUAGACUCCAUGUCUAAUCAGAUUAAGGAAGGCUAUUUAACCUAAGCACCAUGCUUAAUUUAAAUGCCAAUGGAAGUAUGUCGAGUACUUCCAAACCAACACUUGCUAGUAAAUAGAUAAAGGUAGCAUGACAGCUUUUAUAGAGAUCUACUCAAGUGGAGAUGAAGUAGUGUGAUUAGUACUUAACAAAUUGAGCAUCUCUCAAAGGUGGGGACAACCAACAUAGCAACAUGGCAAAGGAUGUUUUUAUGUAAAGUACUCCCCCAAGCUUGAAUUUUGCGAAAUUCAAGUUUGGAUGAAUUUAAUUCAAUGUUGUAUGAUGGUUGGUUGGACAUACCUUGUGCUUGUCAUUCAUCCGAUCUUCUUGCUCCAAUCCUGGAAAGGUUAGUGGCAAGAAUACCCAAAGGAAUAUUUCUACAAUUAUCUCAAUAUGCUCAAUACACGAGGCAAUGUUGCAAAUUCAUGUUACGAUCUGAUAAGUGCUUGUUUAAGGACGCUAAGCUUAUCCUUGGGAAACCAUGAAAUUAUGUCGGCGAAGUGGUUUCCCCACCAACGCUGACGUAUAUCAAGAUCAACUCAACGAGAUCUGCAAUAUUUAUUAUAGACAUAUGCAUCGACAACCGCCCUUUUAAAGUUUUUAUAAAUAGAAAAGAAGAGGGGGUUGGAGAUCUCAAAUGUGGUAAGGUUGGAGAGACCAAUUGAUUGGGGAGAUGUUUUAUAUGAGCAAGGACUUGGUGAGGUAUUUAUGAAAUAACUUCCAUGCUCACUGUUGUUUCUCUCAUUCUCAAACUCCAAGGAUGAUUCUUCAUGAAUGCUGAAAAUUCCUCUAGGAUUGUUUCUCAAGUUUGUUUUAUCUAUCCAUUCAAUGGUGAUAGCACAUGGAUUUUUAAUGCCCUCUAGCCAUUGAUGUUGCUCUUCUCGAUCCUCCUUCUUAUGCAUGGGAUGUCUAGAGAUAUUCAUAGGAUUAUCGGGAGGUUCAAGAGAAAGAGCAUAGCAGAAACUAUUAAGCUCAAGGAUGGGAUGGAUAGCCGAAUCAUGGGAUUGAAAUGUUUGGAAAUUGGCUAUUGAAACUUCCUUUCCUCGUCUGGGAGAUGAUUCCUUCUCUAUCUCUAAGAUUUUUCUAUGAAGACUAGUAUAAGAAGGAUGUCCAAGAAUGAAGACAUACCUUCCUUUACUAAUAGAUAAAGAAAGAAAGACUCUACCAAUGGUUAUAUAAUUAAGACCAAUGUGAAAAUAUCGAGAAAAAAACAUGGUCUUGUAGGGCUAGGUCUAAACCAGAAUUUAUAGAAAGAUUAACAAAUUCCCUAGGUGUAGCUAAAAGUGCAUUAUCUUUUUGAUUAAAAGAUAGGACCUCAGCUAUAGAAAAGGGUUGGUUUUGACCUAUUGCAAUCAACUCCGGACACAGAUCAUAAUUAGGAGCAGGACUUGUUGACUCCCAUGGUCUAUGGCUGGUCUCCGAAGGUGCAAAGAAUUCAAUAAUAGGUAUGGAAUUUAAGUUGUCCAUAAAGAUAAAAAAAUAAAGGAAUAAAAGUAUAAAAGUAUAAUACAAGAUAAUAGCAAGACUCAAAGUUAUCUCAGCAAACCGUAUUUCUCCCCGGCAACGGCGCCAGAAAUGGUUGUUGAUAUUUGGUAACACAAUAAGGAAAUGAUCCGCAAGCGCACGGAUAUCGGUGAGCAAUUCACCCGGGAGGUUAUCCAGAGUUAUCGUAUUUAUAUUUUUACCACUGGCAGAAAGGGUGCAUUUGACUAACCAAAUCUAUUGCUACUAUCCCUUUAGGCUACAAAGAAUGUUUCUCGAUGUGAGUGAUGUAUAGAGAAGACUGCAACCGUAGUCUCGUUCUAACAUUGGUAAGGAUGAUCUGCUGUUCUAUUGGGGAAGCUUACGGAUCUAGACACCACAAAGGAUGUUCGACCCGCACCUAUAAACCUACACAUCCUGCUAACAAGAUAUGGGAUACAAAGGUAACUCGGAAAUGUCGCGUUCCUCGCUACUACCACGGUCCAGCUAGUCAGGGUGUACCUAUGAGUACCCUAGCCUAAACACCACGUUUACGCUAGCAAUGAUUACUCUAAUACUCAACCGGAAGAGGAUUAAAGUAAACUCAUAAACCAAAGAACAAUAAAACAAUAACUUACUAGAAUUAGAAGUCGAAUUACUGAAGAAUCUUAGGAGCAAGCCUCGGGUUAGAAGACUUGAUCCUGCAGGUACAACUCGGAGUAGACACAGAUAGGCCAGCCUUCCUCCGAUCUACACCUCCACUCUAUCUCUCUCAAUCUAGUAGAAACUAGAAGAUCUAUUUCUACUAACAUUGGUUGCUAAGCCUAAAAAGAAAUUUUAUUUAGAGGUUUUCCUUCGAGGGCACCCCUCAACUCUAUGAUAACUUCUUGUCUUCUCCAGGGGCCAGGGGGGUCUCCUUAUAUAGUCCUCCUCCUCUAUGCGUUUUUGGGUCGGUAGGCGAUGUGGUACUAUGUUAUCCUUGAUCCUUUAGGUCGGUGGAACAUCGUGUGCGAAGAGAGUCCCAAAUAGAGUCCAGGACAGGGCGGGCGCCCAGGGAAGGAGGGCGGGCGCCCUGGGCCUGGCCCCUUUCGGCCUCUGCUUUCUCCCCGUGGCUUCCGGAGUCUUCUAGAUGGUAGAAAAUUGUGCGGUGCGUUGAUAUCUCUAUGUAAUCCCGACAUGUGGGCCUUUCUUCCUUAUUUCUUGAUAACCCCCUGCAGAAAUAGACAAACACCAAAACUCAUGGAAUUCUGUCAGAUAAAACCGUAAGUCUGGGUGUUGGUUGCAUUUGGAUCCUUUUCUUUAUUUAUUUGAUGAUUAUAUUUGGUACUUAAGGACCGUCAAGAGGCGCGUCGUCACCCAACGUCGUCGCGCGAUCCUCGUGACGUCGGGCCGUCGCACCCACGGCUCGGGCGCGCGGGGUUGUCGGCUCCUACAUCACCACCCUCCUGGCACGAGCUGGCGACCGUGAGGAGGUGGAGGAGUGGUGGCAGCGCUGUCCACGCCUCUUCUUGGGCGGGGAGGCAUGGUGGCGAGGCCGUCUCGGAGCCCUCAAUCGCGAGGGCGCAACGCGAGCUCCUCCCGGUCCUUUGACCGAGAGCAGGAUCAUGUCGUAGCCGAAACUGGUAGACAUGAACAUGAGGCUCCCAAACCAAAUUGCCGUGGAGCGCAGAUUCGGCGAAACGAGAGUGUCCAUCUGGAAAGAGAUCGGAAGUUGGUGAAAAACACGCAGGACCCCUACGUGGCACGCCAACUGUCGGUGUUUUCCCCCCGGGGGGUCACACCAACGAGUAAAACUAGUGCGUGCUCCCCUUCCCAGAUGGUGAUGCAAUAAAAGACACAAAGAUUUAUCCUAGUUCGGGCAAGAGAAGGCCCUACAUCCAGCGGGGGGGAGUUUCUAUUAUCUUGCACCUAAGUGCUUGUACAGGGGUGAAUACAAGUGUGGUAUGGAUGGAGGUGGAGUAUGGUCGCUCUUCUACCUAUAUCUAGUGUUGUGUAUCCGCUCCUGAGCCUCCCCUUUUAUAGUUCCAAGGGGAGGCCUAGGUUACAUGCAGAGGCAACAGAGUAGGGGUCGAUAGGGGUGUGGCGCGCUGACCUGCUCGAGGCCUCCGUACCGGCGUGGCCUCGAACCGUCUUGUCUCGGUACCUUGAUGAUGAUUACACGUGCCCCUGAAUCCUGCUCCUGUGCGCCGUCUUGGACCAGUUUAUCCGUUGCACGCUUGUAUGUCGUGGCUGCAGCCGCAUCAGAGUGGUUGAGGUGCCGCCCUUCGCCGCCUGACCCUUCUCUGGGAAGGAACAUGCCUGCUCGAGGGUCAGGUGCUGCACAAAGCCUUGCUGAGCAGAGCGCUGACUUUGGGCGUCUCGAGGGGGUCUUGACGGGACGUUCCGACCACCUCGCUGCACCCUGCCAUGCUCUGGCUCGUUUGGUGGGCAAGGAUGCAAAAAAGAACGAUUGGACGGGUGCUUGUUCCCUAUCACGCUUCCCGUGACUGACGGCUUAGGUGAGAACGCAGCAGGCGCAUUAAAUGCCCUGGUUCCCGUGCCCGCGUCAGGCGGCGGGUGGCGUCCUUGCGCUUGAGACCUUUUGAUUCGCACGAGCCUCUUUCCGUAUUCGACGGUCGCCGUUUGGUCGAGCCCUAGUUGGUUCGCACGACGCUCUUUCCGUGUUUGAGGCUGUGGACGUUGAUACCCGUGCAUGCGGCUGGGGGGCGUCGAGUCGGGGACCUUGAUUUACGUAUGGGUGCUUUCGUCAUGUGCGUCAGUUAGGGUACCCCUUACUGAUACCCUCGACAAUGAUUGACUGGGGGGGCAGACUCAGAGUGCACAACAGGCUUGGUGAGCAUGUCGACUAUUUUCCCAGAAACCAAGAGGAGCUUGAGGAGAUGGCAGAUGCGCGUGUCCCCGAUGAGUUUAUAUUUUGUAGGGAUGCUAAUACUUAUCGGAUGGAAUCAAGGGAAAAUCGUCGUCAUUCGGUGAGGCAGCCACAACUUCCCCCAUGUUGCCUAGAGGGGUUGACCAGGACACAGAAAAGAAGGUUGCAGCGAGAGCGACAAGAAGAACUUAGUAGGGGAGAGAAUUCUGCUAAGUCUGGAGAUCGGCAGCAAUCAGAUCCUAAGGGAAAAGGCCCAUCAGCAGAUGUUAAUAUGCUGUUUAUGUUGCCGAUGGAAUUCCUUGCACCUUUUAGUGAUGAUGAGAAAAUAGAUUUCCACGAUCAGAUAGCUCAGUUGGCUCUGGACCCGAUGGCAACACCUUAAAGCUUUAUUCGUCAAAGAUAGGGUUGAUCGGCAGCCGAUGACCAAGAUACUCGUUGAUGGUGGGGCUGCUAUCAAUAUUAUGUCAUAUGCAGUCUAUCGGAAGCUGUGAAAAGGAGAUCAAGAUUUGACCAAGUCUGAUAUGAUGUUAAAGGAUUUUGAAGGAAAUGUGUCUCCAGUCAAGGGCUAUAUGCGUUGAGUAGAUCAUCGGCAGCAAGACCUUGCCGACAACUUUCUUUGUCAUCAGUGGAAAGGGUGCUUAUAUUUUAAUUUUAGGGAGAGAUUGGAUUCAUGACAAUUGUUGCAUCCCAUCUACAAUGCACCAAUGCUUGGUUCAGUGGGUAGGUGACAAGAUUGAAAUUGUCCUAGGAGAUUCUUCAUAUGUCGUUGCAUCGGCAGAGGCAGAUACUUAUGAGAGGACCAGAUGCAUUUCACGAGAGGUUUGGGAGAAGGAUUUUCUCAAAGUUGCCGAUUAUGAGAUUCCACCGAUCCAAGCAGUUGGUUCUGAUGAAGGGUUUUAAUGUAUAAGUUCGCCGAUGACGGAAAACUAGGCCAGGGGUUUACAUCGGCCGAUGAUUUAGUAGAAGUAGGUAUAGGUAAUGGUGAUAGGCCAAGGCCUACUUUUAUUAGUGCUAAGUUAGAUUAUGAGUGUAAGCAACAAUUAACCGAUUUGUUAAAGCAAUAUAAAGAUUGAUUUGCUUGGAAUUAUACCGAGAUGUCUGGUUUACACCGAUCGAUUGUUGAACAUCGGUUGCCUAUCAAAUCUGGAUUUCGGUCGCAUCAGCAGCCAGCACGCCAAUGCAAUCAUAAUAUUCUCCCUGAUAUUAAGGCCGAAAUAACUAAACUUAUUGAAGCCAAAUUUAUUCGGCAGUGUCGGUAUGCCGAAUGGAUUUCCAAUGUUGUCCCUGUUUAUAAAAAGAAUGGGAAACUCCGUGUCUGCAUUGAUUUCACGAAUCUUAAUAAAGCUACGCCAAUGGAUGGAUAUCCAAUGCCAGUUGCCGAUUUAUUGGUUGAUGCUGCAGCUGGAUAUCGGAUUAUUAGUUUUAUGGAUGGUAAUGCAGGUUACAAACAAAUAUUCAUGGCUGAAGAAGAUAUUUCCAAGACAGCAUUUAGGUGUCCUGGUCAUGUUGGAUUGUUUGAAUGGAUAGUCAUGACCUUUGGCUUGAAGAAUGCUGGUGCCACUUAUCAGAUAGCUAUGAAUUUUAUCUUUCACGAAUUCAUCGGCAAGGUAGUUUUAAUUUAUAUUGAUGACGUGGUGGUUAAGUCUGGAGAUUUCAUAAAGCAUCUGGCCGAUCUGCGAAAGGUGUUGGAAUGCACAAGGAAGCACGACUUAAAGAUGAAUGCUAAUAAAUGUGCAUUUGGUGUAUCGGCAGGUCAGUUUCUUGGUUUCAUGGUGCAUCAAAGAGGGAUUGAAAUUAGUAGGAGAUCUAUUGAUGCCAUCAACAAGAUAGUUGCUCCCACCAAUAAGACUGAACUUCAAUCACUAAUCGACAAGAUAAAUUUCAUCACACGAUUUAUAUCUAAUUUGUCUGGUGAGAUUCAUGCUUUUAGUCCGUUGCUUAAGUUGAAAGUCGAUCAUGAGUUUGUAUGAGGGAGAGAGCAACAGUUAGCAUUAGACGAAAUCAAGAAUUAUUUGACAAAUCCUCCAGUUUUGAUUCCAGCUCAACAAGGAAAGCCUUUCAGAUUGUAUUUAUCUACCGAUAGGAUGGUCAUCGGUUCGGCUGUGAUUCAGGAAUUUGAAGGGAAAGAACGUGUGAUUUAUUAUCUAAGUAGAAGACUGGUGGAUGCUGAAACAAGGUUUUCGGCAAUUAAAAAACUAUGCUUAUGCUUAUACUUUUCAUAUAUCAAAUUGAGACAUUAUUUGUUUUCGGUCGAAUGCACUAUUAUAUGCAAAGAUGAUGUAGUCCGGUACAUGUUAUCGAGGCCUAUUAUGAGUGGUAGAGUCGGCAAAUGGAUUUUGGAAUUGUCGGAAUUUGAUCUGCGUUAUGAAUCGGCUAAGGCAGUUAAAGGGUAGAUUAUGGCCGCUUUUGUCACUCAACAUUGCGGUGUAGUGAAUACUUUGGAAAUCGUUCCUUGGACGCUCUUCUUUGAUGGAUCUACAUGUGACCGGGGGGCAGGAGUCGGCAUAGUACUAAUUUCUCCUCGAGGAAAGAAAUAUGAAUUUUCUCUGUCGAUUAUUGCUACAUCAACAAAUAAUCAAGCUGAGUAUGAAGCUCUAGUCAAAGGGUUGGAAUUAUUAAAGGAGCUUGAUGCUGAUGCUGUUGAGAUCUUCGGCGAUUCUAUGCUUGUUAUAAAUCAGUUGGUUGGAAUUUAUGAAUGCCGAAGUGAGGUUUUGAUAACCUAUUAUGAAAGGAGUAUACAACUGUUAAGGGAAUUCAAGGAUUUCCGAUUGGAGCAUGUUCCUCGAUUACAUAAUGAAAAAGCUAAUCGGUUGGCUCAGCAUACUUCGGGAUAUCAACCCAUCUUGAGUAUAUUAUCGGCAAUCAGUGCCGAUGAUUGGAGAAAGGAAAUUGUUGACUAUCUAAAAGAUCCAUCCAAGAAGGUUGAGAUGCGUGUUAGGUUUCAGACUGCAAAGUAUGUAUUCCUUGAAGAAGAGUUGUAUUAUCGGACGGUGGAUGGAGUUUUGCUCAGAUGUUUAGGUGAUGAUGAAGCUAGAAGUUUGAUGGGCGAAAUUCAUGAAGGAGUAUGUGGAGCUCAUCAAUCGGCUUUUAAUAUGAAAUGAAUGAUUAGAAGGAAUAGAUAUUAUUGGCCGACUAUACUUGAAGAUUGCUUUAAAUAGUUCAAAGGGUGUUAAGGAUGUCAGAAGUUUGGCAAUAUUCAAAGGGCACCUGCAUCAGCCAUGAAUCCUAUUAUUAAGCCUUGGCCGUUCCGAGGAUGGGCUAUUGAUCUCAUUGGCCAGAUUUAUCCGCCAUCAAGCAAGGGGCAUAAGUUCAUCUUAGUUGCCACUGAUUAUUUUACUAAAUGGGUUGAAACUAUUCCUUUGAAGAAAGUGACAUCGGCUAACAUGAUUGAUUUUGUAAAGGAACAUAUUAUUUACCGAUUCGGUAUUCCUCAAACAAUCACUACCGAUUAGGGUACUAUGUUCACAUCAGGAGAGUUUGAUGAGUUUGCAAUCGGUAUGGGGAUUAAUGUGUUGAAUUCUUCUCCUUAUUAUGCUCAAGCAAAUGGACAGGCCGAAGCUUCCAACAAAGGGAUUUUUAAGCACAUCAAGCAAAAAAUUGAAGAGAAUCCUAGGAGAUGGCACACAUUGUUAAAUGAAGCUUUGUUGUCAUAUCAGAUGGCAUGCCAUGUAUCAACCAAAGUUUCGCCCUAUCAAUUGGUGUAUGGGCACGAUGCGGUGUUGCCAUGGGAAAUGAAGACUAGAUCUAGGCGGGUAUCCUUCCAAGACCAAUUGGCUGCCAAUGACUAUGCUACUUUGAUGAAAGAUGAGUUGGAUGAUUUGGCAGAGCAUCGGUUUAGAGCUUUGAUGAGUAUAGAAGAAAAUAAAAAGAGGGCUGCUAAAUGGUAUGAUAAAAAGGUAAAAGCUAAGGAGUUUGCCGAUGGAGAUUUGGUAUGGAAAUUAAUUCUACCGAUCAGGACUAAAAGUUCAAAGUUUGGAAAAUAGUCUCCUAAUUGGGAAGGUCCUUAUCGGAUAAAUCGGUCUGCCCCUGGUAAUGCUUAUAUUUUAGAAACUCUCGAAGGAGUUGAAUUUCCCAUAGCAUUAAAUGGAAAAUAUUUAAAGAAUUAUUACCCAAGUAUCUCGGUUGAUGCAUAGAAGUUCAAGUGCCGAUAACACUCCUAUCGGCUGGAUGAAAUAUAUCUGAGAACAUGCAUAAUGUUUUAAAAAGUGCCGAUAACAGUCCCAUCGGCUGGACCAGAAUGAUCAAAAGUUUCUAAGGGCAGAAUGAAAAAAAUUGCCGAUGAAGAGCUCACAGAUUCAACAAGGCUUGAAUAGUCGAUAUGGCGCGCAGACGGAUCUGGUUGGCCUCUUCUAUCUCUCAGAUAUCUUCAUCGGCAGAACCCUCUAUUGGUUUCAGCUUCUUCUUCAUCUGCUGUGCUUUACGAGCCUGGAUGUUUCGUUCUUGCUUUGAGCAUCUCAGGUAGCUGGCUCUCUUCUUGCUGAGCUUGGGUCAGGGACUCUUCUACUUGUUUGAGCUCAGCUAGCAGGGCUUCUCUUCUUGCUGAUAGGUCAGAAAUCUUUUGCUUCAGUUCAUCCCCUGAGGAUUGCAGAAUGCCGAUGCUUUUGUGUUUCUCAUCGGCAAUGCGCUUUACUUGCAUUACUUCCUCUAUUAGUUGGGCGUAAGCGGCUCUGUCUGCAAGACGCUGAGUAGCCUUCUAGUAUUAUGCAUCUGUUGGUAUCUGACAAAGCUUUGGCUUGAUCAAAAUCAUCGACCAGCUGGGCAGUAUCUUGAUGUAGCAAAGCCAACAAGUCUUCCAGCUUAGCUUUGAUUUCUGCCGAUGAGAUCCCUACUGUCGACGAAAGCUGGUCGGCAGUCUACCUUGGGGUAUACCCACGGUAGUAGUUUAUCGGUAGACGGUGCGCAAACUACGAACUCGAUGGUGACGCAAGACACGGACAAGCUUUUUAUCGAGGUUCGGCCGCCGAGUUGGCGUAAUACCUAUGUCCUGCGUCUGAUUGCAUUGAUUUGUGUUGAGAGAAUAAUAUGUCCUAGGGGGGUCCCUUGCUCCUCCUUAUAUAGUCCGGAAGGCAAGGGUUACAGAUCUAGAAACUGAUCCUAGUCGGUUACAAUUGCCAUAGAUAGUCAAUAUCGAUUCCUAUUCCAACCGACUAGAAUCCUGCUUGAUCUUCACGUCUUGUUUCCUUGCGCAAAACUCCAAGCUGUCGGAUCAAACCUUGAGCUUGUUUCGUAAUGGGCCAAGCCGCCUGGCCCAAGUCUAGCCGUAAGGGUAUAGGGGUUUAUACCCCCACAGCUAGUCCCCGAGCACCAUGUAUUGUGAAGUAACGCGCCAUCUUGAGCUUCUUCGACCAAUGAAACUUUGACAUCUUCAAUCAGCAUGAAAAUUGCCCUGACAAUUGCGAUGGUAUUUUGACCAAACCUGAACAUAUUUGAUCAACAUUAUCACAGAAGAAGCCAAUUGUUCGAAGAAUACAUGGUGCUCUUGAGAAAAAAUAUUUCUUUUCCGGUGAAGUGUGCCCACUUUUACUUUUAUGAAAAGUAUGGAUCCUUAAAAAAGCAAGCAUAUUCACCGCAAGGUGAAGUGUGCCCACUUAGUAUAACACUCCAAGAUUUUUAAUUUUGGAUUGUUAUUAUAAAACACUAAAUAAAAUGAAUGAUUUUUUUUAAUAUAUGGAUAAAUUUGCCGAUAAUAGUUUAGAUUUUCAUAUAUUUUUAUCGAAGAAAAAUGGUGCUUUCCAAAUAUUUUGGAAUUAACUAGACGAGCUUUAGUUGAUGUGAUGCUUGCUUAUUACUUGAGUUUAUUAUUUUUAUGUGUGCUAAGAUUUUAAAAACACGUUUAGACGUCGUCCGAUGCUUCCCGAGAAUUUUUUCGGACCUUUUCAAGACUUUUCCCCAUUUUUCUAAAAUAAAAAUCUAAUUUUUGGAUGCUCUGUUCUUUUCCAUAGACACUAAAAACUUUAUUUGGAUUGAUCAACUCUCAAUAUAUCUCUAAAAGUUUUCCUUUAAUUUUUAGAAUUUUGGAAAUAUUUUUCAGGGAUUUAAAAUGAUUUCAGCUUUUCUGGAAUUAUUUUUAAACUGAAAAUGAUUUUUAUAAAAUCCCGAAAUUAAGAAAUUUUGAAAAGUCUCCAAACCCUAGACCUAUAUAUAUGCCGGUGUUCCUCUCGUCACGCUGAUCGUAGAUCUAAAAACGUCAUCCCGAGCCGCCACCUGUAGCUCCCUCCAUCCCUCGCCGAAGUUCGCAAAAGCUAGGUUUCCGGCGAACUCUCCGAUGAGCUUUUCCGGCAAAACCAUCGCGUUCCGGUAUCAACUAGUACCACCAAGAGGUAGCCCUCGUCGUUCUCUUCGCCGUGGUAUACUUGUUUAUACAAAUCCAUCACCGUUUGACGUGAUUCCCAUCUCAUCUUCCUUAUCUCCGGCGAGGUUCCACCAUGGCUGAACUUUCUGUUUUCUUCUUCCGGCCAACCUCGCUGUCCUUUCUCCUCCAGGCCCGCGGUGCCCACCCACGCGAUCUCACCUCGCCCAGCGCCCUUCCUCGGCCUCCCCUUAGUGUGCGCCUGCAGCAUGGGCAGUAGCGCCGCCGGCAUUUUUGCCAUGGCCGACGACCACUUUUGGCGAGCUGAGCACCUCACCCCGGCCCCACGCGUGGGACCGCGCCACGCCCUUGCUAUCCGGCCGAGCCGCUCAGGCUCCUGGCCGAGGCCCCUCCCCUGCGUGCGAGCUGCAGCUGCAACAAAUUUUCCUCCAUGGCCAGAACACGUUCGAGAGGAUGCAGACGACCCAAGGUACAAGAUGCACUUAUUUACGGUUUUGCCACUGUUCGUUAAAUCACCAUCUUUCCAUCGUUUUAAUUCCGAUUCAAGUCAUUCUUUUUGCGAUAGAUUCAUGUCCUACGUAGUAGUAUAAACGUGUAAUAUAUAACUUAUUAAUAGAUUUAUUUAUUUAAAUACAAUUUGUUUACUAUUUAUUUAAUGGCUUUCUAAUGAAAACUAAUCAAGGAUUAUAAUUCCGUAUUUAUUAUGUUGCGACCGUGCCGACGUUACCAUGUUAUGUGUUUAAAAAUUUAAUUAUAUGAAUUUGGUGAAUGAUUAGUGAAUGCCCUUUACUUAGGUUUAUAGUUUCAACCUUUACAAAUAAAUAAAUGCUAACCCGAUUAAUAUUAGCUUAAAUGUUUCUUAAGUACAAUUUAUUUAGAUAAACUUGAAACAUAUAAUUAAUUUGUGUUAAUAUUUAACUAUUGUUCUUUUAAAUUAAAAGCAAUAAAGGUUUAUAUACUGGUCUUUCAUAAAUUAAUUAUAAUAUGAUUAAUAUCAACUUAAAUGGUUCUUUAUUAGUUAUAACUUGUUUAAUAUAAAUGCGACGCAUGUUAGGAUUUGAUUAGUUGCUCUCACUUGCUUUAUGUUUCUAAAAUUACAAAGACGUAAAUGGCUUAAAUGAUAUAUAACCAUCUACAAUUAAAAUAUAACUAAAAUUUAACUCCGGCUUUUAUAAUUCAACACAAUUUGGUUAAUCUAAUUACGAUAGUUCUAUUAAAUGUCUGUCAUAUUAUUUCAUCUAAUAAAAUACGACCAACGUAUAGUCUGUCUUCUCUCUGUUUUUUGCAAGCCCCAAUAGUCGUGUCUGUUUAACGAUAGCUCCGUUCUCAAUCGUUCUUGUGUUGUCACGAUUAUAACAUUAAGCCGUGUCGUUUAUUGCGCUCUUCUUUUUCAAAGCUUUUCUUUUGAUUGACGCUUGUUCUUAGUCGUGAUUGUUUGUUUGUCUAUUUGUGUUGCUUGGUUGCUACGAGUAGAAGAAGCGUGGUUCGUCAACAGUGAAGAUCAGGAGCUAAGGACCGACAGUCGAAGCAGAAGAUAGAUAUCAGAGGAUAGAAGCCAAAGAAUUCUGAGCAGUUAUACACUGGGAAUAAAGGCAAGUGCAGACACCAUUUGAUCAUUUUGAACCUACUCAUUAAUGUCAUUUACUUUAUAUGCAUGUGUCCAAUGAAUGCAAACCCUAAGGACAUGACUAGCUUUACUUAUUAUUCCUUGCUCACCUGGGUUAUGUAUAUGGGUAGUCUAGGCUAUACUAGGUGUGCUUAGCUGCUCUACUCAUCUUAUACACAUGCUUAAACAAGAAUUACUCUCUACUUAACUUGAUGCUUAAACUGUGCUGAACCUUUGGUCACUGCAGUGGUGGCGAUGUUGGAUGCUUACAAGCAUCGUGAUGAUGGUGGCGACAGGGGGAGCGGGUACUGUUGGUGGUUCGGUUUGCCGGGCGUACCCGUCUGUGCUCUCCGUAAGGACUUAGUCAGGGAGGGGCCCCCUGGGACAUACAGUGCAGCUCCAAGCUAUAUGGCUCUGGCUUGACUAAUUAGCAGGACCUCCACUAGUAGGGUGUUACUUUCCGGGUAGGCGUGAGGAAGUAACUUGGGUAAUGAAUAUUAAGUUGUCGGUUGAUCGGUACGCCAUGGCUAUGGGUAUCGACUGCCGAGCGCCCCGGUAAAAACUUGCGAGUGGCAUCCUAUUAGUUGGACCCUGUGAAAGGUCUCGUAGUGAGACCCUGCCUGCUCACCUUGGCAGUGUUUUGGGGAGUCAUGACCCCGGGCAAAUGGGAAUCACGACUUGGAGUGAACGUGCACACCUCUGCAGAGUGUAAAACUGAUAUAUCAGCCGUGCUCACGGUCACGAGCGGCCUAGACCCUCACUUGAUGAGCAAAUUGGAUUCACUGGAUACUUGGAGAUGGAACUUGGUGAGGUUGCUACCUCGUGUUUUGGCGGAAUGGCUAUUCCGCGUUGGCAGGAUUGCUAUCCUGUGUUAAUAAUUGGGGUUAAUCCCUAGACUACUACAAUUAUUAGGAUAGUCAUUUAAAAGAUGCUAAUUACUACUUGCACUAAUUAAGGGUUGGGUUUAUGCUACUCAUAAUUAGUAAUAGGUUGUUCUAAUAAUAGUCAUAAUUAAAAGUGAUCAACUAAAAUGCUACCGCAGUCAAACCAAGUCAGAUUUACCUUGUUUUAAGCCUUGCAUGUCAUUACUUUCCGUCUGUGCUUGCUGAGUUCGACAUGAACUCACCCUUGCUAUUUCCCCACACCCCAGUGUGUAGUAAAGUGUUGCUCAGAAGGACAUAAAUGCUAUGGAGUUUUCUAGAAGCUUAUGAGAAGUGCUUGGCGUACGGAGCCUCCAGUCAACCGUCCCUGAGAAGAAUGGAGCCUAAGAAGUUUAGCUACUCUUUCCGCGUACUCUGAUGUUUGUAAGUGAUAAUAUAAAUAUGUUUUCCGCUAUAUAUAACAUUGUUUUCUGAUAUUUCUAUUCUUUUGUUGUAUGUGUGGACUUCCUGGGCACACAUAUGACGACUCUGGUCUUAUUUUAAAAGCCAGGGUGUGACAGGAAUGGUAUCAGAGCAAUGUUGACUGUAGGACGUAUGCCUAGAUAGCACUGGUCGAUUUCUAAAGCUUAUUUUAAUAUAAAACUAUUUUCUCAUCCCUUGGCUCUUUGACUCUGACUAUUUUCUCAUCCUUGUCAUGUUGUAUCCCCUCCUUGAAUAGCUUCCUUUGAGCUAUUUCUAUUAAUCUCCUUGGCUUUUGUUUAGUUAUUUUACUUAAGUUUUCAAAACUUAUUUUAUUCCAAAAUUCGAUGGCCCUUCAUCAUCUCAGACUUACCUUUUAGGAUGACCACCAUUAUUGAAGAAGCACGUGUAGUUCGAUGAUGUAUUGCAUGCUUGUCUUGUUUGUUGUGUUGCUUUUGUGUUGUCCUUGUUCUCAUGUUUUGAAGGAGGCUCAGAAUAUGACUUCUCGAGGCUUAGUUUGAUCUAUGUUAAGUGGGGUAGCGUCCGCUACCAUCAUAUAUCUCAAGUAUCCCCAGUUUCAAGACACGAAGAACUAAAGAUCAAUCUUUAUCUUUCAUCUCUAUUAUUUUUGUCAUCAAUUUUUAUCUUUCUUGUCAAUCUCUCUUUAUCAUUUUAGAUAUCGUUCUACAUCUCUCUUAUCACCCUUUGCGAUCUUUGAUGGUUAUUGCAUUUCAUAAAAUCUCAAAACAAUCUUAAAGAACAACCUUUAUCCUUCCUACCAACCCCUGUCAGUCUACGAUCCUUUCAUCAUCUCACACCAAAGAUCUUGAAAUAACUUGGAAGAUUAAUCUCCGUCUUCUCUGUCAAGCUUGGCUAAUUCUCAAUCUUUUUAUCCUAAAUCCCAUAAAUCUUGAAUGAAGAAAAUUAUGAGCACUAAAAGAUCUAUCUUUAUCUUUUAUACCAUGUUUUGCUAGUCCUAGCUCCUUGUCUUUACACCUCAUAAUGUGAAGACCCGAUGAUCCAUCUUUAUCUAUUUUUUAACAUCAUUAUAUCUUUAUUUCCGAUAUAUGUUGACCUUCAAUCCUUUGACCACAUGUCAUAAAGCACGACAAGAAUCAUGGAGAUCAAUCCUUGUCUUUAUUAAAAUCUUUAAUCCUUUCAUCAAUCAAUCGUUAACAUCCUUCUCAACUUUUGGUAGUCUUUAGUUCUUUCAUCACAUCUCUUGUAAAUCUUGAAAUCAAGGAAAUGGUGAGCGCCAUAGAAUCAUUUUUGUCAUUUCUCUAUCAUCCCUUGUCAAUUUUUUAUCCUUUUAUCAUAUCUCAUAAAAAAAAAUUUCUCACACUCAACUUUGAUGAUCUACUUCAUCUAUCUUCCAAGUCUUUCUAAAUCUCGAGACGAGAUUCAUGUUAAGUGGGGUAGAUCUAUAACACUCCAAGAUUUUUAAUUUUGGAUUGUUAUUAUAAAACACUAAAUAAAAUGAAUGAUUUUUUUUAAUAUAUGGAUAAAUUUGCCGAUAAUAGUUUAGAUUUUCAUAUAUUUUUAUCGAAGAAAAAUGGUGCUUUCCAAAUAUUUUGGAAUUAACUAGACGAGCUUUAGUUGAUGUGAUGCUUGCUUAUUACUUGAGUUUAUUAUUUUUAUGUGUGCUAAGAUUUUAAAAACACGUUUAGACGUCGUCCGAUGCUUCCCGAGAAUUUUUUCGGACCUUUUCAAGACUUUUCCCCAUUUUUCUAAAAUAAAAAUCUAAUUUUUGGAUGCUCUGUUCUUUUCCAUAGACACUAAAAACUUUAUUUGGAUUGAUCAACUCUCAAUAUAUCUCUAAAAGUUUUCCUUUAAUUUUUAGAAUUUUGGAAAUAUUUUUCAGGGAUUUAAAAUGAUUUCAGCUUUUCUAGAAUUAUUUUUAAACUGAAAAUGAUUUUUAUAAAAUCCCGAAAUUAAGAAAUUUUGAAAAGUCUCCAAACCCUAGACCUAUAUAUAUGCCGGUGUUCCUCUCGUCACGCUGAUCGUAGAUCUAAAAACGUCAUCCCGAGCCGCCACCUGUAGCUCCCUCCAUCCCUCGCCGAAGUUCGCAAAAGCUAGGUUUCCGGCGAACUUCCCGAUGAGCUUUUCCGGCAAAACCAUCGCGUUCCGGUAUCAACUAGUACCACCAAGAGGUAGCCCUCGUCGUUCUCUUCGCCGUGGUAUACUUGUUUAUACAAAUCCAUCACCGUUUGACGUGAUUCCCAUCUCAUCUUCCUUAUCUCCGGCGAGGUUCCACCAUGGCUGAACUUUCUGUUUUCUUCUUCCGGCCAACCUCGCUGUCCUUUCUCCUCCAGGCCCGCGGUGCCCACCCACGCGAUCUCACCUCGCCCAGCGCCCUUCCUCGGCCUCCCCUUAGUGUGCGCCUGCAGCAUGGGCAGUAGCGCCGCCGGCAUUUUUGCCAUGGCCGACGACCACUUUUGGCGAGGUGAGCACCUCACCCCGGCCCCACGCGUGGGACCGCGCCACGCCCUUGCUAUCCGGCCGAGCCGCUCAGGCUCCUGGCCGAGGCCCCUCCCCUGCGUGCGAGCUGCAGCUGCAACAAAUUUUCCUCCAUGGCCAGAACACGUUCGAGAGGAUGCAGACGACCCAAGGUACAAGAUGCACUUAUUUACGGUUUUGCCACUGUUCGUUAAAUCACCAUCUUUCCAUCGUUUUAAUUCCGAUUCAAGUCAUUCUUUUUGCGAUAGAUUCAUGUCCUACGCAGUAGUAUAAACGUGUAAUAUAUAACUUAUUAAUAGAUUUAUUUAAAUACAAUUUGUUUACUAUUUAUUUAAUGGCUUUCUAAUGAAAACUAAUCAAGGAUUAUAAUUCCGUAUUUAUUAUGUUGCGACCGUGCCGACGUUACCAUGUUAUGUGUUUAAAAAUUUAAUUAUAUGAAUUUGGUGAAUGAUUAGUGAAUGCCCUUUACUUAGGUUUAUAGUUUCAACCUUUACAAAUAGUAGAGAUUAUUAGGCUCAAGGAUGGGUUGGAUAGCCAAAUCAUGGGAUUGGAAAGUUUGGAAAUCGGCUAUUGAAACUUCCUCUCCUUGUAUGGGAGAUGAUUCCUUCUCUAUCUCUAAGAUUUUUCUAUGAAGACUAGUGCAAGAAGGAUGUCUACGAAUGAAGACAUACCUUCCUUUACUAAUAGAUAAAGAAUGAAAGACUCUACCAAAGAUUAUAUGAUUAAGACCAAUGUGAAAAUAUCUAGGAAAAACAUGGUCUUGUAGGGCUAGGUCUAAACCAGAAUUUAUAGAAAGAUUAAAAGAUUCCCUAGGUGUAGCUAAAAGUGCAUUAUCUUUUUGAUUAAAAGAUAGGACCUCAGCUAUAGAAAAGGGUUGGUUUUGACCUAUUGCAAUCAACUCCGGACACAGAUCAUAAUUAGGGGCAGGACGUGUUGACUCCCAUGGUCUAUGGCUGGUCUCCGAAGGUGCAAAGAAUUUAAUAAUAGUUAUGGAAUUUGAGAUAUCCAUAAAGAUAAAAAGAUAAAAGAAUAAAAGUAUAAAAGUAUAAUACAAGAUAAUAGCAAGACUCAAAGUUAUCUCAGCAAACCGUCUUUCUCCCCGGCAACGGCGCCAGAAAUGCUUGUUGAUAUUUGGUAACGCAAUUAGAAAAUGAUCCGCAAGCGCACGGAUAUCGGUGAGCAUUUCACCCGGGAGGUUUUCCAGAGUAUCGUAUUUAUAUUUUUACCACUGGGAGAAAGGGUGCAUCUGACUAACUAAAUCUAUUGCUACUAUCCCUUUAGGCACAAAGAAUGUCUUUCGAUGUGAGUGAUAAAUAGAGAAGACUGCAACCGUAGUCUCCUUCUAACCUUGGUAAGGAUGAUCUACUGUUCUAAUGGGGAGGCUAACGGAAUCUAGACAACACAAAGGAUGUUCGACCCGCACCUAUAAACCCUAUCCUUCCUGCUAACGAGAUGUGAUCUACAAAGGUAGCUCGGAAAUGUCACGUUUCUCACUACUACCAUGGUCCAGCUAGUCAGGGAAUAUCUAUGAGUACCCCAGCCUAAACACCACGUCUACGCCAGCAAUGAUUACUCUAAACUCUACGCGAAGAGAUUAAAGUAAACUCAUAAACCAUAAGAACAAUAAAACAAGAACUUACUAGAAUUUAGAAGUUGAAUUACUGAAGAAUCCUAGGAGCAAGCUUCGGGUUAGGAGAACUUGAUCCCGCAGGUACAAGCUUGGAGUAGACACCGACAGGCCGGGCUUCCUCCACUCUACACCUCCACUCUAUCUCUCUCAAUCUAGUAGAAACUAGAAGAUCUAUUUCUACCUUACAUUGAUUGCUAAGCCUAAAAAGAAAUAUUAAUUAGAGAAGAGGUUUUCCUUCGAGGGCACCCCUCAGUCUCUAUGAUAAUUUCUUCAUGUCUUCUCCAGGGGCCAGGGGGGCCUUGCUUAUAUAGUCCUCCCCUUCUAUGCGUUUUUGGGUCGAUAGGUGAGGUGGUACUAUGUUUUUCUUGAUCCAAUAGGUCGGUGGAAUAUCCCGAGCGAAGGAGUCCUGAAUUGGCUCCAACAGGGGGCGGGCGCCCAGGCUACCAGGGCGGGCGCCCAGGCUACCAGGGCGGGCGCCCUGGGCCUGACCCCGUUUCGCCUCCGCUUCGGUCUCGUGGCUUCUAGAGUCUUCUAGAUGAUGUAAAAUUGCGCGGUGCGUUGAUAUACCUACGUAAUCCUGACAUGUGGGCCUUUCUUCCUUAUUUCCUGAUAACCCCCUGCAGAAAAAGAUAAACAACAAAACUCGUGGAAUUCUGUCAGAUCAAACCCUAAUUCUAGGUGUUGGUUGCAUAUUGGUCCUUUCUCUUGUUUAUUUGAUAAUUAAAAUUGAUACUAAAGAACCGUCAACAGUAUGAACAUGAUUAACUAAGUAAACUCUUUGAAAUAAUUGAAAAGGAAAGGAUAACUACCAUGUUUACCUCUUGGCAAGGCGUUCGGUAUUUUUAAGUCCUCCGAACGGGACUCUCCAAUUUCUUAAUCGUCCUGAGGUUCGUUGGGUGGCGUAGUCGGUACAUCCGGCAGCGCCUCCCCUUCUUGUAUAGUUAUCUUCAUUUUCCAUACCUGACUCGGUGCUUCAAUCUCCUCUGGAUAAUUCUGUUUAAACUCAACGUCUUCCUAUCUUACAACUUCUCCUUCAUAGUCUGCCCAUCCGUCCUUGAUGAUCUGCCUCCUCUGGUUGCGGUUGCGUCGUUUUCUUACCUGCUUAGAUUCUUCAAUGAUAUAGUUAGGGUCAGUAAAAUAACGACGUACCUUCUCUGAGGGGAAGUGCAUAUGGACUUCUCCGGUUCCAAUGUAGAUAAUUGCUUUAACGGUGCUGAGGAACGGUCUUCCAAGGAUGAUGGGUGGAUCAUACUCGUCUUCUCCCAUGUCAACAACUUGAAAGUCUGUGUAGACAAAGUGAUCGUCUAUUUUGACUGGGACAUCAGAUACUAUUCCUUUAACUUCUCGAAAUGUCUGAUCUGCCAUCUGGAGCUGAAUGCAUGUUGGUCUUAGUGGCAUGGUCCCGAACAAGAGCCGAUAGGUGACUGCGGCCAUUAUGUUGACGCCCGAUCCGGUGUCGCAAAUCGUCUUGUAGAAGUUGUAUCCAUUUAUGGAGCAGUAGAUGCUUGCAUUCCUGGGUCGUCCUUCUUGGUCAAAACGGUGACUUAAGUUGAUGAUCUUGGCCUCCAUGAACUACAGUGACCAUCUUAGCUGACUCGGUCCACACUUGCUUGUUCCUGUUUCUCCUGUUGGUCCUCUUCCUUGAUUCACGUCUGGAUUGAUCUGGAAUUUGUGUAGUCUUGUUCUUGAAGAAAAAUGUCUCCUUCUUCCCUUUGACGUAGAAACUGAUCUUGGCAGCACUAGCGUAGAUGAUAGCUCCCGUGGUGUUCAAGAAUGGCCUCCCUAGGAUGAUAGGUGCUCUCUCAUCAUUUCCGGUCUCUACCACUACGAAGUCUGCUGGGGCAUAUAAGGUACCAACUCGGACACAAAGGUUCUUCACUAUUCCUUUUGGGAAAGUUAUCGUCUGAUCUGCAAACUGUAAACACAUGGUUGUUUCUAGUAAAGGAUAUGUAAAGAAUUUUUCAUAGAGUACCCUGGGUAUAAUGUUGACGCUAGAGCCAAAGUCACAGAGUGCUUCUGGGAAGUCCACCAUGCCGAUGGAGAUCGGGAUGACGGGGCAUCCUGGAUCGCCUCUCUUGACCGGCAGACGGUCAGUAGAAAAUUUAGUGACAGGGUUACUCCAAUUACCUGCAUCAAACACGUCUACAAGAUUUGCAGAUUCUAAUCCUUCCGGUUGUGAUGGUAUACCGGGAUUAGUAGUAGGAACAGCACCAACUAUUUGAUUUAACUGAAAUUCAAUCAUUUUAUUAAAGCUAAUUUGAUUGUUGAUGGCAGUAGAGAAUUUAUCCAUUCUAUUAUUUAUAUUUUCUAGUAUUUUAUCAUUAGAUGCCAAUUUCUUAGAUAGAUUAUCCAUUAGCUUGCCUUGAUUAGACACUAACUCUCUCAAAGGUGGAAAAUUAUUAUUAUUGUUGUAAGAAUUGUUACCUUGAUAAUUACCUGAGUAGUUAGGCCUCUGUUGAUUCCAACCUUGAUUUUGUUGAGGACGGUUGUAGUAGUUGUUGUUGUUGUUGAUGAUGUAGUUCACAUCCUCAAGCAUCUCAGGGCAGUGGUUGCCUGAUUGUCCAGUGUCUCCACACUCCUCACCAGUCAUGUGAGAGUCGUAGAUGUGCAUAACUUCUUUCUUGUCUCCAGCUCUAUCAUCGAGCUUCUUCAUGAGCAGGUCCAGCUUUGCAGACAGCAUGUCUACCUCCUUCAGCUGAUGCAUACCUCCACCUUUCUUGCGUGUCUGGGUCCUCUCUUCAUUUCAGCUUUGGUUGGACGCCAUCUUCUCCACAAGAGUUGUGGCUUGUGGUAUAGUAAGUGAUAAGAAUGCUCCUCCAGCUGCAGCAUCCAUAGUCUCUCGGGCAUUGUUGCUGAGCCUAUGAUAGAAUGUCUGCAUCAAUAGCCAACUCUCCAUUCCAUGAUGGGGACAUUCUAGGAUGUAGUCUUGAAAGCGCUCCCAUGCUUCUGGAACAGAUUCAUCAUUUUGUUGCUGAAAACUUGUAAUCUUCCCACGGAGAGCUUUGGUCUUGCCCAUGGGAAAGAACUUUGUCAAGAAGUUUGUUGAGCAGAGUGCCCACGUAGUAUUCUUCUCCUUUGUAGCGUAGAACCACUGCUUCGCUCUUCCUAACAGUGAGAAUGGGAAGAGGCGAAGUAGUAUAGCGUCUUUGGAAACUCCUGCUAUGGUGAAUGUGUUGCAAAUCUCCAGGAAGUGUUGUAAAUGAGCACUAGCAUCUUCGUGUGCCUUCCCACAGAACUGGUUGGAUUGCACCAUGUUGAUAAGUCCAGGCUUGAGCUCAAAGUUGCCAUCGAUCUCUGCAGCAGGUCCAGUGCGGAUGUUGUCCGUAGUGGGAGCUGAGAACUCGCGGAUCGAUUUGUUCGCCAUGGCUUCGAAAUCUGAAGACAAGUUCCGGUGAUCUUCUUGAUUGGAUGAAGCUUCUUCGUGAAGUGUUGAUGAUCUCUUCUUGAGCUUGGCCCUCGUCUUCUUGAAUAAUGCUUCGGGAUUGUCAACAAAAUUUCCUGGAAGAUGUCUUCUAUUCAUACAUUCCCCUGCAUAAGAUAAAAUAGAAAAAUAUCGGGGUAAAACUGUAUGAGAGAAUAGAUAAGCUCAAUCAUAUUAGUGAAGCGAAUGAUAACUCAAAAUCUUUUAUUCCAUUCCUGAUUGGUAAUCAACCUUCCCCGGCAAUGGCGCCAAAAAUGCUUGUUGGGUAUUCUUAACAUCAUUACCAAAAGUAGACUAAGUUAUCUAAAUCUAGUAACGGUGCCAAAAAUGCCAAACCUAUCCCUUACACCACUUAAGCCAAGUUGUCAUCCCCAGCAUGAUAUAAGAGACGCGGUAUUGAAAUAUGCAAUUGCUCUUCUAAAUAAAUAAUGAAUAGGAUCUGCAAGCGCACAGAUUAAUACCGAUGCAGCAUUUUAACCGGGAAGUAUUCCAGGUAUCGUUAUUUAUAUUUUUACCACUGGGAAGGGAUUAGCGAUCAUCACUAUUGAUUACAGAAUAGAAUAUCAGAUUGAGCAUCUAUCAUUGCAUGUAUAAUUGAGAAUAUUAUAUCUAACUCUUCAUACAGGGAUAAGUGUCACAUAAAAGAUAUAUGAAAUAAUAUUAGUGACAAGGAUAACUAAUCUGAUCUAGCCACAUAAUAAAAAUGAUAAGCACCUCAAUUAGAUACUCUAGAAAGUCAUUAGCAUGGUAUUAGAACGAACUACAAGAAUAUUUCCUAAGUUAUUCUCAACUAUAUAGUCUAGCAUUAUCAUAGUUAGUGCAAGCAUACUUAGCAAUCAUUGUGAGACAAGACUGCGCCCAUGCAUAGUGAUAUUAGCAAGGAAUAUGAGAAACAUAGCAAUCACACCCCUGUAAUAAUGUUGCUCUACCAUCCCAAUACAAGAGAGGGGGACUAUAUAAGAAUCAAUGAAGCUGUCACUAUCACGAACCACCCCACGAUCUGGCAUACUGGGUACAAUCGCAGAUAAAUACGGUAUAAGCACCACGCCUACACAAUACCUAUCAUUUACCCAUGGAUCCGAUGGAUAAACGCUAUACGAUCCUAAGCAUGUAUAUAGAUCGAAUCUAACUAAGCCAAGUACAUAACUAUGAUAAACUAAGAACAAUAUAAUCUUGAAUAUAAGCAAGUAGAGCAAAGUCAUAAGCAAUAUAUUGAAGUAGAACAAAGUCAUAUUCAUAAUAUUGAAGAACAAAGAUAAUUAGAAAGCAAUUAGAAGCACAAUUAGAGAAUUACCAAGAAUCCUCCUGACAGAUCCGGAAACCAAUCGAAGAUUGACUCCUUCUAGUUCUAAUCCUAUGUAGCUAUGCUAAUCUAGAUGUCUAAUUGAUGUGGUGGCUCUAAUCUUGAUCAGAGGCUUCUUCUCCCUUGAUGGAACAAUGAAUUAGGGUUGAGAGGCUCUCUCCUCCAGGGGCCAGGGGGUCUGGUUUUAUAGUCCCUUCAAGUGAAUAUGGGCCAUUGGAUCAAACCGACAUAGAUUGUAUGGUUUAGAUUCAUCCUUUAGGUCGGUGGAGAUCUCCCGCAAAGCAGAGUCCUGAUUGGACACAGGAGGUGGGCGGGCGCCCAAUAGGACAGGGCGGGCGCCCUACCUCUGGCCCCGUUUUGCCUCCGCUUCGGUCUCGUGGCUUCUGGAGUCUUCUAGAUGUAAGAUAAUUGCGCAGCACGUUAAUAUCUUUACGUAAUCCUGACAUGUGGGCCUUUCUUCCAUAUUUCCUGAUAACCCCCUACAGAAAUAGACAAACACCAAAACUCGUGGAAUUCUGUCAGAUAAAACCCUAAGUCUAGAUCUUGAUUUCAUUUGGAUCCUUUUCUUUAUUUAUUUGAUAAUUAAAUUUGAUACUUAAGGACCGUCAACAAUGAUCACGGUUGGCUAUAUUUGCUAUCGUGGAAAUAACCAUGUGCUAAUAAUGAACUUGAGACCGGGCGGGAUGACGAUGGUGCAGCAACAAGGCAUGGAGGUCUUGGGUGUGAAUCUAUCCCCGUCUGUGUCGUUUAAGGACUGAAUCGCUGUACGUCCCCGUGUCAUGUUGAACGCAUGCCUAUCACUUAGUUGGCCAGAUAAGUCGUUCCGACCGCGAAGCCUACGAGUGCAUCUCCAGCCGGAUACCACGUUCGGUUCAAGUGCGCACCCCGGUUGGUAGCAAGGAUGUGCGGGGAGUCAAUGGCGUAAGACCGAGGUGUCAGGUUAGAGUCCUGACCCUGGCAGAUUGGCGGUCCCCGGGGGUGCGGCGCCGUAUGGACACGCGAAUUGGUCCGGAGUUGUGCUAAAGGUGAUCCGAGCUGCCGUCAUGAAGUAUGCUUGGGUGAGUGUUAGGAAUCGAUUCGAAUCGCCGUCUCUCCCGGAUAGUGAGAACUUGACUUGGGCAGCGGCAACGUAGAAUUCACUAAAUAAACUUAAUGGUUAUGAUGAGAAUGAUGAUGGCUAUGUGAUAAUCCGGAUAUGGUUAUUAUUGUAAUGCUUAAAGACUCAAGUGUAUGCUUAGAGUAGGUGCUAAUCUAGUGGAUAGUUGCUAAGUGAUAAACUUGCUGCUGAAAUAUAAUACAUGAAUUAUUUACAACAAAGGCUUUUAUGCAAAAGGUGAGUCAAACCAGUCCACAGAGAUCAGCCUUGCAUACUCCUUGGUGUCACUUUAUUUCUGGUUUAUGACGGGUAAGUCUAGCUGAGUACAUUCUCGUACUCAGGGUUUUAUUUACCCCUGUUGCAGAUGAUGUCGUCUAUCACGGCUAUUGCGCUAACUGUCAUCACCCAGCUGCGGAUGAUGAGUAGAUCAUGGGCGUGAUCACCUUCUUUAUCUUCAGUUAUGCUUUUGUUGGGACUUGACCAUAGAGCUGGCAUGUAAUAUAACUGUUGGUGUUGUUUCAAAACUACUUUUGUUUCCGCUACUGCGAUGGUUGUAAUAACCUCUUUUAAACUCUGAUGUGAUGUAAAACUAUGUUCUGUGAUGGAUGUUGUAAUCUGUGAUGGUGAUGCUUGAUCAUGUAUGAUCUUGGUUGUAUGUUGGUUGAAUCGAUGUCUUUUGAGAUUUCGUCGGACUACCGGGUUUAUAUGGGUUCAAGUCCAUUGGCUUGACUGCCUCUGUGGUCGCUAAUUCACUUGAAUUCUUAUAAAUUGGACGGUUCUGUUACAGCUGGUAUCAGAGCAAGAUUAAGCAUAUAACCAUCAUAGAUGUAUUUGAAAACAAAUGAAUUUGGUUUUCUCAAACUAAUUUGGCAAAUUAGGUUAUAAAUAGGGUUGUUUUAAAAAAAAAGGUUUUGAUAACUUAUACCAUGCCAGUGGUCAUGCCCUUUAUGCCCAUAUAAGGAAUGCUAGGUGGCUUAAUAUUACUAACAUGGGGUUUUUCCUUUCGUCGUCCAUAUGGUGUAUAAUUAUAUGGAUACCGCUUACUUAAGUGGUAAUGAAUGGAUCACAUACCUCUACGCCAUGGUAAGCUUGUUUGUUUUCUUUCGUCGUCCAUACGGCGUGAAAUUGUAUGGAUGCCACUUGCUUGAGUGGUAAUGUAUGGAUCUAUAUGCCUCUACGCUACGGUAAGUGUGAGCUGUGAGAGCUUGACUGUCCAACCGUCGGUCUAGGGGAGUGUUAGCUGUGGUUACUGGAAUAUUUACAUGUUUCACACAUGUAUAUAUGAAAGUACUUAAUUGUGGGUAGUAGGUGCAGCCAGGUAUACAUAUUUGAUGUAUAGGUGGGUGUAUCCAAAAUGGGUAGCGUGCUGCGAUAUAUGUUCGGGAAUAUAUAUCGGAGUACCUAGCUUGAGUGUUGAUAAUUGGUUUUACAUUUCUGCAUUUAUACUAUUGUGGGGCUGGGCUGAAAUGGAAUCUUCUGCAGGUACACUAACAACGAAACGUUUAGACCGUGUAGAUGCGUAUAAAGAGUGCACGUAUGUAUGCCACCGACUAUACCGUUAGAACUUUCUUCUAGGGAUGGAAAGGACGUAUGGAACGUGCAUGCAUCAUGAAUCAUUCAUACAUUCUUUAUGAAAUACUUGGGUAUUAAAUUCUGAAAAUACGAUUCUUUAUCUCUCCUUGUAAUUAAUCUCCCUUACUCAAAUGUGGUCUUUCUACAGAUGGCAGCCCCGCACGUGAGUGAGACUUUCCUGGACAUGUUUGGCACUCCUACUUUGUUGUGGAGGGUGCUAAGUUCAGUUGGAUAUGAGGAACCACCUAAGUAUACUUGGACUGAGGCCGAGCAUGCAGGGGCCUUACCUUGGGUAGAUGUCCAAAUUACAGUUCCCCCUUGUCCAAAUAACCCACAGUGGCUAGGUUGGUUAGUUGACUGUGAUGGCCAAACUCCUUGGGAGGGUGCCCAGGUAGCAGCCCUGGAGGUUUUGCUAGAGAUUUGCCAAGAGCAUGGUGAUGAGCUAGUGAAUGGCCCAGCGGGAUCCGUUCCCAGGGUGAGUGUAACUGACACAUUUGUGUCCCAGGUUGGGAAUGAGUCUUUAGAGCUGAGAGAAACCUUGCUAGGAUAUAGCUCUAGCCCUGCCAUGAGUGCCAUGUUAGCCGUACUUAAGCUGUACUAUGUGCGCCAGGACACCUACAUAGAUGCCAUGCUAGCGCUUCAACAAGCACAAGUUGGGCAGCGCAAACUGCGCAAGAGAGUGCGCAAGCACCGCAAGGCUUUUAUGGAUGCACAAGCUGAAAUCCAAAACUAUCACACCGCUUUGCAAGCCCGCCGCAAUCAAGUUGCAAACGCAGUUAGAGAGCGCAAUGAAGCACAAGCCCGCAUGAUGCAAAUGACUAGAGAGAGAGAUGAGGCUAUGCCCCUGGCUGAAAAUAGAGAAGCCGCUAGAGUUAGAGCCUUGUUCCAUGCUGAAAUGAGACAGGAAGAGCUGAUUACUAGGAUUGCUGAGCUGCAAUUAGAUGUCCACCGCUUAAAUAAUAUCAUAAAUCCUAUUCCACAUCCAGCCCCUUUUAAUCAUGAAGAAGCUCCUAGUGAGGAAGAUCAGGAUGAUGGCAUCGUUUCUAAUGGAGAAUCCGAGGAAGAUAUGUAGCCUAGCAAUGAUUUUAUGAUCAUGUAUCAGUUUCCAUCUCUUUAUGUAAUGGACAUGUAAUCUGAAUUUUAGUUGAGACUCUAUGUAUUUGGCCAUGGUGCCCCUCCUGUAAACCCUUAAGUUGUGACAAUGACUCUAUGUAACCCUAUGCACUUAUUUGUGAUGCUCCAUGUUUUAUGUUGAGCCUAAAUAAUUCCCUGCAAUGUCUUUAAUCUUUGUGAAAUUGUGGCUGUGAUUGACCGCGAGAAGAACCAAGUGUCAUGGCAGAUAUUUUUUUAUUGUACAUGGAUUAUUGCGGCUUGAUUUAUGUGAAUUUACUUCAUUAAAUUCCGUAUGGCAGCAAUUGAAGUUCAUGACAAUUAUAUCUGUCGCCUGAAACAAUCGCUUGGUAUGCCUUGUGCAGAUGGCUCGCAAUACUCGCUCCGGUCACAACGAGGUGCCACCGCCACCACCUCCUCCCCCGCCUACGCCUACUGAGCUAUUGGCAGCUCUUGUUGAGGGCCAGCGUAUGCUCAAUGAGGCUAUGCAGACUAUGGCGCAGCAGAACCGGGGUGGUCGCCAUGUCCGCCAAGGCGGAGAGGCAAAUCAGUACAGCAGUUUCAAGGAUUUCCAAGACACAAAACCACCGCUGUUCAAGGAGGCUGUUGAACCUCUAGAAGCUGAUGAGUGGCUUAACACUCUUGAACAGAAAUUCCGUUUGGUAAGGUUAACCGAAGAGCUGAAGGCGGAAUAUGCAGCCCACCAGUUGGAGGGCAAAGCAGGUGUCUGGUGGAGUCAUUACAGGACCAGCUUACCUGCCAAUGUUGUUGUGACCUAGGAUCAGUUCACAACUGCUUUCAGGAACACUUAUAUUCCACAAGGCUUAAUGACUAUCAAGCACACUGAGUUUAUGAAUCUGACGCAAGGCACUAAAAGCUUGACUGAGUAUCUUCAUGCUUUUAACAAUUUGUCUCGCUAUGCUCCUGAGAUGGUUCACACUGAAGUCAAGAAGCUCGCUAGUUUCAAGAUAGGGUUGGGACCCAAGUUGUCCAAGAACAUGGCUGGUAACAAGAGUACCACCUUUAAUGAGUUUGUGAGUGAUGCAUUGACUCAAGAGAACUCCAAUGCUGUGUAUGCCGUGUCCAAAAACCGCAAGAGGGCUUAUGAGGCAGGUGCUUCACAAUCCAAGGCUCCAGUGACAAGUAAACCGGCCUAUCGCCCACCCAAUGCUGUGACAAGGUACAGACCGCUGCAGAAAAAGUCAAAUGCGAAGACGGGAGUUCACAAGUCCUUCACAGUUGCUCUCCCAAGAGGUGCCACGGGUCAAGGAAGUCCCAAGAAUCCUCCUGAUAACCGUCCCUGCUUCAAUUGCAAGCAAGUUGGUCAUUGGGCGAGAGAUUGCCCUUAUCCUAAGAGAAAUGCUGCAUCUGGAGGCAAUAACCGUAUAGGUCGUGUGCACUACACCACUGUUGAAGAAAUCCCUGAGGGUGAAGCUGUCACCGCUGGUAUGUUCCUUGUAAAUCAACACCCUGCAGUUGUCUUAUUUGAUUCUGGAGCUUCACAUUCAUGUAUGAGUCAAGCAUUCGCAUCUAAGCAUGGGCAACAUGUCAUUGACCUUGAUAGUGGAAAAUUUUGCAUUAGUGCUGCUGGUAACCAAAUUUCCACAAACCAAUUAGUGAAGGAUGUGAAUAUUGCUAUUGAGGGUCGUAACUUUUCAGCAAAUCUGGUAAUUUUGCCGGGCUUGGGCAUAGAUGUUAUUUUAGGGAUGAAUUGGAUGAAAAAUAAUGGGGUACUAAUAGACACCUCUACGAGGGUAGUGAUGUUGCGAGAGCCUAAUGGCAAAGAAGCCUUCUUGGUCCAACUUCCCAAGUGCGAUGACAUUCUUCACACUACUAAUGCUAUUAGACCACUCACUGUGGCAGAGAUUCCAAUAGUGUGUGAGUUUUCGGAUGUCUUUCCAGAGGAUCUGCCUGGGUUGCCACCGGACAGGGACAUUGAGUUUAAAAUUGAUCUAAUUCCGGGUACCGCACCUAUCUCUAGAAGGCCAUAUCGAAUGCCACCCAAUGAAUUGGCAGAGUUGAAAAAGCAAUUGCAAGAACUCCUAGAGAAGGGUCUCGUUCGGCCUAGCUCUUCUCCAUGGGGUUGUCCGGCUCUCUUUGUUAAGAAGAAGGACAAGUCUCUACGUAUGUGUGUAGACUAUCAUCCGCUGAAUGCCGUGACUAUCAAAAACAAGUAUCCACUGCCUCGCAUUGAUAUCCUGUUUGAUCAAUUAGCCAAGGCCAAAGUAUUCUCCAAAAUCGAUCUGAGAUCUGGGUAUCAUCAAAUCAAGAUCCACCGUGAAGACAUUCCUAAAACGGCUUUCUCUACCAGGUAUGGGUUGUAUGAGUAUUUAGUCAUGCCCUUUGGUCUGACUAAUGCCCCUGCUCAUUUCAUGUACCUGAUGAAUGCGGUGUUCGUGCCUGAACUGGAUAAGUUUGUGGUGGUGUUCAUCGAUGAUAUAUUGGUGUAUUCUGAAAAUGCACAAGAACAUGAGAAGCACCUUCGGAUUGUACUCACUAGAUUGCGAGAACAUCAGCUCUAUGCCAAGUUCAGCAAGUGUGAGUUUUGGCUGAAGAAAGUGCCUUUCUUAGGCCAUAUUUUAUCCGAAGAGGGUAUUUCUGUUGACCUAUCAAAGGUGCAAGAGGUUCUCGACUGGAAGGCCCCGACUUCAGUGCACGAGGUUCGGAGUUUUCUCGGUCUAGCUGGUUAUUAUCGGCGCUUCAUUCCAGACUUUUCCAAAAUAGCUAAGCCUAUGACCAAGCUACUGCAAAAAAGAUGUGAAGUUUGUGUGGUCCGAGGAGUGUGAAGUUUCUUUCACCACUCUACGCCAUUUGCUGACCACCGCUCCUAUUUUGGCACAACCUGACAUUGAAAAGCCAUUUGAUGUCUUUUGUGAUGCAUCUGGCACUGGCCUAGGUUGUGUGCUUAUGCAAGAAGGCCGAGUUAUUACCUAUGCUUCUCGGCAACUGAGGAAACACGAAGCCAACUACCCUACUCAUGAUCUAGAGUUAGCAGCAGUUGUACAUGCAUUGAAACUCUGGAGACACUAUCUGUUGGGUAAUCUUUGUCACAUUUACACUGACCAAAAGAGCCUCAAAUAUAUCUUUACACAACCCGAGCUGAAUAUGAGACAAAGAAGAUGGCUAGAAUUGAUAAAAGACUACAAUUUAGAAGUACACUAUCAUCCAGGCAAAGCCAAUGUUGUAGCUGAUGCUCUCAGUCGGAAACAACAUGUUAGACCUCUCCUAGAGGAAGGCUUCAAUUUAUUGCAUCCUGCGGUCCUGCACAACAUUAUAGUCAGUUGCUCAUUAGAGAGUCAAAUCAUAGAGCUCCAAAAAUCUGAUCCUGGUAUUUUUCAUAUCAAGAGAAAGAUGCAAGAGCAAGACACCAAGCAUUUCAGGGUAGAUGAGAAAGGUGUACUGUGGUUUGACAAUCGACUAGUAGUACCCAAAGACCGUGACCUACACAACAAGAUCUUAGAAGAAGCUCAUUCUUCCAAGUUGUCCAUUCAUCCGGGGAGUAGCAAAAUGUACCAAGACUUGAGACCUCGUUUCUGGUGGACCAAAAUGAAGAAAGAGAUAGCAGCUUAUGUUGCUAGGUGUGAUACCUGGUGCAGGGUGAAGGCAGUUCACCUCAAACCUGCAGGUUUAUUGCAACCCUUGUCGGUUCCAGGGUGGAAGUGGGAAGAAAUCAGCAUGGAUUUCAUUGUUGGACUUCCCCUGACUCAAAAAGGACACAAUUCUAUAUGGGUGAUUGUUGACCGUUUAACCAAGUCAGCUCAUUUUAUUCCUAUACACUCUACAUACCGGCCAUCCGACUAUGCUGAGUUGUACUUCUCUCAGAUAAUUAAAUUGCACGGAGUGCCUCGCACUAUCAUUUCUGAUAGAGGCCCACAGUUCACUGCUCGCUUUUGGGAGCAUCUGCAUUCACUCCUUGGUACAAAAUUGGUUCGCAGUUCAGCCUAUCAUCCUUAAACCUCCGGUCAGACUGAGCGUGUGAAUCAAAUUCUAGAGGAUAUGUUGAGGGCAUGUGUUAUAUCUGCCAAGGGUGCAUGGGAGAAAUGGCUACCGUUAGCUGAAUUCUCUUACAAUAAUAGUUAUCAAGAAAGCAUCCAAAUGGCCCCUUUCGAAGCUUUGUAUGGCCGCAAAUGUAGAACUCCUCUAAACUGGGUCGAACCAGGUGAAAGGAGGUACUACGGAAUUGACUUCGUCAAGGAAGCUGAGAAACAAGUUCUCAUCAUUCAGCAACACAUGAGAGCUGCCCAAGCUAGGCAGAAAAGCUAUGCUGACCGAAGAAGAAAGCCAAUCGAGUUCGAAAUAGGUGACUUUGUGUACAUAAAAGUAUCACCCAUGAAAGGAGUAAAUCGCUUUGGUGUUAAAAGAAAACUUGCCCCUAGGUAUGUGGGUCCCUACCAAAUCAUUGAGAAGAGUGGUAAGGUAGCUUACAAAGUACAACUACCUCCCGAAAUGAGAGCUAUUUUCCCUGUAUUCCACGUGUCUCAACUCAAGAAGUGUCUUCGUGUGCCCGAAGAGAGAGUUGAAACAAGAGAUAUCAAGUUGCAGUCAGACCUAUCUUAUGAAGAAAAGCCUGUGCAAGUUCUUGAUGUCAAGGAACGGGUUACUCGUGGGAGAGUGAUCAAACUUUUUAGAGUUUUGUGGAACCGGCAAAAUGAGAGAGAUGCCACUUGGGAAAGGGAAGACUAUUUACAAGUAACUUAUCCCUCAUUCUACGAAAAGUGGUACGUCUUUCAAAUCUCGGGACGAGAUUUUUGUAAGGGGGGAGGGCUGUAACACUCCUAGUGUUAGCUUGCAUGUUAACCAUGAGCAUUGCAUCAACAUAAGCAUCAUCAUGCUCAUUCAUAAGCAUCUAUCAUGAUCACAUGUCCUCUUAUGUAUACCAUGUAUGAUUGAAUUGCUUGUGUGACUUGAAUUGAGUAACUAUAAGGGGUAACCAAUGCAAAUAAAUGUACAUUGUCUUCCAAAAUACUUCAAUCAUGUCUAGAAUAUCAUUUGGAGCAAAGUCCAUGUUGAAGGUUUUGGCCAAAAAUGCCCCUAGGUUAGGGUUAAACCUAGAAUGGCUUGUUUUGACUCCUAGACCUCUUUUCAAAGAUGUUUUAUGUAAGUAAUGUUAGAAACCUUGCAUGUCUUUGGUACCUGAAGCAAAGUUGUAGAGAAUUUCAUAAGCUACAAAAGUUAUGUUGAUGACUUUUUAUGAAAAAGCUUAGAACACAUCCAAAAAUUGCUCACAAGUCAAAAAUCAGGGCUGAUUUCAUACUUAGCCGAAUUUGGCUAAGUGUUGGAUCACGCAGUUUCGACCAAGGGUUGUUGGGAGCUUUGUAGUUUGAAAUCCAGACCGAGUUAGACUUUGGUCUUGUAAUCAAAGUUGUAGAACUCGUGUAGCUCUAUCCAAAGGAACAAGUUUGAGCCAAAACCAUCGAGUGAGCUGAGAGUAAAACGCCGGUGAACUUUGGGUUUCAGACACGGUCGACGACGACUGAAUCGUGCGAUACAGUUUCGUCAGUCGCCGGCCGGCCGACGCGUGGAUGACCCAUGGCGGCCGUACGUCGACGGCGACCCCGCCUGUCAGCCCCGGCGCCUUCACUUGGAUGCCACGACGCCACCCCGAGCCCCGGCCGUCCUCAUUUCGCCUCUCCAGCGCUCUCUCCCUUCUCCAUUUCGCCUCGGCGAGCUCCGCCGUGGAACGGCCGCGUCGCCCGAGCUCUUGUCGCCAUCUCCGGCCAAGCCAGCCCGCCAAAAGCUUCGCCAGAGCCUCCUCUACCUCGGCGUCACCUCCUUGGCCACUGUCGAGCAUGGGUAAGGCGGCAUUGCCGAGCUCCGAGCAGUUCUUCCUCGCCGGAGUUCCGCUCGAGCUCACCGGCAACGUGGCCAGGCCUCUCUGCUCCACCAUUUCCCUCCAUUCUUGUUCCUACCGCUUUCCCUUGGUUCACUGAUGCUCGGCAUGACGCUCUACCGCGUCGCCAUCGCCUGGAUCCGCCGGCGUAUCGCCGCGCAGCGCCGCCGCUCCGCCAUUUCCGACGGCGAGCACCCUAGAGUCCAGUAGAGCGCGCGUAAAGUAGGUCAACAGAGUCGCCUUGACGAGAGGAACACGUAGGUGCCCUUAGAUCCGGCCGAGACCUCGUCGUCGUCGAGCUUCGCCGGCGACGAGCAUCUCCCCUGUCCCCGUUUCACUGACGUGUGGGUCCCGGAUGUCAGUCUCUCUGUGUCACCCCCUCUGGUUCACUGUUGUGCAGAGCCAAAGCUGUUUUUGUAAAAUUCAUAUCUGGAGUUUUAGAGAUCCAAAUGUGGUGAUUCCAAUUUUGCUAGGUUCCAGCAGAAUUCUAGUUUUUAAUAAAAAUAUGAAACAUGCCAUGUUUUUGCAGAAAUAAAUAGAUAUAAAUUAAUCUUGAAUUUUCAGUGGGUAAUUUCAUCUUGAGAUCUAUUGAUCUGCUGGCCAUGCAAAUUUGGGGAGUUGUUACUUAUGUUAUGAUUAGGCUCUGAUAAAUUUUUCAUGAUUUGUGGAAGCCUGGUUGGGAAGUUAUAAUUAAUCCUUGCUUAAAUAGGAGAAUCUUGUGGUAUUUUUGAUAAUUAAAGUAUAACUCCUUUUAUGGUGAAACUUGCUGAGUGUUGUACUUAUGUGUGGACAAAGCUAGGAAAAAUCUGAAAUCUGUUGUUUGACACUUUUUGAUAGGAUUUCACAUUUAUGCCUUGCAUGCCUUUACUAGCUUGUUAUUUUUAUACCUCCCAAUGUGUAUGUGAAAAUGUUCUGAAAGUUUUACAGUGAUCUUAUGUUAGCAAAAGUAGCUUGCUGUAAUUUUCUUAGGAUUUUUGGAACACUUGGAGUAUAUGUUCAUUAAAUCACCUUAAUAAUUAAAUAAAUGGAAAAGGUGAUGAUAGAAAUAGUUUUAGACCUUGCCAUGAUGUUUUCUGGUGUUUCUUAGAUAUGUUCUAUCUAUUGGUGCUAUUGGUUUAUCCCUGUGAUAUAUUCUCAAUAUGUGCAAAAUAUUAUUUUAGCUAUUUUUGCCUUUCCUAGAGCAUUUCUAUACAGCUGAUGGCAAUUGAUUAGGAGCUAUGUGAAGAUUGUGUUUUCUGGGAAACUUGUCUACAACAAACUUGUAGCUAACUUACUGAUCUACUUCGUCUCCAAAUGUCAUGACAUUUGGUUGAGUAGUUUGAAAGUUAUACAUAUUUCAAGUAGCUGCUACAAAGUGCUUGCUCUCUGGAAUUUCCAGAGCAGCCAGCCAACUUUGUAUGUUUUAGCAUAUUUCGGUUGGGAAUCAUGCUGGGAUGUAUAAAGGUAAAUUGUAGACAAUUUGUUAAGCUUUCCAGAAAGUGCUUACUUGCUUAAUUUGGUUAAGUGAUACUCGAGUUAUAGCUGGAACUUGUGACUGGUUGGUUUGCCUACUAAACCAGUGACUGGGUAAGAGUAGCUAGGACUUGUUUAACUUGUCUAUUUAGUCUCUCUACCAGAAAAGAAGUUUGCACUUACUUGUUAAUCCAUGAUUCACUUAAUCUUAGAAGUUAUGCUCAUGCUAUACCUUGUUUUAUAUUCCUUUGGCUCCUCAUCAUGACAUCAUACAUCAUAUGUGCAUUCUCUAUAUUCAUUUCCUUGUCAUGCAUACAUAGGUGUACCCAAGGGAGUAACGGUGCUGGAGUUCGAGCUGCCGGAGCCGGAAGGACAGCAAGUGGAACUACCUCAGGGAGCUGAGGAGGAGGAGGAUUUGCCGGAGUGCCCUGACCACCGUCCCUCUACCUACGUUGAAGGCAAGCCCCGGAGCAUUAUAAGCCUCCUACUAUUUUGUUAAUUGUGUUCAGCUAUCAAUUGACUAUGGUUAUAUAUAUUGAUGCAUUAAGUGGUAGGCAUUGAUAUGACACCCUUGCUGCAUAAUGACUACCUUGUCCACUGCAUACCUCACCAAAGUAGGUCCAGGAUCGAAGUAUUGCUUAGCUAUGCUUAGCUCGGUAGAAGCCGGGUGAUUUCCUGUCACCUGCGAGAGAUAGGUGGAUGAUGAUCACGGUUGGCUAUAUUUGCUAUCGUGGAAAUAACCAUGUGCUAAUAAUGAACUUGAGACCGGGCGGGAUGACGAUGGUGCAGCAACAAGGCAUGGAGGUCUUGGGUGUGAAUCUAUCCCCGUCUGUGUCGUUUAAGGACCGAAUCGCUGUACGUCCCCGUGUCAUGUUGAACGCAUGCCUAUCACUUAGUUGGCCGGAUAAGUCGUUCCGACCGCGAAGCCUACGAGUGCAUCUCCAGCCGGAUACCCCGUUUGGUUCAAGUGUGCACCCCGGUUGGUAGCAAGGAUGUGCGGGGAGUCAAUGGCGUAAGACCGAGGUGUCAGGUUAGAGUCCUGACCCUGGCAGAUUGGCGGUCCCUGGGGUGCGGCGCCGUACGGACCCGCGAAUUGGUCCGGAGUUGUGCUAAAGGUGAUCCGAGCUGCCGUCAUGAAGUAUGCUUGGGUGAGUGUUAGGAAUCGAUUCGAAUCACCGUCUCUCCCGGAUAGUGAGAACUUGACUUGGUCAGCGGCAACGUAGAAUUCACUAAAUCAACUUAAUGGUUAUGAUGAGAAUGAUGAUGGCUAUGUGAUAAUCCGGAUAUGGUUAUUAUUGUAAUGCUUAAAGACUCAAGUGUAUGCUUAGAGUAGGUGCUAAUCUAGUGGAUAGUUGCUAAGUGAUAAACUUGCUGCUGAAAUAUAAUACAUGAAUUAUUUACAACAAAGGCUUUUAUGCAAAAGGUGAGUCAAACCAGUCCACAGAGAUCAGCCUUGCAUACUCCUUGGUGUCACUUUAUUUCUGGUUUAUGACGGGUAAGUCUAGCUGAGUACAUUCUCGUACUCAGGGUUUUAUUUACCCCUGUUGCAGAUGAUAUCGUCUAUCACGGCUAUUGCGCUAACUGUCAUCACCCAGCUGCGGAUGAUGAGUAGAUCAUGGGCGUGAUCACAUUCUUUAUCUUCAGUUAUGCUUUUGUUGGGACUUGACCAUAGAGCUGGCAUGUAAUAUAACUGUUGGUGUUGUUUCAAAACUACUUUUAUUUCCGCUACUGCGAUGGUUGUAAUAACCUCUUUUAAACUCUGAUGUGAUGUAAAACUAUGUUCUGUGAUGGAUGUUGUAAUCUGUGAUGGUGAUGCUUGAUCAUGUACGAUCUUGGUUGUAUGUUGGUUGAAUCGAGGUCUUUUGAGAUUUCGUCGGACUACCGGGUUUAUAUGGGUUCAAGUCCAUUGGCUUGACUGCCUCAGUGGUCACUAAUUCACUUGAAUUGUUAUAAAUUGGACGGUUCUGUUACAAGUUUCGGCAGCGAGAAGGUUAGUCUCGCUCUCCGAGGCAGCUGCUUGUAGCUGCGUUGGUUGACUCCGCUGACCAGAGGACUUAUUCAUGUAGGCUUGGAGGAGGAGGUCGCACGCCUUCUGUUGACGGUUCUUAAGUAUCAAUUUUAAUAAUCAAAUAAACAAGAGAAAGGACCAAUAUGCAACCAUCACCUAGAAUUAGGGUUUGAUCUGACAGAAUUCCACGAGUUUUGUUGUUUAUCUGUUUCUGCAGGGGGUUAUCAGGAAAUAAGGAAGAAAGGCCCACAUGUCAGGAUUACAUAGAGAUAUCCACGCACCGCGCAAUUUUACAUCAUCUAGAAGACUCCAGAAGCCACGAGACCGAAGCGGAGGCGAAGCUGGGCCAGGCCCAGGGCGCCCGCCCUGGAAGCCUGGGCGCCCGCCCCCCUGCUGGAGCCAAUUCAGGACUCCUUCGCUCAGGAUAUUCCACCGACCUAUUGGAUCAAGAAAAACAUAGUACCACCUCGGCUAUCGACCCAAAAACGCAUAGAAGGGGAGGACUAUAUAAGCGAGGCCCCCCUGGCCCCUGGAAGACAUGAAGAAAUUAUCAUAGAGACUGAGGGGUGCCCUCGAAGGAAAACCUCUUCUCUAAUUAAUAUUUCUUUUUAGGCUUAGCAAUCAAUGUAAGGUAGAAAUAGAUCUUCUAGUUUCUACUAGAUUGAGAGAGAUAGAGUGGAGGUGUAGAGUGGAGGAAGCCCGGCCUGUCGGUGUCUACUCCAAGCUUGUACCUGCGGGAUCAAGUUCUCCUAACCCGAAGCUUGAUCCUAGGAUUCUUCAGUAAUUCGACUUCUAAAUUCUAGUAAGUUCUUGUUUUAUUGUUCUUAUGGUUUAUGAGUUUACUUUAAUCUCUUCGCGUAGAGUUUAGAGUAAUCAUUGCUGGCGUAAACGUGGUGUUUAGGCUGGGGUACUCAUAGAUAUUCCCUGACUAGCUGGACCGUGGUAGUAGUGAGGAACGUGACAAUUCCGAGCUACCUUUGUAGAUCACAUCUCGUUAGCAGGAAGGAUAGGGUUUAUAGGUGCGGGUUGAACAUCCUUUGUGGUGUCUAGAUUCCGUUAGCCUCCCCAUUAGAACAAUAGAUCAUCCUUACCAAGGUUAGAAGGAGACUACGGUUGCAGUCUUCUCUAUUUAUCACUCACAUCGAAAGACAUUCUUUGUGCCUAAAGGUUAGUAGUAAUAGACCGGUUAGUCAGAUGCACUCUUUCUCCUAGUGGUAAAAAAAUAAAUACGAUACUCUGGAUAACCUCCCGGGUGAAGUGCUCACCAAUAUCCGUGCGCUUGCGGAUCAAUUCCUUAUUGCGUUCGCAAAUAUCAACAAGCAUUUCUGGCGCCGUUGCCGGGGAGAAAGACGGUUGCUGAGAUAACCUGUGUCUUGCUACUAGCUUGUAUCUAUACUUUUAUCUUUUCUUAUCUUUUAUAUUCUUUAUUUAUUUUUCUUUACUCUUACCUUAUGGAAAACCAAAAUUCUAAAUCGAUCCAUGAGUCUGCAAUCCCUUUAGCAACUGACCUUUUACCAUGGGAAUCAUCACAGCCUAUUCAAACACCCCAGUAUAAGUUAAGUUCUAGGUUGAUUGCCAUGAUUCAAAACUUAUCUUUUUCGGGAAAGGAAGACGAAAACCCUUACCUUCAUAUUAGAGAUUUUGAGCAAACAUGUGAUUGUCUUCGCAUGGAAGGCAUUUCUGAUAAAACUUUACGUUGGAAGCUUUUUCCUUUUUCUUUAAGGGGAGAAGCUAGACAAUGGUACAGUCAGAAGGUAAGUCAACAACAAGGUGAAUGGGGAGUUUUACGAGCCAACUUUUGUCUAGAUUUUUAUUCCCUUGACCGUAUAGCCGACCUUAGACUCGAAGUCCUAUCUUUUAAACAAAAAGAUAAUGAAACUUUGGGAAAAUCCUGGAAACGUUUUUCUCAUCUUUUAGAAUCUGGUCCAAACCUUAAUCUUGAAGACCCUGUUCUUUUAUUUCACUUUUUUCGAGGUCUUCAUAAAAAUCACAAACAAAUGCUGCACACAAUGUCUAGAGGUUCUUUCUUUCGCAUCCCUUCUAAUGAAGCUAGAGUGAUCCUAGAUAGAAUCCUAGAAGCUGAGAUGGAUAAUACCCUUCAUGAUGAAACCUACGAAGCCGAAGUAGACACUCUGCCAAAUUCUUCAUCUACUUUAGCUAUCCCAAGUUCUGAGCCUCAAGAGGAAGAAAUUCCACUACCGGACUUCAUGCUGGAUAUAGAAUCCGAUCUUUUUGCUGAUUUUGGAAAUAUUUCAAACUACCAUUCUAUUGACAAACCCCAAAACGGCCAGUUUAGCAUUUAUUUACCAAGUGAAUAUCAAUUGAGAGAGCUUAUCUCAGUAAUGAGUAGCGAAUGGUUGGAGGAAUCAGAGCUUUCCUCUGAUGUGAUCCGUUUGGACACACCCUCUAUAACUAUACGUUGUGCUUAUAAUUCUGAUCGAUUUAAUGCUCUUUAUAAUCCUGUUGUGGGGAUCAACAUUAUGUCUGAAUCGUUUGCACUUAAACUAUUUAAAAAUCUUAUCUUAACCCCCACAACAAAGGUCAUAAAGGAAUCUUCGGGACGAUUAGUCCCCAGUCUUGGAAUUAUUAAUGUCCUACCUCUUACGGUAGAAGGCUCCAUGGUGCACUUGAACUUCUAUAUCUUUGAUACAUGGGACUUCGACCUGUUAAUAGGACAACCUUUUAGAAGACUCCUUUAUGAAGGUCAUACUGGAAAGCUACACAUUUCUUUUGGAAAAACUUUUCAAUUCCCAAUGAUAAUUUCACACUCCUUAAAUAAUAAGGCCGAGUCAUAUCUUUUGCCUGAUCCUAUGGAGGAAGUAAAGGCUGCAUCUCUAGAGCUUUUAGAUGAACCAGACUUAGAAGACGAAACUCCUUUCUUCACAGAAGAAGAAGACGAACCUUCCGAGCCUGAACCCUUAGAUGAGUUUGCAGAAACACCUAGACCCCCCAUAGAACUUAAAACUUUACCACCUGGUCUUACCUAUGCUUUCCUAAACAAUAAUCCAGAGUUCCCUGUGAUCAUUAGCGAUAAACUCACUCAGGAUCAAACUCUACGAUUAAUGACCAUUCUUGAGAAACAUCACUCAGUUUUCGGCUACUCACUUCAAGAUCUUACAGGAAUCAGUCCUAUGAUUUGUACCCAUCGUAUUCCAACAGAUCCUUCUGUUACACCCACUCGAGAACCCCAACGUAGACUUAACAACACUAUGAGAGAGGUAGUUAAAAAGGAAGUUAUUAAGUUGCUGCAUGCAGGGAUUAUAUAUCCUGUGCUGCACAGUGAGUGGGUAAGCCCAGUACAAGUUGUGCCCAAAAAGGGAGGCAUGACAGUUAUUAUGAAUGAAAAGAAUGAGCUAAUUCCGCAACGCACCAUCACAGGAUGGCGGAUGUGCAUAGACUAUAGAAAAUUAAACAAAGCCAUGAGAAAGGAUCACUUUCCUUUACCUUUUAUAGAUGAGAUGCUAGAGCGGUUAGCAAACCAUUCGUUCUUCAGGGUAUCAUCAGAUCCCGAUCCAUCCUGAUGAUCAAAGCAAAACCACUUUUACAUGCCCUUAUGGAACUUAUGCUUACCGUAGAAUGUCUUUUGGGUUAUGUAAUGCACCAGCUUCUUUUCAAAGAUGUAUGAUGUCUAUAUUUUCUGAUAUGAUUGAAGAGAUUAUGGAAGUUUUCAUGGAUGAUUUCUCUGUUUAUGGAAAAACUUUUGAUAGUUGUCUUGAAAACUUAGACAAGGUUUUGCAAAGAUGUGAAGAAAAGCACUUAAUCCUUAAUUGGGAAAAAUGUCAUUUUAUGGUUAGAGAAGGAAUAGUGCUAGGACACUUAGUGUCUGAAAGAGGUAUUGAGGCAGACAAAGCUAAAAUUGAAGUAAUUGAACAACUACCUCCACCUGUGAACAUAAAAGGAAUUCGAAGUUUUCUUGGCCAUGCUGGUUUUUAUCGUAGAUUCAUAAAAGAUUUUUCAUUUAUUGCUAGACCACUUACUCUUUUGCUAGCCAAGGAUGCUCCUUUCGAAUUUGAUGAUGCAUGUCUAACAUCUUUCAAUUUAUUAAAGAAAGCACUCAUCUCUGCACCAAUCAUUCAACCCCCUGAUUGGUCGUUGCCUUUUGAAAUUAUGUGUGAUGCUAGUGAUUAUGCUGUGGGGGCAGUAUUAGGACAAACUAAAGAUAAGAAGCAUCAUGCAAUUGCUUAUGCCAGUAAAACUUUGACAGGAGCUCAACUUAAUUAUGCAACCACUGAAAAAGAGCUUCUGGCUGUUGUCUUUGCCAUAGAUAAAUUUAGAUCUUAUUUAGUUGGAGCUAAAAUAAUUGUUUACACUGAUCAUGCUGCAUUAAAAUAUUUGCUCACUAAAAAAGAUGCUAAACCUCGCCUGAUUAGAUGGAUCUUAUUACUCCAAGAAUUUGACUUAGAAAUAAAAGAUAAAAAAGGAGUAGAAAAUUUUGUUGCUGAUCACUUGUCUAGAAUGUAUUUUAAGAGUCCACAGGAAACCCCCAUCAAUGAUUCACUCCGGGACGACAUGCUCUACGGGAUUAACAGGUCUGACCCUUGGUAUGCAGAUAUUGUUAAUUUUAUGGUUUCAGGGUAUGUACCACCAGGAGCAAACAAAAAGAAGCUUACUCAAGAAAGUCGUUCACAUAUAUGGGAUGAGCCAUACCUCUUCCGAGUAUGCUCUGAUGGCUUACUCAGGAGAUGUGUGACCACUGAGGAAGGAUGGAAGAUCAUCGACAGAUGUCAUUCAUCACCAUAUGGAGGUCACUAUGGAGCAUUCCGUACACAUUCAAAGAUCUGACAGUGUGGAUUCUAUUGGCCUACAAUGUAUGAAGACACGAAGCAAUAUAUGAGAAGAUGUGGGCCAUGUCAAAGACACGGAAACAUAAAUACAAGGGAUGCAAUGCCACUCACCAACAACCUUCAGAUUGAGCUCUUUGAUGUCUGGGGAAUAGACUACAUGGGUCCAUUUCCUCCAUCAAAGAAGUGUGAGUACAUCUUGGUGGCAGUUGACUAUGUCUCCAAGUGGGUAGAAGCAUUACCUUGCAAGCAUGCCGACAACGUCAGUUCAAAGAGGAUGUUUGAAGAAAUUAUAUUUCCAAGAUUUGGAGUCCCCAGAGUAGUGAUGAGUGAUGGAGGAGCACACUUCAUCGACAAACGCUUCAAGCAAUAUCUAUCAAGACAUGGAAUCCGUCACAAUGUCGCUACCCCCUAUCAUCCUCAGACAAGUGGCCAAGCAGAGACUUCCAACAAACAAAUCAAGAAUAUUCUUCAGAAGACAGUAAAUGAAAUGGGAACGGCGUGGAAAGACAAGUUACCCGAUGCACUCUGGGCAUACCGGACAGCAUACAAGACCCCAAUUGGAAUGUCUCCAUACCAAUUGGUGUACGGGAAGACUUGCCAUCUACCUGUUGAACUAGAGUUAAAAGCACACUGGGCCAUAAAGAGAUGGAAUAUGGACCUAGAUGUUGCUGGAGAUUAUAGAAGAAUGCAACUAUCAGAAUUGGAAGAAUGGCGAGAGAAGGCAUAUCACAAUUCAAAGAUCUACAAAGAAAGAGUCAAGAGGUGGCAUGACAAGAGAAUCAAAAAGAAGGAGUUCACACCCGGAGAUAAGGUAUUACUUUUUAAUUCCAGGGUGAAGCUUUUCGGGCAUGGAAAACUCCGGAGCAAAUGGGAAGGACCAUUCAAGGUAAUCAAUUCAUCAUCCCACGGAGCUAUCACACUUCAAAAUAAUAAAGGUACGUUAUUCAAGGUAAAUGGUCAACGUCUUAAAUUAUUUUUAGAGCCCAAUGAGGAAUUUGAAGAAAUAGACGUAGUCCAUUUUUACCUUCCCAUAGAAAAUUAGAGCCCGACACUUUUGGUCUGAUGGUUUUGGGGCAUAUAUAUAUUUUUCUAAAUAAUUUCGCAUCUAGAAACGCGCUCGGAGAAGUGGGCCCACAGAGGGGCCAGAGAGAGGGCGGGCGCCCAGGUCAAGUGGGCGGGCGCCCUGCCCCUGUUCCCCCUCGGUCCCGACUUUCUCUGUUAUGGAAAAUGCACUUAGGGUGAUCCGAAUAACUCCUCGGAUGGAAAGUUUCCCACGCACAUCGAUGGGAGCAACCCGAACAACCCAUAGAGGCAUCCUUUUGACCCCUAUAUAAACAGACCCCUGACCUCAGUUUUCAAACACCAAGCCACCAAGCUUUCUCUCUUUCAAUUAGAGCUUGAUUAGCUCUCCUUCAAUUAAAAUUUUAUUAGUUCCUUGCUACUCCAAUGGCCGACAAGUACCACGACGAUUGGGAAGUCGUCCCCUUCAACCUCAACAUGGAGCCAGUGGAAGACCCCGAUGCCCGUGCUCUCGUCCCGGCCAACACAGAACGUCAGCUAGAAGCCAUGCCAUUACGUCAACGCAGCUCCGCCCAAUCUUACCAUGCUCAACCAGUUCUCACCGCACCACCACAAACCCUACUUCUCAAAGGACCAUCAUCCAAUACGAAGACCACUAUCAAGGUGCCAAUCGGCACAAGAGUCCUUCCACCUAGACCCAAUGAGAGGGUCGUUGGAGUCAAGACCAACCGAAGCGGCGAGAUCAGCAGCGUUCGCUACACUACGGAGGAGGAAAGGCCUUACUUUGAAGGGAUUAGAGCAUCCAAAGUCCGUUUCAUCCCUCCAAAGGCAGCCCCGAAGCACGCUCUCAAUGCUUUUGAGACACCUCCCAAGCGUCGCAAGACUAUAAUGGAUAUUGAUGAGGAAGUUCGCAGGCUAGAUAGAAUUAUCAUAGACCUCCAGUCCUCGAUUAAUUCCCUCACUAGGCAGCUCUCUAACCACAACACCGUUAUACUAGGCCUUAGGCAGGAUCUUGCCAGUGCCAACAAGAAGAUCAAGGAAUUAGAGCGCCGCUAAGUUAUCUAGAUUAGACCUUGAGGCAAUACAUCUUAGUUAUCUUUAAAUUCUGUUUAAGUUUGCUAUUAUUAGUUUGCUAUCAGUUUGCUAUCAGUCUUUUGUAAUAAAUGCCUCAAGAUCAAUAAAGAGUAUUAUUAUUAUGUCUUGUGUGUCUCUACUUUAUUUUUGUACAAGAAAGCAGAAAACAAGUAUGGGGGAGAUCCCUCAACAUGCCAAACACACUCCGACUACACCACUCCACCACUAAGGUACACACUCUGCACACUUUACUUUACACAUAUAUUUAUUUUGGAUUAUGCAGAUUUCUGUUUUCGACAUGAUAAAAUAAAAAGAUUAAAAUAUUUCUAAUCAUGAUUAAUCUCAAUCUGUGAUAUUUCCUGAAAACUUGCAAUUAGUAUAAAAUCAUUUAAAAAAAACCCUGUGUUACUUAAGUCAAUAUGGAAUAUGUGAUGGUAGAGUAUGAGUUUCUUAUUCUUGAUAUCAUGGUUGCUUGGAGAAUUUAUUUCAAAAUAUUCAAAUUUCUAGCUACCAUCCUCAGUGUUUUAUAUGCCUGAUAAAACUGAAAUAUUAAUUAUGAUUAUAAAAGCUAUCUGCUCUGUAUUGAGUUUGUUCAAAAUGAGUUAGACCCUUGUUGAGAGAUUUAUCAUGCUCCCAAGAUCAAGACACUAUUUCAGUAAGAUUCACUCUUCCGAAGUAUUAUUGCAUUAGAGGCAUGGGCUAUGCAAAAAUAGAAGAUAUUUCGAGGAAAUAAAAAGGAGCAAGUGCUCGACAACCUCGCAGAAAAAAAUGGACAAGUGUCCGGCAGUAGAAUUAGGGGUACCUCAGUAUCCACUUAAAAAAAAAUAAUAAUAAAAUAAAUGAUAGCCCAUGGUCCCUCUAAUAAGCAAUAUGCAGCAAGAGAUGACAAAGUUUUUAAUUUCCAAAGUCUUUGAUCUAAGAGUAUGACAUUCCCCUCCUCGGAUCCCGUUUUGAUCAGGCAAUAAAUGCAAAGUAAGUAUGCUUGAGAAUUUUUGCAAAAUUAAAACAGCCUCAGUGAGAAAUAUAUAAAAGAUAAUGAGUGAUCUGAGAGAACCUAUGAGGAUCAAAAGGUAUGCUAACUUUCUUUAAAAAUAUAUUCAAAAACUCCAAGUAACAGGAUUGAGAAGAAAGGAUCUUUACUCUUAAUCAUAUACAUCCCUGACUAUGGUACACAGUGAAUUUUUAACACCCUGCAAUUAUAAAGAGAAUGCUUUAAAAUGUUUACCCCAGAUAUUUUUCUUAACCAUCCUUUUCUCGAGGACGAGUAAAAGCCUAAGUAUGGGGGUAUUUGUUGACGGUUCUUAAGUAUCAAUUUUAAUAAUCAAAUAAACAAGAGAAAGGACCAAUAUGCAACCAUCACCUAGAAUUAGGGUUUGAUCUGACAGAAUUCCACGAGUUUUGUUGUUUAUCUGUUUCUGCAGGGGGUUAUCAGGAAAUAAGGAAGAAAGGCCCACAUGUGAGGAUUACAUAGAGAUAUCAACGCACCGCGCAAUUUUACAUCAUCUAGAAGACUCCAGAAGCAACGAGACCGAAGCGGAGGCAAAGCUGGGCCAGGCCCAGGGCGCCCGCCCUGGAAGCCUGGGCGCCCGCCCCCCUGCUGGAGCCAAUUCAGGACUCCUUCGCUCAGGAUAUUCCACCGACCUAUUGGAUCAAGAAAAACAUAGUACCACCUCGGCUAUCGACCCAAAAACGCAUAGAAGGGGAGGACUAUAUAAGCGAGGCCCCCCUGGCUCCUAGAAGACAUGAAGAAAUUAUCAUAGAGACUGAGGGGUGCCCUCGAAGGAAAACCUCUUCUCUAAUUAAUAUUUCUUUUUAGGCUUAGCAAUCAAUGUAAGGUAGAAAUAGAUCUUCUAGUUUCUACUAGAUUGAGAGAGAUAGAGUGGAGGUGUAGAAUGGAGGAAGCCCGGCCUGUCGGUGUCUACUCCAAGCUUGUACCUGCGGGAUCAAGUUCUCCUAACCCGAAGCUUGCUCCUAGGAUUCUUCAUUAAUUCGACUUCUAAAUUAUAGUAAGUUUUUGUUUUAUUGUUCUUAUUGUUUUAAUCUCUUCGCGUAGAGUUUAGAGUAAUCAUUGCUGGCGUAAACGUGGUGUUUAGGCUGGGGUACUCAUAGAUAUUCCCUGACUAGCUGGACCGUGGUAGUAGUGAGGAACGUGACAAUUCCAAGCUACCUUUGUAGAUCAUAUCUCGUUAGCAGGAAGGAUAGGGUUUAUAGGUGCGGGUUGAACAUCCUUUCUGGUGUUUAGAUUCUGUUAGCCUCCCCAUUAGAACAAUAGAUCAUCCUUACCAAGGUUAGAAGGAGACUACGGUUGCAGUCUUCUCUAUUUAUCACUCACAUCGAAAGACAUUCUUUGUGCCUAAAGGUUAGUAGUAAUAGACCGGUUAGUCAGAUGCACUCUUUCUCCUAGUGGUAAAAAAAUAAAUACGAUACUCUGGAUAACCUCCAGGGUGAAGUGCUCACCGAUAUCCGUGCGCUUGCGGAUCAAUUCCUUAUUGCGUUCCCAAAUAUCAACACCUUCGACAGCAGAAAGAGCAGCUCAGCCAAGAGCUUGCCAGUGCGCUGGAGACUGGGCGCCGAGCAGGGGAGGAGUUGGGUCAGAAGGACUGGGAGUUGUCUGGUAAUACGCGCCACCCCGUUAUCUGCCGCUAUACGCCCUUUUUUUUGAUAUGUUGAAAAUAACAUCUUGCUUGACUUUCAGUGCUCAAGGUGAACGCCAAGAAGCACCUGGACGAGCUGGUCAGGGACCGGGACUCCUGGAAGGUCAAUUGUUGUAAGAUCUGGAAAGGAGUGUCCCCGGUCCUGGACUUGAUCAGCCCCGAGCUCCCGGAGAGCCAGCCCCGCGCGCCGAAAUUGACGCCAGUUGAAAAGGCGCAAUGGGCGUGGGACUAGCUUCAGCAGUUCGUGAAGGAUGCUGGGGAGUUUGCUGGUGCGCACAUCCUUAGCAUGGUGCGCGCCCACGACCCCCUGGUUGAUUUGACCAGGCUGGAGAAGGGGUACCCCAAGGAGGUCGGCCCGCAGGAGGCGGACGAGCUUCGGGGUGGUCUGCUGGACUUGUCGUCGACGGUGAUCGGCGACAUCAAUCUAUGCGGAACGGCCACUCCCCCCGACCAGCCAGGUUCAGACAGGUCAGCCAGGGAGCUGUCGGGCACGUCUAUUGCGGGAGAUGGGCGGUCGAGGCCUGCGGUCUCGACCAGCCAGGCGCCGGUGGCCCCUACCCCUUCGUCCGGGCAGCAAGGCCAGGCGGGUGAUCAGCCCGAGCAGUAGGCCAGUAGGAUAGUCUGUAGGAGUAGACUAGUGUCCGCCCGUCAGGGUGUUUAUUGUAAACUUUGUAUGUAAAGUUUGUAAUAAAGUUUUGAAUUUGUCAUGACUACUAUUUUGAGCGCUGUGAAGUUGUCUUAGUGACGUGUCACUGUGUUUGAUUCAUGGUCGUUAAGAUUUUCCGUCGCAGAGGACAUUGUUGUUCUCCGCUGAAAGCUCUGCGUGUAAACAAAGUAUAGCCAAAAAAGAAAAAACUUUUAUUACUGCCAACUAUAAGAGACUUACAAGCAAAAGUUACUAGAACUUAUGGAUAAAAUCGGCGCAGUUUGUCUAUGUGCCAAGAGUUAGGCACGCGUGUUCCAUCUGGAUACGCCAAUCUGUAGGAUGUGGGUCGUGUGACUUCGGCGACCACAAAGGGUCCCUCCCAGGGAGUGGAUAGCUUGUGCAUUCCUUCCUGGCUUGUCUUCCACCUGAGUACCAGAUCGCCGACCACGAAAGAACGGUCCUUGACGUUUCUGUUAUGGUACCGCCUGACUGCCGCAAGAUACUUUGCUGUUCGGAGACAAGAAUUCAGACGCUUUUCCUCCAUGCAGUUGAUUUCGAGCUCUCUGGCGCUACCGGCUGUUGACUGGUCGAAGUUUUCAAUCCUAGGAGAACCGAAGGUUAUGUCGGACGGCAGGACAGCCUCGGUGCCGUAAACCAUGAAGUAGGGUGACACUCCUGUGUUCCGACUGGUCUGAGUUCGGAGGCCCCAGACCACGGCCGGUAACUCUUUCAUCCAUCGACCGGGUGCUCUGUCGUUCUCGGUGUACAGCCUUUUCUUUAGGGCAUCGAUGAUCAUUCUGUUUGCAUGCUCAACUUGACCAUUGGCCCGUGGAUGAGCUACUGACACAUAUUUUAUGACUAUGCCCCUGUCAUCACAGAAGUCCCAAAAUGUGGUGCCAGUAAACUGAGUACCCAGGUCGGUGAUUAUACUGUUUGGGAUCCUGAAUCAGUGUAUGAUUUGAUUAAGGAACUCCACAGCCUUCUCGGAGGUUGCUUUGACUAGUGGCAUGUAUUCAAUCCACUUGGAGAACUUGUCGAUUAGCACGAAAACGAACUUGAAGUUGCCAGGGGCCGGUUUAAAUGGCCCGAUCAUGUCAAGUCCCCACCAGGCAAAAGGCCAGGAUGACGGGAUAGUUUGAAUCUCAUGAGCAGGUACGUGGGUCCUUUUAGCGAAGAACUGGCACCCCUCACAGUGUUGGACCAGUUUUUCGGCGUCGUUGACCGCGGUUGGCCAAUAAAAUCCUGCUCAGAAAGCUUUCCCGACCAGCGUUCUGGAUGCAGCAUGGUUGCCGCAGGAUCCGGCAUGUAUGUCUUCGACGAGUUUGAUGCCAUCAGCUUGAGAUAUGCACUUGAGUAGUACUCUAUGCCGUAGAAGUUGGUUUCCCAUUUGCGAAUUUCUUUGCAGUUGAGAUCCAUCUUUUCGUGGGUCGCGUCCCACUCCUUGUUGAGCUGGUUUAUAACUAAGGCAGAGUCGCCAUAGACAUAGAGGCGUUUGACCCCCAACUCAACGGCUAAUCUUAUGCCGUGGAGGCAUGCUUCGUAUUCGGCGACGUUGUUUGAUGCCGGAAAGAGGAUCCUAAGGACGUAACGCAGUUUGUCCUUGUUAGGCGAUACGAAGAGUAUCCCAGCGCCGGCGCCGUUGAUGUUCAGUGACCCGUCAAAGAACAUUGACCAGUGGUCGGAGAUGUCAGGAACGGGAGGCUCGUUGAGAUCCGUCCAUUCAGCAAUGAAAUCGACGAGGGCCUGAGACUUGACUGUGGUGCGGCUCUGGAACUCUAGGGAAAAUGGGCAUAACUCCAUCGCCCAUUUUACAAUUCUGCCGUUGGCGUCUUUAUUGCGCAGAAUGUCCCCAAGAGGGAAACUGGUGAUUACCAAGAAUCGAUGGCCGUCAAAGUAGUGCUUCAGCUUUCUUGAUGUUAUUAGAAUAGCGUACAUGAGCUUCUGUAUUUGCGGAUACCUAGCCUUGGACUCGUUUAGGACUUCGCUUAUAAAGUAAACGGGUCUCUGGACCUUGUAGACGUGACCUGGCUCAUCUCGCUCGACCACUCUUGCCGUGGAGACAACCCUGUUGGUUGCAGCAAUGUAAAGUAGUAGGUCUUCAUUGGGCUGAGGUGCUGUAAGAACAGGCGGGGAAGUGAGGAAAGCCUUAAGCUGGGUGAACGCAGCAUCGGCUUCCUCUGUCCAGGAGAACUUUUCCGACGCCUUCAAGAGUUUGAAGAAAGGGAGGCCUUUUUCUCCUAGUCUUGAGAUGAAGCGGCUGAGUGCGGCCAUACACCCGGUGAGCUUCUGAAUAUCCUUGACAUUUUUAGGUGGUCGCAUGUCAAGUACUGCUUUUACUUUUGAGGGAUUCGGCCGUAUGCCGUCGCGACUGACAACGUUGCCAAACAGUAGACCAGAAGGAACACCGAAGAUGCACUUUUUGGGGUUAAGCUUCCACUUGUAUCUAUUAAGCGCCUUAAAGGUUCGGUCUAGGUUGUCGAUUAGGGUGCUUGCAUCCGUUGUUUUGACGACCAUGUCAUCGACAUAGGCCUCGACGAGGUCAUCACGAAUCUCGUCGUGGAGGCAUUGCUGGAUGGCCCGUUGAUAAGUGGCUCCGGCGUUUUUGAGUCCGAAUGACAUGGUCGUGUAGCAAUAUGCGCCGAAAGGAGUAAUGAAAGAUGGUUUUAUCUGAUCGUCUUCCUUUAGCGAGAUCUGGUGAUAACUAGAGUAGCAGUCUAGAAAAGAGAGGAGUUCGCAUCCGGCCGUUGAGUCGACCACCUCGUCGAUGCGAGGGAGACCAAAAGGAUCUUUAAUAUAGUGUUUAUUGAGAUCAGUGUAAUCAACGCACAUUCUCCAUUCAUUAUUCUUUUUGCGUACAAGAACCGGAUUGGCAAGCCAAUCGGGAUGAUACACUUCUUUUAUGAAUCCGGAUGUUAUUUCUGUCCUAAUAGCCUCCUUUUUGUCACGAGCGAACCAUCACAGCUUUUGCUUGAUUGGUCUUGCAGUCUUCGAGACAUUUAAGGAGUGCUCGAUUAGGUUUCGUGGGACGCCGGGCAUAUCUGCGGGUUUCCAUGCGAAAACACUUACGUUGUCCCUUAGAAACCUGUCGAGCGCGUCUUCCUAUUUGGGAUCGAGAUUGGCCCCGAUGAGGGCUGUCUUCUCAGGACUGCCGUCGACCAGUUGUACUUCUUUAUACUCCUUGGAUUUUAAAUUCUUCCUGGCAGUCUCCUGCUCGGGUAAUCGGAGCUGGUCGGGAGGCAGCUGCGCGGCUUGGGUUGUUGUUUCUGCCAUGCGAAUUGAGAGGUCGAUUGCCUCGGUGAUCUUGAAGCUUUCUUCUUCGCAGGUAUAUGCGGUGUAGACAUUGCCUCUGACGGUUAGGACGCCCUUCUCCGUAGGCAUUUUAAGGACUAGGUAUGAGUAGUGCGGGACUGCCAUGAACUUUGUCAGUGAUGGUCGGCCCAGUAUGGCGUGGUAGGUCCCGUCGAAGUCCGCGACCACAAAGUUGACGAACUCUGUCCGAAAGUGGUCGGGUGUGCCGAAUUGGACAGGCAAUGUUAUCUGUCCGAGGGGCACUGAACUCUGACCUGGCAAAACUCCCCAGAAUUGAGCAUCGUAUGGUUUUAGUUGUGCAGGAGAUAUCUUGAGAGCGGGCAGGCUGUUGCGGAAGAGGAUGUCAAUGGAGCUUCCUCCGUCCACGAGCACGCGCUCGAAUCUGAUGUUGUUGAUGCAAGGGUCCAGGAUUAGAGGAAAUGACCUGGCUCUGGGAUAGCGGCCCACUGAUCCUUCCUGCUGAAGGAGAUCUCCCUAUGCGACCACGGGGGAAAUUUCGGGUCUGCGAUCAGUCCGUCCGUGCUGUCUAUGUUGAGGCAGGCUCUUUUUAAUAGCUUUCUUUCUCGCUUAGAUUCGAUGGAGACCUUGCCCCCGAAGAUGGAGUCGACCACGUCGGUGGGGCUGACAUAUUGGUGUCGAGGGUCCCUAUCCUGGUCCUCGUCCUCGUCUUCGUGCUCGUGCCCGUCUCGCUGGCCGUUUUUCUUGGAGGAGUCGUCUUGGGUGGCCCGCCGUGUAUAGAUGUUUUUGAGGACGCGGCACUCUUCCAUGGUGUGAUUAGAUUUUGGAUGUAGUUGGCACGGUCCCUUCAACGUUUUGUUGUAGUCUUCUUGGUAGUCUCGCCGCCCGUUGGGACGCUUGACCGUAUUCACUUCGUGGUCGUGGUCGCGGGGGCGCUUUCCUCUGAAGUCGUCGCGAUUGUCGCGCCGCCGAUCCCAGCCUUCUCUAUGAUCGCGGUUGUCGGAGCAGCGGUGGUUUCUGUUGUUGAAACGACCGCGACCGUCAUCUCGCCGGGGAGGCUGGUCGGGACCUCUCGCAUCGUCCCGGAUUAGUUUCUCUGCAUCGUCGGCAUCGGCGUAAUUUUUAGCCGUGGCGAGGAGUUCCGCCAUCGUUGUUGGCCUUUUGCGCAACAGCUUGUUCCUUAGUGCUUCAUGGAAACGUAGGCCCUUGAUGAAGGCAGAGAUGGCCUCGUCGUGGGAAAUCUUCAGGACCUUAAGGCGCAUAUCCGAGAAUCGUCGGAUGUAGUCGCGCAAAGGUUCGUUUUUCCUGUCCCUUAUCCUUUCGAGGUCAUACUUGUUUCCAGGCUGUUCGCAUGUGGCGAUGAAGUUGUCGAUAAAAGCCUGGUGUAGCUCUUCCCAAGAGUCGAAGGAGUCCUCGGGCAAGCCAAGAAGCCACUGAUGACCAGCCUGGUCGAGGACUACUGGGAAGUAGUUGGCCAUGACGUGCUCAUCUCCCGCUGCUGAUCGGACGGCGAUUUCGUAGAGAGUGAUCCAGUUCUCUGGAUUUUCCUUGCCGUCGUAUUUUUUGAGUUUCUCAAGCUUGAAAUUGCGGGGCCACACGACCUGGCCGUGUGAGGAGAACUGUCUUAGGCCCGGGGGGCCGUGCGUUGCAUCGUACUCGAUACGGCUCAGGUUUUCGUGGACUGCUGUCUCCGUGGCGCGCCUGUUGAUGUGGUCCCGGGCAUCUUUAGGAGGGAUGUUAUAUCGAAGAUCCCUUGCUGGUUUACUUCUUGACCGCGCGUGCGGUUCUGCUCGCGGUGGCCGUCAGUGUCCCGACCGCCAUCGUCACGCCGUGAAUCUUUUCGAUGGUUGUCGGGGGAACGGCUACGGUGAUGCCUGCUGGGAGGCGGUGAGGUCUGGCUACGAUGUGUCUGGUCGGAGGUGGCUUCCGUAUAAGAGACGGCCUAGACUCUUUUGAGCAGAGUGGCUGUCUGUCCCAUUGCGGCGAUUAGGUGCGCUCGGAUGCUGGUUCGGACCCCCUGGCACUCAGGGGUAUCGGGGAGCCGAUCCAAAUUAGCCAUGGCGACAGCCACGUUGGCGCUUGGUGUUUUGUAGACUGGCUGGUCCCCGACCAUGUCAAAAGCGUCGCUGAGGUUAUGUGGCGGAAUUUGUCGUUCCUCAUCCGCGCGUCGCCGGGCGCGAUCGGCGUUACGCUGCUCGCGGAGCUGCCUCUGCUCGUCCGUUUCUCCAUCAACGACCGGCUCGUCGGUGCUGACGUUGAAAACAAUGUCUCCUCGCCGGGGGGGAAAUACCGGGAAACGGGAGAAACCUGGAGGAUGUGAAGGCAAAUCCAGGUUGUAGUCCUCGUCUUCGGAGUUUAUGACUUCGGUGGGGACAGAGCCGGUGCUCGAAUUUGUGCUGGAGGCCUAGCCAUCCCGUAGUUCUCGGAUUGUCACCAUGUUGACGUAGUGACCAGCAGGUCGUCCGUUCCUCUUUGGCAACCAACCCUCCUUGUUGAAAAGGGAUUGGACGUGCCGUGAGUAGAGAGAGGCCGAGUUGUUCAGGCCGCAGGGAUAAUCCUCCUCCGGGUUAGCCUUGAGUUUGACGGAUCGCCCUGAGGGGGUUGAGGUUAUCGUCAGAGACGCUCCUAGCCGUUCGUGUGUAGCGACACGAGUUGGCCGGUGGGAUUUGAAAAAAUACGUUGGGGCGGCUUGAUUAGGCUUGCGCAAGAUCCCAUCUACUAGUCGGGAAGCUUCAAGUAGCUUGGAAUCGGCGCGAUCGAGUGCCUGGAGAAGGCCCGAGCAGUCGAUCUUCUUUCCCUUGUAAAGCGAGAGCGGUGGUCGGGUGCUCGAAGCCGUCACCUAGGUGGUCGGAGCCGUCAUGAUCCCAGAUUGGAUCUAAGUUUCCUCCGGAAACGUGGUUGUGAGACCGCCGCCGCGCGUCGUCCACGUGAUCUGGCCGACGGUGAACGUGAGGCCUUCAGGCACGGCCGCGGAAGCUGGGAUUGUGACCAUCUUGUUUGCUGGAGAAGUUGAACGCACACCCCCUACCUGGCGCGCCAGUGUCGACGAAAGCUGGUCGGCAGUCUACCUUGGGGUAUACCCACGGUAGUAGUUUAUCGGUAGACGGUGCGCAAACUACGAACUCGAUGGUGACGCAAGACACGGACAAGCUUUUUAUCCAGGUUCGGCUGCCGAGUUGGCGUAAUACCUACAUCCUGCGUCUGAUUGUAUUGAUUUGUGUUGAGAGAAUAAUAUGUCCUAGGGGGGUCCCUUGCCCCUCCUUAUAUAGUCCGGAAGGCAAGGGUUACAGAUCUGGAAACUGAUCCUAGUCGGUUACAAUUGCCAUAGAUAGUUCAAUAUCGAUUCCUAUUCUAACCGACUAGAAUCCUGCUUGAUCUUCACGUCUUGUUUCCUUGCGCAAAACUCCAAGCUGUCGGAUCAAACCUUGAGCUUGUCUCGUAAUGGGCCAAGCCUCCUGGCCCAAGUCUAGCCGUAAGGGUAUAGGGGUUUAUACCCCCACACCUACUCCUUGAGAGGAGCUCGCUUCUUCACCUUCGUCAUCAGAAAUAUCGAUGGCAAAAGAGAAUAGGCUAUCUGGGGAGUGUUGUUCCAGAAAGGAAAUAGAGAUGAGCUAUCUGAUGGUCAAAUAUUAGUAAUAUAAUGGAUAAAGGUCAGGUAACUUACUUGCUUCAGAGCAAUUUCACGCCUCUGGCUUGGAGAUGCAAUCGGUACUACAGGUUGAUCGGCUAAGUUGCCGAUGGGAUAAUAUCAACUGAGAAAUUACAAGGAUGAUUAUGAUUUUCAAAAAUAAAAUUCAUCAGUGACAAUUCUAUGAUCAAUACUUUACAUUGAGGGGGUGCAGUGCUUGUUUGUUCUGGAGGAACAACCGAUGAUAUGCUCGGAUCGGCUGGAUCGGCAAUCCGCUCAGGCACAUCGGCCGGUGCUUCUUGUGUCUGGGGUGCUGGUCAAGGAGGAGACGGUACUUGUUGUGUCUGGGCUUCUGGUGACGAAGGGGAUGAUUCCACAUGAAUCGGUGACACAGGACGAGGAGGAGAAGAUGGUGCUAUCCUCUGGCACUUUGGUUGCGACUUGGUGCUCUUGGGGCCUUUUCUCUUGGCUUGGCUGGGCUGGGGGGCAUCAGCACUUGCUUGGGCACUUCUGGUGUUCGCCGAUUUGCCAGUUUGCUGUUACAACAACCAAGAUUUCGUGAGUGAAAGCAUAAAAAAUAUUAAUGAAAUUAUGUUGAAAGAUAAAAGUUACCGAUGAGGUUCCCACGGCAGUUGAUGUGCCCUGAAAAGAUUGUAUGAGUAUGGGACAAAAUCGGUAUAAGCAAAGGAAAUUAAAAGUCUACCUUGAAAGCCUGUGCCAGAGUGGUAGCGACAACCGAUGGGGACGUCUUCGACUGCUUGGUGGUCGUCUUCUUAAAGCGCAUGUUCCGAUGCGCCAAGGCCGCUAGACUUGGUGUGUUAUUACCGAUCAGAGAGAUUGGGCCUGAUGGAAGGAGUUCGAUCGGUCUUCCACUCCUGCUUACUGUUGGUGCUGGGUUAUCGACCUGUUAAAAUGAAUAUAGGUGAGUCAUCAAUAAGAUCAGAAGUAACAAAGGAACUGAGAUGUCGGUCGAAGACUUACAGUGUUAUCAAGCAUCUUAUAGUUGGGAUCGAUCAUGCCGCGGUAUGUCAGAGCCGAUGUGCUGAACAAGUGUUCCUUCCAUUAUUCCCACCAUUGUUUGUACAUCUGAGUAAUGAAGAGGGCUGGGAUCCAAGCAGAUAGAUCGAUAUCUGUCGUAUCGGCAUUUGGUUGAAGAUAGGCUAUCCUUAUCCACUCAAGUCCACUAGUUAUAGUCUCCCUUGGCUUCACCACAUCGGCGUAACAGAGUCUGAUCGGCAGCUGCCCAAAAGCCAGUAGACGAGGUAGUGUCGAUGGGUUAUAAAAUUCAUAAGUGGGUUGGUGUUCUUCUCACUGUCGAAACUAUUCACUGGGAUGGCCCUUGGAGUGAUGAUUGCCAUCAUCAAGUCGUUAUCUUUGUUGAGAGCAUCAUCAAAAUGGUGGAAGGUAGGCGGGAAUCUGGUUUCUGGAUCUUCAUAAGGCAUCCAUGCCCGCUGAUCUUUGGGAAGACCAUCAUACAAAGUCUGGAAGAAUCGACUGACGUGGUCUUCAUCACCACCAGUGCCAGGUAGAACUAUAGCUGCCUCACCAUAGUUCAGGGGUGGGCGAGUUGCCGAUUCUUCGUUAGCCAGUUCAUGGUCUUCAGAGAUAUCUCUAGGGGAUCGUUGUGCGAAGAGGUCGAACCGGAGGCGUUUGUGCAUGUGAACAUUAAGCCACAUGUGGAUAAACCACCAAGGGCCUCCUAGGUUGCCGACGGGUUCGCCUAACAGGAGCUUCUGAGCCACUUGAUGGAAAAGGUGAUAAGCAGAGCCUAGCUAGUAUCGGCCAAGAGGGAAUCGGCCACCAUCGGUUAAUUUCUCUGCUGCCGAUAGAUAAACAAAAGUUAGUCCUACCGAUCGGCCACAGAAGACAAAUUUAUCAAGCCACAUGUUCAGAAAGAUGGCAUGUUCCCUUUGCCGAACCGGUCGUGUCUUCUGAAACUUCUGGAUAUACCCUGACUAGCCGUCGAUGUUGCGAGUUUCUACUUUACGUUCGGCUUUGCUAUCGAACAGGUGACUAUCAUCGGCAGUUGCUAUUUUCAGACUGGUGAGCAUAAGUACAUCGGCAAGGGUAGGAGAAGGAGGGCAAUGGCCAAACAAGAAAGCAUUGAGGGUGUCUGACCAGAAAUACGAGGCCGCAAUCAGUAGUGAUUCAUUUCUUUCCAUAUCGGCAAUGGAUAGACUGAUGCAUUGAUCUAGCUUACGCUCACCCCAUUGGACUUCAUUUGAGUUUCUAACUCUAAUGAAUCAAUCCUUCCAUCCCUUAGUAGAGCUGGGCCAGGAUCGGAAGGUGUCUUUCCACAGAUCUAAAGAGAAAUUCUCAGCCCAAAAGGGGAUCCUAUUUGUUUCCGCAUUGAUCAGAUCGGUAGGAUCCGGGUUACCCAACGGCCUGAGACAUUGAAAGUGGGGUUGCUCGGUAGGGAUCACGAUUUUCUUAGUCAGUUCCUAAAGGUUUGAAGGUUGGAAGAACAGAAAAAGGAAAUAGAAGGAAAAAGAGGGCUAAGUAAAUAGAUUUGCAGGAGAUAAAAGUACGGCAAGAGAAAGAGAGGACAAGAGAGAAUUGACCUCAGGGACGGUGAAGUUGACAGCCAUUUCUUCCCGGAGAGGAAGAAGAUCGACGAUUUGAAGGACUGCUGGGGCUCGCUUGAGUUCUUGGGCUUCUCGAUCGAUGCCGCCACCAGGAAGAUGGGUUUGAAGAUGCAGAAUGGCAGGGUGGAGAAAGAGUGCCGAAGAAGGAAAUAUUUAUAGGAUAAAGUGAGCAGGGGCAUUUCUGACUUAUCUCUUUGCCAUAUCUGUAAAAAUCGAGGAUGUUCAGGUGGAAAUGGUAACUACUUGCACGAUAAUCAAGGGAUUGUGCAGGUCAUUUGACAGCGAGCGGUCAUGAUUUUAGGAGAUAUUUUACUAUGCAAGAUCUCCUAGUCGGCUCAUCGGCAAUCUUCUCUAACGGAAAUGUUGCCGAUGAGCGUAUAUUUAGGAGAUUCGGUUCGACAGGUUGAGGGAUUCGAGGUGCAUGCUGGAGAACCGGGCUAAGGUUGUUUGGAUUUGGUAAUUAAUUACUGUUAGGAGGGAGUAAUUGCGGAAAGACAUUAUUACUGAAGAGAAUUUCGGAGCAUUAAUGAUUUUAUACUACAAAAUUGCGGGGCAUGUGUUGACACCAUUUUUGGACACGUAUCUUUGGACACGUAUGUGGGAAUCAAUGAAGUAUAGAUCAGCAGGCGAAAGAGUGGUGACUGGUUCACAAAGGAGUUGCAGAUGGGUUAUGAUGCCGAUGAUGAAAUAGCAGAAUGUGGACAAGUCUAGGAGUGGUGAUUGAUCUAUGCCGAUGACCGAUACUGGUGGUUGCCGAUGGCUAUGAAAGGUGAUUUUCCAAUGAUAACAAAAGGAGGCGUAGGAAUUGUCGAUAGGAUGGUGGUGGUGUGCCGAUCGGCUGUGGUGGAUAAAUUAAUGUUUUCCAUAGUUAUUAGAGUUUGUUUUACAUACGGAUUCCGUUCGAUUAGGAAUUAGAGUCCUAGUCGUGUCUAAUUGUAACUCUUUUGGAUAGGGUAUAAAUGUAGACCCCGUAGCAAUGUAAGAAACAAUCACAAUCAAUCAAAGACAAGUUUUUACAUCUAUUCCAGCAUCUAUUUUUUCGACGACUUUGUCAACUCGCAUAUUUUCUUUUUACUUACGAGUUCUUAGGAAUUCCUCGAGUCAAUCUCGGCGAGUUCUCAAGUUCCGCAUGAAUACCUCUUCGUCGUGGCAUCCGGGCGUAUCGCUAUUGUCGGGACCAAAGUAUUCGAGUUAUCACCUUGGUCGAUUGUAAGGUUAAAUCAGCUGGCACGCCUUAAUAUUGAAUCGGGUAUUAGCCCUUUGUGUUUGCAGAUCUACUUUUGCAUCAACAACUUUAAACGGACCAACAUACCUUGAAGCUAGCUUUCCCUUCAUAUUAAACAUCUUCACACUUCUCAUUGGUGAUACUUUCAGGUACACAUAAUCACCCACUUCAAAAACUAGUUCUCUCCUACGCGUAUCCGCAUAGCUUUUUCUGACGAGACUGAGCAACUCUCAGGUUAUCCCGAAUAGUCUGCACCUGUUGCUCUGCAUGUCUAAGCACAUCUGUACCAAACACCUGAGUUUCUCCUAUCUGAUUCCAAAACAAAGGUGUCCUGCACUUACAACCAUACAGUGCUUCGAACGGUGCCAUCUUAAGACUUUGUUGAUAGCUGUUGUUGUAGGAGAAUUUUGCAUAUGGCAAACUCUUGUCCCAACUAGUCACAUACUGCAAAGCACAAGCUCUCAACAUAUCCUCCAGUAUCUAAUUGAUCCUCUCAGUCUGUCCAUCUAUCUGUGGAUGAUACGCUGUACUAAAGUUAAACUUAGUUCCCAAGGAAUCAUGCACUGCUUUCAAAAAGUGAGAUGUGAACUGAGUACAUCUAUCUGACACAAUCUUCUUAGGUACCCCAUGCAAACAAACAAUUCUCUCCAUAUACAGCUCAGCUAGGCGUUCUCCGGUGUACUUAGUCUUGACAGGUAUGAAAUGAGCAACUUUAGUCAAACGAUCUACUAUCACCCAUAUUGAGUCAUACCCUCUUUGUGUGCGUGGUAAACCCACUAUUGCAUAAUAACACAACCCAAACCCAGACGAGAAGCAUCACAAUAAAUGGAGAAACUCUUACUUAGAUCUUCCAAUAGAAACACAAUUGCAGUAGUCAAUCUCUUAGCAUUCUUCUCCAAUAGAGCAGUCAUAGGCUUUGCAAGUUUUGAGAAUCCUUCAAUGAAUCUCCGAUAGUAACCAACUAAACCAAGAAAACUGCGAAUUUCACAUACAUCUGUAGGUGUUUUCCAAUUAAGCACAUCUUUCACCUUACUAGGAUCCACUGCAAUACCACCAUUAGGGACAACAUGACCAAGAAAAGAAACUUCUUCCAACCAAAACUCACAUUUACUACGCUUAGCAUACAGUUUAUGUUCUUUGAGUUUCUGUAAGACCAAUCUUAGGUGUUCAGCAUGUUCUUCCUCGGUUUUAGAGAAUACUAGAAUAUCAUCAAUAAAGACCACCACAAACUUAUUAAGAUACUCCACAAAUACUUUAUUCAUCAUGUACAUAAAGUAAGCUGGUGCAUUGGUCAAACCAAAAGACAUAACUGUAUACUCAUACAACCCAUACCUUGUUGUGAAAGAUGUCUUUGGUAUAUCUAAAUUUUGAAUCAUCAAUUGAUGAUAACCAGAACGCAAAUCAAUCUUAGAGAACACACAAGCACCUCUUAACCGAUCAUAUAAGUCAUCAAUCCUAGGCAGUGGGUAUUUAUUCUUGAUAGUGACCUCAUUAAGUGACCGAUAAUCAACACACAUCGUCUGACUACGAUCCUUCUUAUCAACAAAGAUAACUGGUGCAUGCCAUGGUGAUGAACUAGGAUGAAUGAACCCUUUAUCUUGCAAUUCCUUAAUUUGUUUCUUAAGUUCUUCUAGUUCAUUGACCCCCAUUCUAUAUGGUCUUAUAGCUAUGGGUGCAGUACCAGGUAGUAAUUCAAUAAUAAAUUCAAUGUCUCGGUCAGGUGGCAUACCGGGCAAUUGAUAUGGAAAGACAUCCGGAAACUCAUCCACUACCAAAUUAUGAGGAUCAACAUCAUCAUUCAGUUGGUUCACUUCAGCUGUGAGUGGUGCUUGCACUGUUACAUCAACACUGAUUCGUUCUCCCUUUGGUGUUGUCAGAGCCACUACUCUCUCUUUGCACCUAGUAUCUGUCUCAUAUAGCUUCAUCCAAUCCAAACCCAAGAUCAUAUCUAUGCCUGAAGUUCUCAUAACCAUGGGACUGAUAGGAAAAUCUACCCCCUUAAAGAAAGACUUGCUGAGGGGCAACAAUAAGAAACUGGUAUAGUCCCUCCCGAUGAAUUUACUAGCAUAGGGGUUUUCAUGGCAACUAGUGGAAUGCUAUGAACUCUAACAAAUGCGUGUGAAAUGAAUGUAUGCGAAGCUCUAGAUUCAAAUAAAAAUGUAGCAGGGAUAGAGUUGAUACUGAACGUACCUAUCGUGAUUUGUGGUCCCUCCUGAACUGUUUCUGUAGCCACAUUGUUCACCUUUGCCGAACUAGGAGUAGGUCCCUCCUGAACUGUUUCUGUAGCCACAUUGUUCACCCUCCUGAACUGUUUCUGUAGCCACAUUGUUCACCUUUGCUGAACUGUUUCUGUAGCCAUGCUGCUGUUGAUUAUGGUUACGCUUCUGGAAUGGAGGGCGCUUGUUCCCACUUUGGGAUUGAUUCUGGAAAUGCUGAUGUUGCUGGUUGUUGAUAUUUGGGAACGCAAUAAGGAAUUGAUCCGCAAGCGCACGGAUAUCGGUGAGCAUUUCUCCCGGGAAAUUUUCCAGAGUAUCGUAUUUAUUUUUUUACCACUAGGAGAAAGAGUGCAUCUGACUAACCGGUCUAUUACUACUAACCCUUUAGGCACAAAAAAUGUCUUUCGAUGUGAGUGAUAAAUAGAGAAGACUACAACCUUAGUCUCCUUCUAACCUUGGUAAGGAUGAUCUACUGUUCUAAUGGGGAGGCUAACGGAAUCUAGACACCACAAAGGAUGUUCAACCCGCACCUAUAAACCCUAUCCUUCCUGCUAACGAGAUGUGGUCUGCAAAGGUAACUCAGAAUUGUCACGUUCCUCACUACUACCACGGUCCAGCUAGUCAGGGAAUAUCUAUGAGUACCUCAGCCUAAACACCACGUUUACGCCAGUAAUGAUUACUCUAAACUCUACGCGAAGAGAUUAAAGUAAACUCAUAAACCAUAAGAACAAUAAAACAAGAACUUACUAGAAUUUAGAAGUCGAAUUACUGAAGAAUCCUAGGAACAAGCUUCGGGUUAGGAGAACUUGAUCCCGCAGGUACAAGCUUGGAGUAGACACCGACAGGCCGGGCUUCCUCCAAACUACACCUCCACUCUAUCUCUCUCAAUCUAGUAGAAACUAGAAGAUCUAUUUCUAAUUUACAUUGGUUGCUAAGCCUAAAAAGAAAUAUUAAUUAGAGAAGAGGUUUUCCUUUGAGGGCACCCCUCAAUCUCUAUGAUAAUUUCUUCAUGUCUUCUCCAGGGGCCAAGGGGGUCUCCUUAUAUAGUUAUCCUCCUCUAUGCGUUUUUGGGUCGGUAGGCGAGGUGGUACUAUGUUUUCCUUGAUCCAAUAGGUCGGUGGAACAUCCUGUGCGAAGAGAGUCCUGAUUGGCAUCCAACAGGGGGCGCGCGCCCUGGUCACCAGGGCGGGCGCCCUGGGCCUGGCCCCUUUCUGCCUCCGUCUUCUUCCUGUGGCUUCUGGAGUCUUCUAGAUGGUAGAAAAUAGCGCGGUGCGUUGAUAUCUCUAUGUAAUCCCGACAUGUGGGCCUUUCUUCCUUAUUUCCUGAUAACCCCCUGCAGAAAUAGAUAAAUAACAAAACUCGUGGAAUUCUGUCAGAUCAAACCCUAAUUCUAGGUGUAGGUUGCAUAUUGGUCCUUUCUCUUGUUUAUUUGAUAAUUAAAAUUGAUACUUAAGAACCGUCUACAAAUACCCCCAUACUUAGGCUUUUACUCGUCCUAGAGAAAAGGAUGGUUAAGAACAAUAUCUGGGGUAAAACAUUUUAAAGCAUUCUUUUUAUAACUGCAGGGUGUUAAAAGUCCACUGUGUACCAUAGUCAGGAAAGUUUAUGGUUAAGAGUAAAGAUCCUUUCUUCUCAAUCCUGUCACUUGGAGUUUUUGUAUAUUUUUGAAAGAAAGUUAGCAUACCUUUUUAUCCUCAUAGGUUCUUCUCAGAUCACUCAUUAUCUUUUAUAUAUCUCACUGAGGUUGUUUUAAUUUGCAAAAAUUCUUAAGCAUACUUACUUUGCAUUUAUUUCCUGAUCAAAACGGGAUCCGAGGAGGGGAAUGUCAUACUCUUAGAUCAAAGACUUUGAAAAUUAAAAUCUUUGUCAACUCUUGCUGGCAUAUUGCUUAUUAGAGGGACCAUGGGCUAUCAUUUUUUUUCUCUUUUCUCUCUUUUUUUUAAGUGGAUACCGAGGUACCCCUAAUUCUACUGCCGGACACUUGUCCAUUUUUCUGCGAGGUUGUCGAGCACUUGCUCUUUUUUAUUUCCUCGAAAUAUCUCUAUUUUUGCAUAGCCCAUGCCUCUAAUGCAAUAAUACUUCGGAAGAGUGAAUCUUUAUGAAUAAAUGUCUUGAUCUUAGGAGUAUGAUAAAUCUCUCAACAAGGGUCUAACUUAUUUUGAACAAACUCAAUACAGAGUAGAUAGCUUUUAUAAUCAUAAUUAAUAUUUUCAGUUUUAUCAGGCAUAUAAAACACUGAGGAUGGUAGCUAGAAUUUUGAAUAUUUUGAAAUAAAUUCUCCAAGUAACAAUGAUAUCAAGAAUAAGAAACUCAUACUCUACCCUCACAUAUUCCAUAUUGACUUAAGUAACACAGGUCUUAAAAUGAUUUUAUAAUAGUUGCAAGUUUUCAGGAAAUAUCACAGAUUGAGAUUAAUCAUGAUUAGAAAUAUUUUUAAUCUUUUUAUUUUAUCAUGUCGGAAACAGUAAUCUGCAUAAUCAAAAUAUGUAUAUGUGUAAAGUAAAGUGUGCAGAGUGUGUACCUGAAUCGUGGAGUGGUGUAGUCGGAGUGUGUUUAGCAUGUCGAGGGAUCUCCCCCAUACUUGUUUUCUGCUUUCUUGCACAAAAAUAAAGUAGAGACACACAAGACAUAAUAAUAAUAAUACUCUUUAUUAAUCUUGAGGCAUUUAUUACAAAAGACUAGUAGCAAACUGAUAAUAAUAAACCGAUGAUAAUAGUAAACCUAAACCGAAUUUAAAGAUAGAUAACUAAGAUGCAUUGCCUCAAGGUCUAAUCUAGAUAACUUAGCGGCGCUCUAAUUCCCUAAUCUUCUUGUUGGCACUGGCAAGAUCCUGCCUAAGGCCUAGUAUAAUGGUGUUGUGGUUAGAGAGCUGCCUAGUGAGGGAAUUAAUCGAGGACUGGAGGUCUAUGAUAACUCUGUCUAGUCUGCGAACGUCCUCAUCAAUAUCCAUUAUAGUCUUGCGACGCUUGGGAGGUGUCUCAAAAGCAUUGAGAGCGUGCUUCGGGGCUGCCUUUGGAGGGAUGAAACGGACUUUGGCUGCUCUAAUCCCUUUAAAGUAAGGCCUUUCCUCCUCCGUAGUGUAGCGAAUACUGCUGAUCUCGCUGCUCCGGUUGGUCUUGACUCCAACGACCCUCUCAUUGGGUCUAGGUGGAAGGAUCCUUGUGCCGGUUGGCACCUUGAUGGUGGUCUUCGUCUUGGAUGAUGAUCCUUUGAGGAGUAGGGGUUGUGGUGGUGCGGUGAGAGCUGGUUGAGCAUGGUAAGAUUGGGCGGAGCUGCGUUGGCGUAAUGGCAUGGCUUCUAGCUGUCUCUCUGUGUUGGCCGGGACGAGAGCACGGGCAUUGGGAUCUUCCACAGGCUCCAUGUUGAGGUUGAAUGGGACGACUUCCCAAUCAUCAUGGUACUUCUCCGCCAUUGGAUCAGCAAGGAACUAAUCAAGCUCUAAUUUAAGGAGAGAAGGCUUGGUGGCUUGGUGUUUGAAAACUGAGGUCAGGGGUCUGUUUAUAUAGGAGUCAGAAAGUGCCUCUAUGGGUUGUUCGGGUUGCUCCCGUUGAUGUCCGUGCGAAACUUUCCAUCUGAGGGAUUAUUCAGAUUACCAUAAGUGCAUUUUCCAUAACAGAGAAAAUCGGGACCGAGGGGGAACAGGAGCUGGGCGCCCGCCCACCUGAUCUGGGCGCCCGCCCUCUCUCUGGCCCCUCUGUGGGCCCACUUUCCCGAGCACGUUUCUAGAUGCGAAAUUAUUUAGAAAUAUAUAUAUAUGACCCAAAAACAUCAGACUAAAAAGGUCGGGCUCUAAUUCUCCAUGGGAAGGUAAAAAUGGACAACGUCUAUUUCUUCUAAUUCUUUAUUAGGCUCUAAAAAUAAUUUAAGACGUUGACCAUUUACCUUGAAUAACGUACCUUCGUCAUUUUGAAGUGUAAUAGCUCCGUGGGAUGAUGAAUUAAUUACCUUGAAUGGUCCUUCCCAUUUGCUCCGGAGUUUUUCAUGCCCGAAAAGCUUCACCCUGGAAUUAAAAAGUAGUACCUUAUCUCCGGGUGUGAACUCCUUCUUCUUGAUUCUCUUGUCAUGCCACCUUUUGACUCUUUCUUUGUAGAUCUUUGAGUUGUGAUAUGCCUUCUCUCGCCAUUCUUCCAAUUCUGAUAGUUGCAUUCUUCUAUAAUCUCCAGCGACAUCUAGGUCCAUAUUCCAUCUCUUUAUGGCCCAGUGUGCUUUGAACUCUAGUUCAACAGGUAGAUGGCAAGUCUUUCCGUACACCAAUUGGUAUGGAGACAUUCCAAUUGGGGUCUUGUAUGCUGUCCGGUAUGCCCAGAGUGCAUCGGGUAACUUGUCUUUCCACGCCGUUCCCAUUUCAUUUACUGUCUUCUGAAGAAUAUUCUUGAUUUGUUUGUUGGAAGUCUCUGCUUGGCCACUUGUCUGAGGAUGAUAGCGGGUAGCGACGUUGUGACGGAUUCCAUGUUUUGCUAGAUAUUGCUUGAAGCGUUUGUCGAUGAAGUGUGCUCCUCCAUCACUUAUCACUACUCUGGGGACUCCAAAUAUUGGAAAUAUAAUUUCUUCAAACAUCCUCUUUGAACUGACAUUGUCGGCAUGCUUGGAAGGUAAUGCUUCUACCCACUUGGAGACAUAGUCAACUGCCACCAAGAUGUAUUCACACUUCUUUGAUGGGGGAAAUGGACCCAUGUAGUCUAUCCCCCAGACAUCAAAGAGCUCAAUCUGAAGGUUGUUGGUGAGUGGCAUUGCAUCCCUUGUAUUUAUGUUUCCGUACCUUUGACAUGGCCCACAUCUUCUGAUAUAUUGCUUCGUGUCUUCAUACAUUGUAGGCCAGUAGAAUCCACACUGCCAGAUCUUUGAAUGUGUGCGGAAUGCUCCAUAGUGACCUCCAUAUGGUGAUGAAUGACAUCUGUCGAUGAUCUUCCAUCCUUCCUCAGUGGUCACACAUCUCCUAAGUAAGCCAUCAGAGCAUACUCGGAAGAGGUAUGGCUCAUCCCAUAUAUAUGAACAACUUUCUUGAAUAAGCUUCUUUUUGUUUGCUCCUGGUGGUACAUACCCUGAAACCAUAAAAUUAACAAUAUCUGCAUACCAGGGGUCAGACCUGUUAAUCCCGUAGAGCAUGUCGUCCCGGAGUGAAUCAUUGAUGGGGGUUUCCUGUGGACUCUUAAAAUACAUUCUAGACAAGUGAUCAGCAACAGAAUUUUCUACUCCCUUUUUAUCUUUUAUUUCUAAGUCAAAUUCUUGGAGUAAUAAGAUCCAUCUAAUCAGGCGAGGUUUAGCAUCUUUUUUAGUGAGCAAAUAUUUUAGUGCAACAUGAUCAGUGUAAACAAUUAUUUUAGCUCCAACUAAAUAAGAUCUAAAUUUAUCAAUGGCAAAGACAAUAGCCAGAAGCUCUUUUUCAGUGGUUGCAUAAUUAAGUUGAGCUCCUGUCAAAGUUUUACUGGCAUAAGCAAUUGCAUGAUGCUUCUUAUUUUUAGUUUGUCCCAAUACUGCCCCUACAGCAUAAUCACUAGCAUCACACAUAAUUUCAAAAGGCAACGACCAAUCGGGGGGUUGAAUGAUUGGUGCAGAGAUGAGUGCUUUCUUUAAUAAAUUGAAAAAUGUUAGACAUGCAUCAUCAUAUUCGAAAGGAGCAUCCUUGGCUAGCAAAAGAGUAAGUGGUCUAGCAAUGAAUGAAAAAUCUUUUUUGAAUCUACGAUAAAAACCAGCAUGGCCAAGAAAGCUUCGAAUUCCUUUUAUGUUCACGGGUGGAGGUAGUUGUUCAAUUACUUCAAUUUUAGCUUUGUCUACCUCAAUUCCUCUUUCAGACACUAAGUGUCCCAGCACUAUUCCUUCCCUAACCAUAAAAUGACAUUUUUCCCAAUUAAGGAUUAAGUGCUUUCCUUCACAUAUUUGCAAAACCUUGUCUAAGUUUUCAAGACAACUAUCAAAAGUUUUUCCAUAAACAGAGAAAUCAUCCAUGAAAACUUCCAUAAUCUCUUCAAUCAUAUCAGAAAAUAUAGACAUCAUGCAUCUUUGAAAAGAAGCUGGUGCAUUACAUAACCCAAAAGACAUUCUACGGUAAGCAUAAGUUCCGUAUGGGCAUGUAAAAGUGGUUUUGCUUUGAUCAUCAGGAUGGAUCGGGAUUUGAUGAUACCCUGAAUAUCCAUCUAAGAAACAAAAGAACGAAUGGUUCGCUAACCGCUCUAGCAUCUCAUCUAUGAAAGGUAAAGGAAAGUGAUCCUUUCUCGUGCCUUUGUUUAGUUUUCUAUAGUCUAUGCACAUCCGCCAUCCUAUGACGGUGCGUUGCGGAAUUAGCUCGUUCUUUUCAUUCAUAAUGACAGUCAUGCCUCCCUUUUUAGGCACAACUUGUACUGGGCUUAUCCACUCACUUUGCGGCACAGGAUAUAUAAUCCCUGCAUGCAGCAACUUUAUAACUUCCUUUUUAACUACCUCUCUCAUAGUGUUAUUAAGUCUCCGUUGGGGUUCUCGAGAGGGUGAAACAGAAGGAUCUAUUGGAAUACGAUGGGUACAAAUCAUAGGACUGAUUCCUGUAAGAUCUUGGAGUGAGUAUCCGAACACUGAGUGAUGUUUCUCAAGAAUGGUCAUUAAUCGCACAGUUUGAUCUUGAGUGAGUUUAUCGCUAAUGAUUACAGGGAACUCUGGAUUAUUGUUUAGGAAAACAUAGAUAAGACCGGGUGGUAAAGUUUUAAGCUCUAUGGGGGGUCUAGGUGUUUCUGCAAACUCAUCUAAGGGUUCAGGCUCAGAAGGUUCGGCUUCUUCUUCUGUGAAGAAAGGAUUUUCGUCUUCUAAGUCUGGUUCAUCUAAAAGCUCUAGAGAUGCAGCCUUUACCUCCUCCAUAGGAUCACGCAAAAGAUAUGAUUCGGCCUUAUUGUUCAAGGAGUGUGAAAAUGUUAUUGGGAAUUUAAAGGUUUUUCCAAAAGAAAUGUGUAGCUUUCCAGUAUGACCUUCAUAAAGGAGUCUUCUAAAAGGUUGUCCUAUCAACAGGUCGAAGUCCCAUGUAUCAAAGAUAUAGAAGUUCAAAUGAACCAUGGAGCCUUCUACUGUAAGAGGUAGGACAUUAAUAAUUCCAAGACUGGGGACUAAUCGUCCCGAAGAUUCCUUUAUGACCUUUGUUGUGGGGGUUAAGGCAAGAUUUUUAAAUAGUUUAAGUGCAAAAGAUUCAGACAUGAUGUUGAUCCCCACAACAGGAUUAUAUAGAGCAUUAAAUCGAUCAGAAUUAUAAGCACAACGUAUAGUUAUAGAGGGUGUGUCCAAACGGAUCACAUCAGAGGUAAGCUCUGAUUCCUCCAACCAUUCGCUACUCAUUACUGAGAUAAGCUCUCUUAAUUGUUGUUCACUUGGUAAAUAAAUGCUAAACUGGCCGUUUUGGGGUUUGUCUAUAGAAUGGUAGUUUGAAAUAUUUUCAAAAUCGGCAAAAAGAUCGGAUUCUAUAUCCAGCAUGAAGUCCGGUGGUGGAAUUUCUUCCUCUUGUGGCUCAGAACUUGGGAUAGCUAAAGUAGAUGAAGAAUUUGGCAGAGUGUCUACUUCGGCUUCAUAGGUUUCAUCAUGAAGGGUAUUAUCCAUCUCAGCUUCUAGGAUUCUAUUUAGGAUCACUCUAGCUUCAUCAGUAGGGAUGCGAAAGAAAGAACCUCUAGACAUUGUGUGUAGCAUUUGUUUGUGAUUUUUAUGAAGACCUCGAAAAAAGUGAAACAAAAGAACAGGGUCUUCAAGAUUAAGGUUUGGACCAGAUUCUAAAAGAUCAGAAAAACGUUUCCAGGAUUUUCCCAAAGUUUCAUUAUCUUUUUGUUUAAAAGAUAGGACUUCGAGUCUAAGGUUGGCUAUACGGUCAAGGGAAUAGAAAUCUAGACAAAAGUUGGCUAGUAAAACUCCCCAUUCACCUUGUUGUUGACUUACCUUCUGACUGUACCAUUGUCUAGCCUCUCCCCUUAAAGAAAAAGGAAAAAGCUUCCAACGUAAAGUUUUACCAGAAAUGCCUUCAAUACGAAGACAAUCACAUGUUUGCUCAAAAUCUCUAAUAUGAAGGUAAGGGUUUUCGUCUUCCUUUCCCGAAAAAGAUAGGUUUUGAAUCAUGGCAAUCAACCUAGAACUUAACUUAUACUGGGAUGUUUGGAUAGGCUGUGAUGAUUCCCAUGGUAAAAGGUCAGUUACUGAAGGGAUCGCUGACUCAUGUAUCGAUUUAGAAUUUUGGUUUUCCAUAAGGUAAGAAUAAAGAAAAUAAAUAAAGAAUAAAAAAGAUAAGAAAAGAUAAAAGUAUAGAUACAAGCUAGUAGUAAGACUCAAGGUUAUCUCUGCAACCGUCUUUCUCCCCGGCAACGGCGCCAGAAAUGCUUGUUGAUAUUUGGGAACGCAAUAAGGAAUUGAUCCGCAAGCGCACGGAUAUCGGUGAGCAUUUCUUCCGAGAAAUUUUUUCCAGAGUAUCGUAUUUAUUUUUUUACCACUAGGAGAAAGAGUGCAUCUGACUAACUGGUCUAUUACUACUAACCCUUUAGGCACAAAGAAUGUCUUUCGAUGUCAGUGAUAAAUAGAGAAGACUGCCACCUUAGUCUCCUUCUAACCUUGGUAAGGAUGAUCUACUAUUCUAAUGGGGAGGCUAACGGAAUCUAGACACCACAAAGGAUGUUCAACCCGCACCUAUAAACCCUAUCCUUCCUGCUAACGAGAUAUGGUCUGCAAAGGUAACUCGGAAUUGUCACGUUCCUCACUACUACCACAAUCCAGCUAGUAAAGGAAUAUCUAUGAGUACCCCAGCCUAAACACCACAUUUACGCCAGUAAUGAUUACUCUAAACUCUACGCGAAGAGAUUAAAGUAAACUCAUAAACCAUAAGAACAAUAAAACAAGAACUUACUAGAAUUUAGAAGUCGAAUUACUGAAGAAUCCUAGGAACAAGCUUCGGGUUAGGAGAACUUGAUCCCGCAGGUACAAGCUUGGAGUAGACACCGACAGGCCGGGCUUCCUCCAAUCUACACCUCCACUCUAUCUCUCUCAAUCUAGUAGAAACUAGAAGAUCUAUUUCUACUUUACAUUGGUUGCUAAGCCUAAAAAUAAAUAUUAAUUAGAGAAGAGGUUUUCCUUCGAGGGCACCCCUCAAUCCCUAUGAUAAUUUCUUCAUGUCUUCUCCAGGGGCCAGGGGGGUCUCCUUAUAUAGUCCUCCUCCUCUAUGCAUUUUUGGGUCGGUAGGCGAGGUGGUACUAUGUUUUCCUUGAUCCAAUAGGUCGGUGGAACAUCCCGUGCGAAGAGAGUCCUGAUUGGCAUCCAACAGGGGGCGGGCGCGCAGGUCACCAGGGCGGGCGCCCUGGGCCUGGCCCCUUUCGGCCUCCGUCUUCUUCCCGUGGCUUCUGGAGUCUUCUAGAUGGUAGAAAAUCGCGCGGUGCGGUGAUAUCUCUAUGUAAUCCCGACAUGUGGGACUUUCUUCCUUAUUUCCUGAUAACCCACUGCAGAAACAGAUAAACAACAAAACUCGUGGAAUUCUGUCUGCUCAAACCCUAAUUCUAGGUGUUGGUUGCAUAUUGGUCCUUUCUCUUGUUUAUUUGAUAAUUAAAAUUGAUACUUAAGAACCGCCGACACCGGUUGCGGUUCCACAGGCUAACUGGUCCCUGGAACCUUAGCUGAUAGCCUUGCUGAGAACUGAAACGCUGACGGUUGUUGCUCCCAGAACCUUGUACCAACAUCCUUCUCUUCCUAUCCUGCCCCUUGCGCAUGUUGUCCAACAUUAUAGCAUGAUUCACCAGAACUUGGAAGGUAGGAUAAGUGUUUCCUACCAGUUGCAACCUGAGUUCAUAGUAUAGGCCUUUCAUGAAUAAGCGCUGCUUAUCAGCAUCUUCUCUGACAUCAUUUGGAGCAUAGCGAGCCAACUGUUCAAAUGUGUCAUGAUAUUCUGCUACAGUCAUAGAGCCCAUCCUGAGAGAUCUGAAUUCUUUUUGCUUGAGCUCGAUCAUUCCCUCAUUUAUAUGUCGAGCUUUGAAGUCUCUGCAAAAUUCCAGCCAUGUGACAGGAGGAGCAUUGUUGGGACGAGCAGCUUGAUACGACUCCCACCAGGUCUGGGCUGCCCCCUGUAGCUGUCCAGAAGCAUACAACACCUUCUCCAAGUCAUUGCACUGUGCUAUGUUCAGUUGCCUCUCCACAGCACGUAACCAAUCAUCUGCCUCCAUAGGAUCAGCUGAGUGUGUAAAUACCGGAGGUCUUCCCUUCAUAAACUCCCCACGCUUGUCCCUCACAUGAACAGGUGGUGGUGGUGGUGGAGGUUGCUGUUGUAGGUGCUGCAUGAAGACAUGCAUCAUCUCAUUCUGGGUUUGCAUGAGCUCUUCCACAGUAAUUGGGACACUGCCACCCAUGCCAUGGCCUCUGCCUCUGCCUCUUCCCCAUGCUGCCAUCUGCAUUCCAAGGUAUAAAAACAUGUCUUGGUGACGUCCAGCAUGACAAUUACAAGAGAUAACAGAAUCUAAAAUUUUCUGGGUAACAUCCAACAUCAGCAGAUCAGAAAAUCAGUCAUAUCUUAAGUUCCAGAACUCAAAAGGACACAUGCUGUACACCAUUGGAAACAUAAUGAAACUAUCUUCAACUUUCGUUUAGAUCACAUUAACAGAUUCCAAAGUUAGGUUAAUCAAAAAUUGGGUACAACCAAAACUGUUCCAGAAUUCCAGACUGCGCAGAAACCUCAACUUUAAACAGUCAUAACUCACAGCUCAUAAUAGAUAAUAUGGUCAUUCUUGCGGCACUGGAUAGAUAUUGAAGUCUACUUGUUUCCAGAAAAAUUUGAUGAACAUUGCAUGAACAGAAUUUGAUUUAUACCAGAAUCAAUGCAGACUGCUCCAGAAAACAGCAAAGGACAGAAACAGGAUAUGACCCCAAACCACUAUUUAUUUAUGUUCUUACUUAAGGUUCUUAACUAGGAAACUUGUGGACAUUCCCACAAAGUUCCAGCACUCAUUACAAAAAUCCAAAUCACACAUAAUCAUAAUAACAAUCCAGCAAACACACCAAGUUCAUACCACACUAACAAAAGACUCGAAAUAACUCGCAAACUACUAACGUUCCUAUUACAUAGCUCUUGUGUGCCUAGAGAUUAUAUCAACUAGAAUUGUUGGAUAUGUGGCUUGCAAACACCCCUUUAGAGCUAGAGCAAAAAGCUUUGCUUUGUUAUUUACUAACCUAUUGCUCUAGUGAGUUUGUAGAAUUUUUGAAUAGGCUAUUCACCCCCCUUUAGCCAUAUUAGGACCUUUCAACUGGUAUCAGAGCCGUGGUCACCGUUUGUGAAGGCUUAACAACCUCGGUGCUCAAAUUAUGGCUCAAAUAGUGUUCAACCAUGUUGGGGGCAAACCACCGUUCUUUGAUGGCACAAGUUCUUUUGACUAUUGGAAGAGAAAAAUGAAAAUGUACCUUGGAUCAAUCAAUGAUAGAGUGUGGGAAGUCACGGAGAAUGAUUUUGUGAUCCUUGACCCCGCCAACCCCACCGACAAUGAGAGAGCCAACAAACAAUGCAAUACUAUGGCUCUCAACACAAUUUACAAUGGCAUUGAUUCAAAAGUGUUUGAACAAGUCAAAGAUCUUGAGAAAGCAAGUGAAGUGUGGACAAGGCUAGAAGAAACAUAUGGGGGCACUACAAUGGUAAAAAGUGCCAAGUUGUAUAUGCUCAAGGACAAGCUAUCCAACUUCAAGAUGAAGGAUGAUGAGUCUAUACCGGAGAUGUUCUAUAGGCUCCAAGUCAUCAUCAAUGAUCUCAAGGGCCUUGGUGAGAAAGUGAAGGAUGAGGACUUCAUUCACAAGUUCUUGAUGUGCUUGCCUAAGAGGUUCAAAACAUUGAGAACAAUCAUCUUUAGAGGUGGAUUGACGGGUGUAUCUCCGAAUGAGGUACUUGGAGAUGUCAUGACCGAAGACCAAUACAAUGAUAUUGAUGAUGAUGAGGUCAUGAAGAAAGAUGAUGAUGAUAAGAAGAAGAGCGUAGCAUUCAAAGCUAGCUCUUCAUCCAAGAGCAAGAACAAGGGCAAGGCCAAGAAGGAAGAAUCAAGUGAUAAGGAGUGCUCAAAUGAUGAUAGUGAUGAUGAAGCACUAGCACUCUUUGUCCGUAAAUUUGGCAAGAUGAUGAAGAAGAAAGGCUACCAUACAAGAAAGAGAAGGGUCAACUCCAAGAAUAAAGAACAAGUGAGGCUAUGCUACAAGUGCAAGAGCCCCGAUCAUAUUGUGGCGGAUUGUCCAUACAAUAGUGAUCAUGAUGAGCAUGAGAAGAAGAACAAGAAGGAGAAGAAAGAAAAGAAAGAGAAGAAGAUGGUUUUCAAGAAGAAGAAGGGUGGAUCUUAUGUUGUGACAUGGGGUAGUGAUGCUUCUUCGGAUGAUGAUACUAGUGAUGAUGACAAGGCAUCCAAGAAGAAGGCACUUGCAAGCAUUGCUAUCUACAAGCCAUCACUCUUCAACACUCCUUCAUGCUUCAUGGCCAAGGGCCACAAGGUACAAUAUGAUGAGAGUGAAAGUGAAAGUGAACAUGAACAUGAUAGUGAUAGUGAUGAUGAAAAUGAAUUCACUAAUGAACAACUCAUGGACAUGUUAGAACAAACCGAUUCUCUUAUUCAAUCUAAAAACAAGAAGUGCAAAGAAUUGGCCAAGAAGUUAAAAGCUCUUGAGCAAUCCUUUGAUGAGCUCAAUGCUAAUCAUGAGAGGCUAGUGGAAGCCCAUGAGAAGCUUGGCAAGGCUCAGACCAAGAUUGAGAAAGCUAACUCCUUGUUGUUAGAAGAGAACAAGGAAAACGUUGUUGUAUCAUGUGAUGUGGGCACAACAUGUGACUUAAUUAAAGAAUCACCCAACCUACCUAUUGUUGUUGCCACUAACUCUUCUUGUAGGUCUUGAUCCACCACCACCAACUCUACCUCCACUUCUAGUGUUAGUGUCACUUGUGACACCUCACUAAAGGUUGAGAAUGAGACUCACAAGAGAGAGGUGGAUGAGAUCACACACGCCCUAGGCAAAGCCUAUGGUGGUGAGGCCCGCUUGCUAAAGUGCUUGGGUAGCCAAAGGUUUUCUCUCAACAAAGAGGGAUUAGGCUAUACCCCCAAGAAGGGCAAGAAAGCUUUUGCAACUCAGAAGCCUAGCUUUGUGAAGAGCAAUGGUCAGUAUUGCAACAAAUGCAAGCAAGUUGGGCACCUAGAGCUUAAUUGCAACAAAAUGAACAAGAACAAGAAAAAUGCUAAUGCACCAUACAUUCCUUUUAAUUCUUGUUAUGUGCUUACCUAGGGUGAGAAGGGUGUGCAUGCUAAGUUUGUUGGUACACCAAUUGUGGGUCCAAAGAAGAAGGCCAUUUGGGUACCAAAAAGCUUAGUCACUAACCUCCAAGGACCCAAACAAGUAUGGGUACCUAAGAAACAUUGAUUUGUUUUGUAGGUAAAUUAUAAAGCCGGAGGAAGGCAUUGGGUGCUUGAUAGUGGGUGCACACAACACAUGACCGAUGAUUCAAGAAUGUUCAAUUCAAUCAAUCCAAAUGAUGACAAUGGUAUUGAUAGUAUCACAUUUGGUGACAAUGGCAAAGGCAAGGUCAAAGGGCUUGGUAAAAUUGCUAUAUCCAAUGACUUGAGCAUUUCCAAUGUGCUACUAGUAGAGAGCUUGAACUUCAACUUGCUAUCCGUAGCUUAACUUUGUGAUCUUGGUUUCAAAUGCAUAUUUGGAGUUGACGAUGUAGAAAUCAUAAGUGUAGAUGGCUCUAACUUUAUAUUCAAAGGCUUUAGAUAUGAGAAUCUAUACCUAGUUGAUUUCAAUGAUAGUGAAGCUCAAUUAUCAACAUGCUUGCUCACUAAAUCUAGCAUGGGUUGGUUAUGGCAUAGAAGGCUUGGUCAUGUUGGAAUGAAACAAUUAAACAAGUUAGUCAAGCAUGAUCAUGUUAGAGGCUUGAAAGAUGUCACAUUUGAGAAAGACAAGCUUUGUAGUGCAUGUCAAGCCGGAAAGCAAGUUGGCAACACUCAUCCAAAGAAGAGCAUCAUGAGUACAUGCAAGGCAUUUGAGUUGUUGCACAUGGAAUUAUUUGGACCAACCACAUACACAAGCAUUGGUGGAAACAAAUAUGGAUUUGUGAUAGUGGAUGAUUUCACAAGAUAUACAUGGGUAUUCUUUCUUGGUGACAAGAGUGAUGCUUUUGCAACCUUCAAAUCAUUUGUCAAGAGAAUACACGAUGAGUUUGAAACAACCAUCAAGAAAGUGAGAAGUGACAAUGGAAGUGAAUUCAAAAAUACAAGAGUUGAUGAGCUUUGUGAUGAAUUUGGCAUUAGGCAUCAAUUCUCGGCCAAGUACACUCCUCAAUCAAAUGGUCUUGUUGAGAGGAAGAAUAGAACCUUGAUUGACAUGGCAAGAUCAAUGUUGAGUGAGUACAAUGUGAGUCAUUCUUUUUGGGCCGAAGGAAUCAACACGGCUUGCUACUAUAGCAACCGACUCUAUUGUCACCCAAUGAUGGAGAAGACUCCAUAUGAGCUCUUGAAUGGAAGAAAGCCCAACAUUGCAUACUUUCGGGUUUUUGGUUGCAAAUGCCACAUAUUGAAGAAAGGCACUAGAUUGAGUAAAUUUGAAAAGAAAUGUGACGAAGGAUUCUUGCUUGGUUACUCUACUACUAGCAAAGCUUAUAGAGUUUGAAAUUUGGCUAGUGGAACUCUUGAAGAGGUGCACGAUGUUGAGUUUGAUGAAACAAAGGGCUCUCAAGAGGAAGAUGAGAAUCUAGAUGAUGUGAGAGGGACUCAAUUGGUCGAUGCAAUGAAGAAUAUGGAAAUUGGUUAUUUAAGGCCUAGAGAGGUGAUUGAUGUUGAAGAUGACAAAGAUCAAGUGCUUCCUACCUCUAAUGUGCAAGCUAGUGGUUCUCAUGAUUUAAAUCAAGCUAGUACAAGUACUCAAGUGCAAUAUCAACAAGCUAGUACAUCAUCUCAUGAUCAACCCAGUGCAAGAAAUCAAGUGCAAAUACUCCAACCAACAAAUAUUGCAAGAGAUCAUCCAUUGGAUCAUAUCAUUGGUGACAUUCAAAGAGGAGUGCAAACUAGAUCAAGAUUAGCAUCAUUUUGUGAGCAUUUCUCCUUUGUGUCUCACAUUGAGCCAAAGAAGAUUGAUGAAGCAUUGAGAGAUGUCCAUUGGGUUAAUGCUAUGCAUGAAGAGCUUAACAACUUCAAGAGAAAUCAAGUAUGGGAAUUAGUUGAGAGGCCUAGUGAUCACAAUGUCAUUGGUACUAGAUGGGUCUUUCGCAACAAGCAAGAUCAAGAUAGGAUAGUUGUAAGGAACAAAGCAAUAUUGGUAGCACAAGGCUAUACUCAAGUUGAAGGUCUUGACUUUGGUGAAAUAUAUGCCCUGGUUACAAGAUUGGAAGCAAUUAGGAUCUUGUUGGCCUAUGCUUGUGCUCAUAACAUCAAGUUAUACCAAAUGGAUGUGAAAAGUGCAUUUCUCAAUGGCUAUAUCAAUGAAGAAGUUUAUGUUGAGCAACCUCCCUCUUUCGAAAAUGACAAGAAACCCAACCAUGUUUACAAGCUAAGAAAGACAUUGUAUGGUUUGAAGCAAGCACCAAGAGCAUGGUAUGAGAGAUUGAGAGAUUUCUUACUCUCUAAAGGUUUCAAGAUGGGCAAGGUUGACACCACUCUCUUCACCAAGAAGAUUGGCAAAAGACUUGUUUGUGUUGCAAAUAUAUGUUGAUGAUAUCAUAUUUGGAUCAACCAACCAAGAAUUUUGUGAGGAGUUUGGAAACAAGAUGGCUAAUGAGUUUGAGAUGUCAAUGAUUGGAGAGCUUAGUUACUUCCUUGGUCUUCAAAUCAAGCAAUUGAAGAAUGGCAUAUUUGUGAGUCAAGGCAAGUACAUAAAAGACAUGCUCAAGAAGUUUGGUAUGGAUGAUGCAAAAUCAAUUAGUACACCAAUGGGAACAAAUGGAAGCCUAGAUAGUGAUACAAGUGGAAAUAUGGUGGAUCAAAAGUUGUAUCGGUCUAUGGUUGGAAGCCUACUCUAUGUGACCGCAUCAAGACCGGAUGUCAUGUUUAGUGUAUGCAUGUGUGCAAGAUUUCAAGCCUCACCAAGAGAAAGUCAUUUGAAAGCAACAAAGAGAAUAUUGAGGUACUUGAAGCAUACACAAAAUGUUGGUUUGUGGUAUCCCAAAGGUGCAAAGUUUGAACUUGUUGGAUAUUCUGACUCGGACUAUGCGGGAUGCAAAGUUGAGAGAAGAAGCACGUCGGGCACAUGUCAACUAUUGGGAAGAUCACUUGUCUCAUGGUCAUCCAAGAAACAAAAUAGUGUUGCACUAUCAACCGCCGAAGCGGAGUACAUUGCGGCCGGUAGUUGUUGUCCACAAAUCCAAUGGAUGAAUGCAACUUUGAAGUAUUUUGGUAUCAAUUUCAAACAAGUGCCACUGCUAUGUGACAAUGAAAGUGCUGUGAAGCUCACCAACAAUCCGGUUCAACACUCAAGAACAAAGCAUAUAGAUGUCCGCCAUCAUUUCAUAAGAGAUCACCAACAAAAAGGGGACAUUUGCAUUGAGAGUAUAGGCACCGAUGAUCAACUUGCCGAUAUAUUCACCAAGCCACUUGAUGGGAAGAGGUUUUGCAAGCUAAGGAAUGAAUUGAACAUACUUGAUUUCUCAAAUAUGUGUUGAUGCACCCCCAUUACAUGACAUACCUCUCCUUCGAGCAAAGCAAGGUGAAAUUGUUUGACAUGUCAUCCAUCUUUGCUAAGGACUUGUUUAGUGCAUCUAGUCAUUUCUUACAUGUCUUAGGAUCAUUGAUGAAAAUCAAAUGAAUUUGAUGCUUAUAUGGUACCACUAUUGCUUCUAUGCUUGACUUGAUCUAGUGGUAGCAUAUGACAUGUUUGUGGGCUUGCAAUCCUAGUGUUUGAUCUAGAAUAUGAGCUAUAAGUGUUUAACUCAACAUGGUACAAGAUAACCCUUAUUUGGAGGUGUGAAGAAGCUUGUCCUUGGAUCAAACCGAGUUAAAUAUCUUAGUCAAGUAAUCUAGAUUGGACCAAUCUGGGAAAAUGAUCUCACGUCACAUGGUUGCACACUAACCUAACUAAAAUUUGAGCUCACCUUUUGUGAUCUUUGAUGACAAAGGGGGAGAGAGAAUUUCCCAAAGAUGUGCUAAAAGGGGGAGAAGUACAAAGAUAGGGGAGUAAAUAAAAGAAGGGGAUCAAUUAAAAUAUUCAAGCACACAAGUAGGGGGAGCAAGCUCAUAAACUUGUAUGUUGAAUUUGUAUGUGCAUCACAUAUGGUUGCUUGCAUUUGCAUUAGCUUUAGAAGCUUUCUCUCCAAUACCUUGCUUGUGUGGUGUAUGCUAGUUGUAGGCUUGAUUGAUGAAAUGAAGAACUAGCAUGCAUAGGUAGUGUAACUACACUUUUAGUUGUUUCACAAGUGAUACUAGAACCUUGUUUAUAUUGUUGAUCUCAUGGGGUGUUCUAGUUUUGUGAAUGUCUAGUUACUAAUGGUGCUAAGGAUGGUGUAUAUUGGCAACUCCAAUUGGUAUCACGCUUCAAAGGUCCAUUCUUUACACCUUAGCAUCAUUUGGUAGAAAUUGACUCCUAUAUUUCCUAUUCAAGCAUAUGUGCAAGCUUUCAAAUCCAAACUCUUAGCACAUAUGUAGGGGGAGCAAUUGCUACCAAUUUGGGUUUAUGAAACUUGUCCAUAAUCUUUGCACAUGGUAAAUGUUGGGUAUUUUAAAUGCAAACAGAAAAAUCCGCAAGCGCACGGAUACCGAUGUAGCUUUCACCCGGGAGUAUUCCAGAGUAUCGAUUUUCCACAGGGAACGUGAGUGUACUAAUUAAGAUUCAAGAUCGCCCAAGGAUAACUAUAUAAUUAUUUUUGGUGGGAAGAGAGGAAGUUUCCUGAGAGUUCUCUAGCUGAUCUAAGAAUCAAGAAUUACUUCAAGAUUAUCUAUUUCGGGACAUCAGAACACUAACCACAGAAAGAGAUGAGAAGGGGGCAAGGAAACUCCGACUACGGUCCUACAAACACCGAUUCGAACGAGGUGGAAUACGUCGACCGAUAGGGCUGUCACUACCCUAAGGCUACCACAACAAUCCGCACGAUUGGGUGCAAUUCCAGGUAAUUGCGAGACUAAACACCACGUGUAAUCUAUUAAUUACUACUCUAAUGUUUCAAAGAUUAGAGCACUUGAUGCAAGCGGGAAUCCAAUAAAUAACUUGAAUGUAAAUAAAGGUAAUUAGAGAACUCAGGAGUUAUGAGUUGAAGAACCUGGAGAACGAUGAAGAACGAACCAGUUGCUGCAAAAGUACAAUGUUGAGGAAGAUCCGACAGAUCCGGCUCCUCCUCCGCUCUCCUCUUCUCUCUCCUUAUUUUCUAGAUUACAACUAGAACUAACUAGAACUAGAACUAGAGGAACUAGAACUAGAACUAGAUGAACUAGAACUAGAUCUAGAUGAACUAGAGGUAGAACUAGAAGAACUAGAGGGAUCCUCUCUACUUGGAUGAAGAAUUGAAACCCUAGCUUUGAUUCUGUAGAAGAGGUAUGAUCUCCAGGGGCCAGGGGGUCUGGUUUUAUAGUCCCUUCAAGUGAAUCUGGGCCAUCGGAUCAAACCGACAUUAAUCGCACGGUUUUCCUUGAUCCUUUAGGUCGGUGGAGCAUAAUCCGCGAAACGUGUCCUGAUUGGGCACUGUAGCUGGGCGGGCACCCAGGAGAGUUGGGCGGGCGCCCUACCUCCGAGCCCGAUUUCCUUCCCGUUCGUUCCCAUGGCUUCUGGAGUCUUCUAGAUGGUAGAAAAUUGCGCGGCACGUUAAUAUCUCUAUGUAAACCCGACGUUUGGGCCUUUCUUCCAUAUUUUCUGAUAACCCCCUGCAGAAAUAGACAAACACCAAAACUCGUGGAAUUCUGUCAGAUAAAACCCUAAGUCAAGGUGUUAGUUGCAUUUGGAUCCUUUUCCAUGAUUAGUUUAUGGUUAAAUGUGAGCAUUAAGGACCGUCAACAGUAAAAUGCUUGGACAAGCAACAUUAAUCCAAGAAAAUUUCUAUUGAAAAUCUUUGUAAAAAGGGUUGUCAUCAAUUACCAAACAGGGGGAGAUUGAAAGCCCUAGUUUGGUUUUGGAUAAUUGAUGAAACCCUAGUAAUAACCUCUAUGCUAAGUGUGUGCAGACAUAAUGAGGUUGGUACAUGCCAAGUGAUGAAGCAAGUGAUGAUCACGGUGAUGAUGGUGAUGACCACAAGGUGAUCAAGUGCUCAACUUGGAAAAGAAUAAAGAGAAAAACAAAACCAAACCCUUUGGAGAUCAAGGCAAAGGUAUUGCUUAGGGUUUUGGUUUUGGUGAUCAAGACACCAUAGAGGGUGUGAUCACAUUUAGGAAUAGAUAGCCGUACUAAUAAGAGGGGUAAUCUCGUUGUGAAAACGGUUGUCUAAGUGCCACUAGGUGAUUGGAUUCCGUGCAUAUGCAUUAGGACCUAGUGAACUAACUAAGUAACCCUUGAAAAAUGUUUUGAAAUAUGCUAACACACAUGCACAAGUGUGGAGACACUUUGGUGUUGGCACAUGGAAGCAAGGGAAGAAGUUGAGGAUCUUUUCGUGCAGCGCGUUCAGGCCGGACGCGUCCGGUAUGAGGUCAGACGCGUCCGAGUUGAGGCACCGGACUCAGGAACAGUAACCACCUAGAGUCUGGUGUGUUUUGUCUGGUGAGAUCGCUUCUCGGUGAAAACUCUCUGAGUUUGCAUCAGGUGCACACCGGACGCAUCCGGUGUGACACGGGAUGCGUCCGAGUUAGCAUCCGGUGCAAGUUCUUCGUGCGAAGCUCCCUGAGUUUGGGUCUUGUGCACAACGGACGCAUCCAGUGUGACACCGAACGCGUUCGGUUUUUCAAAAGUGAGUGUCCGGUGCCUUGUCAGUGUCAGAGGCAACGACUACUUUUCUAAUGGUCAAGAGCACCGGACGCUGGUCUGGAUCAUACCGGACGCGUCCGGUGUGAACUAGGACGCGUCCGGUGUGGACGCAGACUGUGGGGUAAACUACCAUCGGCUAGUUGAAGCUUGGGACUUCUAUUUAUAUGCCUUGGCUGGUUCUUGCUCACUCUCUUGACUCUCUAACUUGUUGAUACACCUUGUGAGCAUACUCCCACACUUCCCACUCACCUUGUUCAAGAUUUGUUCAUACAAAGUGAGAUUGGGAGAGAUCCUAGUUGCAUUUGCUUAGAGUUUGAGCAUCUAGUGGCACUAGUGAUCGUUGAGCAGUGGGUUUGCUUGUUACUCUUGGUGGUUGCCGCCACCUAGACGGCUUGGAGCUGCGGACGAGCUUUGGCACGAGUUGGUGAUUGUUCGUGGCCAUCUCUCGGUGAUUGUGAGAGGUUUGUGCCUACCUCGGCAGAGAGCCAAAGGCAACAUUAGUGGAUUGCUCGUGUCAUUGAGCUACCUCACUUGUGGGUAGGUUCUUGUGGUGUCCUAGUGAGGACGAGGUUCGUGCUACACCUCUUAGCCACCGAACCACCAAGUGUUGGUCGACACAUCGGGGACGUAGCGUGCCGGCAAGCAUGUGAACCUCGGGAGAAAAUUGUGUGUCUCCAUUGUAAUUGUUCAUUGGAUUUCUCCCAGUGAUUGGACUUCAUAUUAUUGAUUGGUUCAUCCCCUCUACGCGGUGGUAUAAAGAUCAAACCAUCUCUUUUUACAUUCCCGCAAACUAGAGUAGCUUACUUACUUGUAUAGAAACUUUAGGUAGCUCUCUAGUGUAAGUAGUGACACAGCUCUUGUGUGCCUAGAGAUUAUAUCAACUAGAAUUAUUGGAUAGGUGGCUUGCAAACACCCCUUUAGAGCUAGAGCAAAAAGCUUCGCUUUGUUAUUUACUAACCUCUUGCUCUAGUGAGUUUGUAGAAUUUUUAAAUAGGCUAUUCACCCCCCUCUAGCUAUAUUAGGACCUUUUAGGUGGUCAAUGUAGCACUUCACCAGGAGUAUUCCAGGUAUCGUAUUUUCCACGAGGAACGGGAAGUGGACUAACUAGACCAAUUGAGUCGUCGGAUGAUGAUCAAAGGGCUUAGGAUUGGGUGCAGAGGUAUUUGUGGUAUUUGGCUUCUAGCUAAGCUAUCCUAAGUAUACUGAGAGUUAACUCCCUUCCUACUGCAGCCGAUAGGUGAAAAGGGUGUGGUGAAACACUUCCCUGGGCAGCUAAUAUGCAGGCCAACUAUUAUUUGCAUCUUGCCUAACAACACACUGAAGAGAACUCCUAAUGUCCAGUAGAGGCCUGUCACGCUUCGCUGCUGGCGUUCUUCAAGUGUGACAAGAAGUCAACAAGGGCAGACUUAGUCUAGACACAACGUCUACACUAGUUCUACUACUCUAGACCCAGCUAAGGUUUCGAGCACUUCACACAAGGCAAAGCAAUGUACCAGUAGGCCGGUUGUAUACUUAAAAUAAACUAAGACAAAAAGUAAAUACUGGAAGUACUCAGAUGAAAGGCAACUAGAAGGAAGACUUACUUGAAGACAAGCAUCCACUGAGGCGCUUCUGGAAGAAGACUCCCAACAAGCUGGGACUCCUCCUCAGGGAACUCCUCACUCUCUUCCCUCUAUUCUCAUACUAGCUAAGAGUAGCUCUUCUUAAGAUACAUCAUUGUUAACUAGGUUCUCUAAGGGGGUAUUUAUAGGGGGGAGAUGGAGUAGGGGCUAUUCCAGUGCCACAUUAGCGAUCCGUGUGCUCCCUCUUCUCCACUGCUGGAUCAAACCGACUUUGGAACCACCAUAUGAUCAACGGUUGGGACUUCCAUCACAUGUUCAUCAUGGGGAAUGUCGAUGGGAGUGAACUGACUCAAGAUGGGGCCCACAUGUCGGUCGGUCGACCUACCUAAUGACAAGUGGGAUUAGUGUUGUCUUCUAGAAGGAGUCCCAUGUCGGUUGGUGCAAACUAGGUGGCUGGAUGGCCCCAUAGUGGUGUCAGUCGACCCCACUUUGGUAGAACCAAAGGUUCAUCUUCUGCAUGUGACUUCCUGUUGAAAUUCUGAGCACAGUGGUGGUGCUAGGCCCACAAAGGUGGGGUCGGCCGACCCCACUAAUGUGCCCAUCCUUUGCACAUUGUCUCCAUAAGCUCUGAGAUUGAUGAAUGUGAAGUUGGUUUUCUAAUUGGCCAUUCAGGGGUGGUAGUCCAACCUUCAUAUAGAGCUUCUUAACCCUAAAGAGUAGUCGAUGGCACACCUGCAUCCAAAUGAUGACAUAUACAUGUGGAACCAAGUUAUUUGUACCUAAGUCACUAUGUGUUUGGUGAUUUUUUCCAGAAAGAAUGUAUUGUUGAUGGUUUUGAUGGAGUAAAAAUAGGGCUUAUCUACCAUCAAUAGCCAUUCAGAUUAUGUAAUGCUAUAGCUUCUUUUCAACGGUGCAUGAUGUCUAUUUUCUCUAACAUGAUCGAGAAAAUCAUGGAGGUGUUCAUGGAUGACUUGACCUUCUAUGGCACAACCUUUGAUGACUGUUUGGAGAAUCUAGACAAAGUCUUACAAAGAUGCGAAGAAAAGUACUUAGCCCUGAACGGGGGAAAAUGCCAUUUCAUGGUACGGGAAGGAAUAGUGCUAGGACACAAGGUAUCCGAAUGUGGGAUAGAAGUGGAUAGAGCAAAAAUAGAAGUUAUUGAACAACUUCCACCUCCCACAAAUGUGAAAGGAAUCUGAAGCUUUCUAGGCCAUGCGGGGUUCUAUAGGCAUUUUAUCAAAAACUUCUCUCAAAUCACUAGACCCCUCACUAGACUAUUGGCUAAGGAUGGACCUUUCAUCUUUGACAAUGAGUGCUAUGAAUCUUUCCAAACACUCAAACAAGCACUCAUUUCAUCUCCAAUCAUCCAACCACCUGAUUGGAUGCUGCCUUUUGAAACCAUGUGUGAUGCUAGCGACUUUGCUAUUGGUGCCGUUCUUGGCCAAACAAAGGAUAAAAAGCACUAUGCUAUAUCCUAUGCUAGCAAAACCUUAACUGGACCAAAGCUCAAUUAUGCUACCACUAAAAAGAGCUAUUGGUAGUUGUCUUUGCAAUAGAUAAGUUUAGAUCUUACUUACUUGGAGCACAGGUAACCAUUUAUUUAGACCAUGCUGCUCUUAAAUACCUCCUCACUAAGAAAGAUGCUAAACCUCGGUUGAUCCACUACAUUCUUUUACUCCAAGAAUUUGAUAUUGAAAUAAAGAUAAGAAAAGAGUAGAGAAUUUAGUAGCCAAUCACUUGUCUAGGCUCCAGUACAAGGAAACACAUGAGUUACCCAUUAAUGACUAUCUAAGGGAUGACACACUCGUCGCGGUAACACUCUCCAACCCAUGGUACACGGAUAUUGAGAAUUACAUGGUUGCAGGAUAUGUUCCACCAUGAGGAGAUAAGAGGAAGCUCAAAUAGGAAGCUCAAUGCCACUUAUGGGAUGACCCAUAUCUCUAUCAGUUUUUUUCUGAUGGAUUAUUAUGGAGAUGUGUCCCAAUGGUUGAAGCAAUUAAAAUCAUAGAGAGGUGUCAUGCAUCGCCAUAUGGAGGAUAUUAUGGAGCACUCCGUACGCAUGCAAAGAUCUAGCAAAGUGGAUUCUUCUAGCCUACGAUGUGUCAAGAUACAAAGGAGUUUGUUAAAAGAUGUGCUAGAUGUCAAAAACAUGGAAACAUUAAUGCUCGGGAUGCAAUGUCACUUCAGAACAACCUCCAAGUAGAGUUGUUUGAUGUUUGGGGAAUCGACUACAUGGGACCAUUCCAAAGAUCUGGAGAUGCUGAAUUUAUCUUGGUGGCAGUAGACUACGUGUCCAAGUCGGUAGAAGCAUUACCAUGUCGAGCUGUCGACUCCAAGCAUGCUAAGAAGAUGUUCCAUGAAGUAAUAUUUCCAAGAUUCAACAUACCAAGAAUGGUCAUACGUGUUGGAGGAUCACACUUCAUUGAUAAGAGCUUCAAAUAAUUCCUGACAGAAUAUGGAGUCAAGCAUAAUGUUGCAACUCCAUACCAUCCUCAAACCAACGGUCAAGCAGAAACAUCAAAUAAGCAAAUCGAAAACAUUAUGCAGAAGACUAUGGAUGAGAUGGGAAAGAAAUGGAAGUACAAGCUCUAUGAUGCACUAUGGGCAUACCAGACUGCAUACAAAACACCCAUAGGCAUGUCACCUUAUUAGCUUGUAUAUGGAAAAACAUGCCACUUGCCUAUUGAAUUAGAAUUCAAAGCUCAUUGGGCAAUCAAGAACAUGGAUCUCCAUCUAGCCGGCAAGAAUCAGCAGAUGCAAAUAUCUGAGCUGGAAGAAUGGAGAGAAAAGUCUUAUCAUAGCUCCAAGAUAUACAAAGAAAGAACCAAAAGAUGGCAUGACAAGAGAAUAAAGCACAAGGAAUUCAUGCUUGGAGAUAAAGUUAUAUUAUUCAACUCAAGAGUAAAGCUCUUCGGUCAUGGAAAGCAUAGAAGUAAAUGGCAAGGACCAUUCAAAGUGAUUGAUGCUAUAUCUCAUGGUGCCAUCACGAUCCAAGAUGAUACAGGUAACACAUUCAAGGUAAAUGGUCAACGUUUGAAUGUUUUUCUUGACCCGAAAAUAUAGAAGAAAUAGAUGUGAUUGAGUUCUUGCAAUUUAAAGACCCAAUAUAAAUUUCAAAAGGGCUCUAGACAACUAAAACUUUUUGGACUAACGCUUAAUCAUUUCCACAAGCUUUGUUGUCUAUUUGAGUUUACAAGUUUUACAGGAACAAGAAGAGCUAACAGGCAGAAGGACAUCCUCUCCCUUGUCGAAUUGUUGUCCACAUAAGUCAAGUGUUGUUUCUAAUAGCAAGUACCCACUACAAUCUAGGAGGAUUAGUACGCCUUCACUGCCUGUUAGCAAAUUCAGACCAUGUCAACAUCCAGCUUGGAGGAGAGCAUCCCGUGUAUACCGAGAUAAGUAUUCCUCACUCAUCUAUUUAUUCUUAGCGCGUUAUGAUAAGAUAAAACUAAGAAGAUGAAUAACCUUAGAAAAUCAAUAAAUACUUCUUUAUUUAUCUUUCAUAAUUAAUUUUGCAAGCUAAGGAGAUCUCUUAGUGAAUCUGUUAUGAUGAAUAGUUGCUCUGCCGUAAUUCCUUGCAAGUACCUAGUUUUCAACCUUGUACUCUCAUGAGUUUUAGACACAACUGUUUAGACUUAAGAUUUUGCUCUGAGCCUAAAACUUUUGGGUAGCAGAUGCUUGAUCUAAAUCAAGGUAGUCGACAUAUAUGAUAUGGGAAGGUUUUUGAGUUGCUGUCAAUCUUGUUCCUAGAGAUACUAGAGUUCUGGAGAAUUUAAUUUGAAAAUUUUAAUUGCUACAUGAUGAGUUCCUUUAUGACGAGAGUUCAGUAUUCCUACCACAGCCAAAUACUCAUGUUUACUAGAUUAGGAAAGCCUCUCACUUAUAUUUCAUCCUAUAAGCAUUGAGGGUACUUAAGUUGUGUAGACCAUAAGGGACUAGUCAUGUAGUUAAAGUCAAAUAUUAUGUGCUCUCCAUCCAUUAAUCUUAGCUACUUAUGUCCUCAUAAGUAUGAAACCACUUACAUUCACUAUGUGCUACUUCUAUUCCUAGAAGUACCACCCACAUAUACGCACUACACUGUGUGUUGUUUCUAUCCUAGAGACACGCACUUAUGCUGCUCCUAUCCUGGGAGUAUGCAUUCCUUAAUUCACCCUACACAUUCCAUGUCCAUUAAUGUUCUACUCCUACACUAGGAGAAGACACCCAAAAAAUAUUCAUUAUUUCUUAUUCUACUUAUCCAAUAAAGCUUCAGUUACUCCUAUUGAUACUCCCUAUUUCUAUUAGUGCAUUAAAAGGGUUGGCUGAUCUAAAAAAAGAGAGAAAAUGAAAGAAAGAGGACAAAGGUCCCAAAAGAAAAGAAAGAGACAGCCAAGUCCUUAUUUUUAGAAUAGAGAGGUAUGUUAUUGCCAAGGAGCAAUUACAGAAUUAGAUGUUCACCAUCAGUCAUCACCCCUCAUAACCACUUUUGUUAUUAUCAUUCAUUGCACUCAGAUGCACACAUGACUUAAUUGUGUAAUUAGUUUCUAUGGAUCCAUGGUUUAACUAUGCAAUACAUGCAAGUAGCCUUGAAUUAUCUCUCCCACCUAUGAGCUCCACAUAAACCUAUUAGAAGUAGGGUGAGAGAGAGAGAAGGCAAUGCCUUAGUCAUAUAAAUACCACAUAUUCUGAGAGAAGAGAGAAGUCAUGCUUUACACUUGCCUUGAGAGGAUCCAAAAAUAGCACAUAUGAGAGACUAGAAAGGGUCAUACAAGGAAUCUCUGAGUUUAUUUGAAACCUUACAAAAACUACAGAAUAAUAGUUGAUCAAAGGGCGAGAAACAUAGCGCUCAACUUAACAGUUUUGUCUUUCAACUGCUCAAGACCUAAGUGACACCUAUAAGCCUAAUAGUGAAAGGUAAUAUGGGUAUGUUUUGAGUCAGAAUAGUUCACUCUAAUCUGGAGGAGAGUCCUUUUUUGAACGCAUGUGUAUUUGUGAGGCAUGCAAGCAUUAUAGCAACUAUAGAUCCAUCACUGAGUCUACCUUUCUUCAGGGACGAGUAAAAGGUAAGCUUGGGAGAGUUUGUUGAUAGUAGAUAAGUACUCUUUUUAACCAUCAACAUAGCAUGAGAAAGGACUUAAAUUAGAAUACUAUCUAGCUAUAGGGGUUAUCACUAACAUAAUUCCACAAGUUUAGGUGAUUACCUAUUUUUGCAGGGGAUUAUCAGAAUAGAAACAAAAGGAGGUCCACAUGUCAGAUUUACAUAGAGAGAAUACCACGAACUUCAACUCUAGAGUAAUCUAGAAGGUUCCAGGAGGCUCUAGACCAAACGGGAGCUCGAAUCGGCUCGAUGGCCGGGCGGGCGCCCCACCUGUCAGGGGCGGCGGCCUGGAGAUCUCCACCAAUCACAGCCAACCUCGCAGAUCCUGCCUCCACCGCCUUUGAGGAGUAAUCUUGAGCGCACGUUUAAGUUGGUUUGAUCCAAGGGUUGUGGUGCUUCCUAGGGAGCUAUAAAUACAACCUUGACCCCCUGGAGGCAUCUCCUUCAUUAGCUACAUCUACAACAGAAAUUAGGGUUUCAUCUAGUAGAGAAGUAGAGGUUCCUCUAAUUCAUCUAGUUCUAGUUCUAGUUCAUCUAGUUCUAGUUCUAGUUGUCUAGUUGUAUCUAGAAAAUAGGGAGAGAGGAGGAGAGAGCUAAGGAGGAGCAAAAUUUGUCGGAUCUUCCUCAACAUUGUCCUUUUGCAGCAUCUGGCUCAUCGCUCAGCAAUCUUUAGGUUCUUUAAUUAUUUCUAGGUUUAGUUCUUAUUUAAUUCUUACUUUAUUAUACUUACUAGAUAUCCGCUCGUAUUGAAUGCUCUAGUUAUCCUAGGUAAUUAGAGUAGUAAGCGCUAGUGUAGACAUGGUGUCUAGACUAGUGUUUACCUGAGUUUGCGCCCAAUCCCACGGUUAGUUGUAGUAGCCCCAUGGGUGACAACCCUGUCAAGUCUUUGUAUUCCACCACAUUCAGGUUGGUGUUUCAUAGAGCUUUUUGGCAGCCUUCUCCCGACUACUUUCUUCCUAGUCUUUUUUGAGAGUCAAAAAGGUACUACUGCUCCACGGUAAGUAUAGUAUAGUAAGCCUAAUCUUUAUCACCCAAUCAACUUAGAAAACUCUAGAAUGUUCCUCUCUACCCACCAAAAAUAUAUAUAUCUUUCUUAUCUUUAUCCUUAGACGACCUUGAUUCUCUAGUACACUUCACGUUCCUUGUGGAAAUCGACACUCUAGAAUACUCUCGGUUGAAAGCUACAUCGGUAUCCGUGUGCUUGGGGAUUUGUGUUUAAAAUACCCAACAGCAAGCCAUAUCCUUCUCCAGUUUAAAGACUGAUUGUUAAGGAAUCUUUUGUGUAUCUCAAUAUAUGGAGUAUAAAAUGGGAAAGGACAAUUGUAUAUUUCUAGUGUAGAAAUAGCAUGGGGCUAGAAAUGGGAUAUAUGGAUGCUUUUGCAAAUUUCCAUGUUACAGAAUAAGCAAUAAUUUUGGUGGUUGCAAACUUCCAGAAUGGAUGGUAGGCAAUAGUGAUAGGUGUAAGUGGGAUCUUGAUCAAAAAGGCAUGACAAGUUUCUCUACUUAGAUCAAUAAGGUCUAAUAAAACUCACACUAACAAGAGAUUUUUAUGGUGGCUUCCUAUCUAAUGGAUGUGUAUAUCUUGCUAAUGGUAGGAUAGGGAAAAACACCAUAAAGGAACUUUGGUAGGAUUUGUGAUUUUCUUUAAAAAAACUCUAGACCUUAUCUUAACUCUUCUUCAAAAAAGUCAUAAGAUUUACUCUAACUCUACUACACCUAAUCUUACUAAGCAUAACUAAGAUCAAGCAUAUGCAACCCACAAAACUUAGAUUUAUAGCGAACUUUAUUCACUACAAGACUAUAGUGGUAGGAAUUGCAUAGCAGACUUGUGCAUCGUUUUUUAGAGCAAUGAUUCAUUAUUUCCAACAUAUUAACAUGGGUUCAAUAGGAAUUGAAAUAGGAUUACUUUUCCGGUUAAGCAUAAUAAAUGGCUAUAUAAUCAAGCUAACCAUGUCCUUAGUAGGAUAGAACAAUGAAUGUAAUGGUAGAAAAGUAAAGGAGCAAUAAUAAGAACGUACCUUAGUGGGGAGAUGACAUCACCCAAGGUAGCUUGUUGCUGGGUGUAGAGCUUAUUCUCUUAGACUAAUAACCUUUUUUUAUUUAUCCAAAAAAAGAAAAACCUAACUACUACUUCAUGAUAUAGCUUAAGGCUAUUCAUAUUUUAUUUAAAGUGAAAAUAUAAAUGAGAUAACAUAAAGUCCUUUCAUGAUUGUUUCAAGGACCUUUUAUUAUUAUUGUUUUAUUUAUUUUGUUAUUAUUUAUUUUUAGUUCUUUAUUUCUCUAUUUUUCUUUUUUUAAAUUGCAUGCUUAAAUUUUUAUUUUGUUUUUAUAAUUUUUAUAUGCAGAUUUAAAAUGAUCCUAAUUCUAAAUGUAAUGAAAGGAUAGACCUAAUCUAAAUGCAAUGCAUGAUUUAAAAGAUAAACUUAGAUGCGAAUUGUAAAUGCAGAAUUAAAUGCAGAGAGAGUAAAACAUAGCUUAAAACCACUAGGGUUCUUCCUAAGCCGGAAGUUCGUCUUUUGGCGGCUUUUUCUUGAGGGGAUCUUCUUCUUCUUCCUCUUUCGACAUGGCCUCCCCCUUGUCAGGAGUCACACAAGAGGCAGUUGAUGAGGGUUCCUUCUUCUUAUGCCAUCCUCUUCUCCUUGAUAUUGGGUUCUUGAAUUUAGCCAUUUUCUUAUUGGUACAUGGUUUCCUCAAGUUUCUUGCUUCUUUUUCAUCGGGUUGCUUUGCCUGCAAGUUAGUGGCAUACUGAAAGCCCUAGUUUGGUUUUGGAUAAUUGAUGAAACCCUAGUACUAACCUCUAUGCUAAGUGUGUGUAGACUUAAUGAGGUUGGCACAUGCCAAGUGAUGGAGCAAGUGAUGAUCAUGGUGAUGAUGGUGAUGACCACAAGGUGAUCAAGUGCUCAACUUGGAAAAGAAGAAAGAGAAAAAGAAAACCCUAUGGAGAUCAAGGCGAAGGUAUUGCUUAGGGUUUUGGUUUUGGUGAUCAAGACACCAUAGAGGGUGUGAUCAUGUUUAGGAUAGAUAGUCGUACUAUAAAGAGGGGAAUUCUUUGGCUAAGCGGUUAUCAAGUGCCACUAGGUGUCAUUAUUCAUGUGCAUGCAUUUAGAACCUAGUGAGCUAACUUAACUCCUUCGAAGAAAAUGGUUGUGAAAAUGCUAACACACGUGCACAUGUUGGUUUACACUUUGUGGUGUUGGCACACUUUGAGAAGGAGGUGGAGUUUGAAGGGUAGAGACAAGUUCAGCGGGCGGCGCUUUUUGAGAAAAUGAAGUGCAUAUUUUCUAUUGCGAAGGUGGGAAAUUUGGAGAAGUCGUGGGUGUGUUUCUCGCUGAGAAACACUCACCGGACGCUUUCCACUAAGGCACCGGACGCUGCGUCUGAGCGUCCGGUGCAGACAGUGCCUGGCCUAGUUAGGGUAAGGCACCGGAUGAUAGGCAUCGGAUGCUGGCUUGAGCGUCCGGUGGUGCACGUCCGGUGUGCGGGCAUUUUGCGACCCUCUCUGCGCAUGGGUCCGGUGAACACCGGACGCUAAGGGUGCGUCCGGUGGCUUGCAUCCGGUGACCCUGCGAGUUUGCGGAGCUCUCUGCGAAAGAGUCCGGUGUGCACCGGACGCGUCCGGUGCCAACUUGCUCAGCGUCCGGUGCUCUGCAGGUUACCGUUAGACUCUGACACGCGGCUGACGUUGGAGCACCGGACGCUGGUGUUGAGCGUCCGAUGCCCCUUUAAGAGCGUCCGGUGACCCCGUGUUUUGCCCAGUGAAAGAGCCAACGGCUCUAUUUGUUUGAGGGGCUAUAAAUCUGUGUUUGGCCGGCUUGAGGCUAAUACUCUUGGCAUUCUAACAUACUUGACAUCUUUGUGAGCCUAAGCAAACACCUCCCACUCAUCUCCUUCAUAGUUUAAACAUCUUUGUGAGAUUGGGAGUGAUUCCAAGUGCAUUUGCUUGAGUGAUUGCAUCUAGUGGCACUUGGGGAUCGUUUUAGCUGCGGUUUUCUUGUUACUCUUGGUGGUUGCCGCCACCUAGACGGCUUGGAGCAGUGGAGGAGCAUUGGCACGAGUAGGUGAUUGUUCGUGGCCAUCUCCCGGUGAUUGUGAGGGGUCCUGUACCUUCCCCGGCGGAGAGCCAAAAGGUAACUCUAGUGGAUUGCUCGUGUCAUUGAGUUACCUCACUUGUGGGUAGGUUCUUGUGGCAUUCUAGUGAGGACGAGGUUCGUGCUACACCUCUUAGCCACCGAACCACCAAGUGUAGGUCGACACAACGGGGACGUAGCGUGCCGGCAAGCACGUGAACCUCGGGAGAAAAAACUUGUGUCCCAUUGUGUUUGUUGAUUGGAUUUCUCCCGGUGAUUGGACUUCAUAAUAUUGUGAUUGGUUCAUCCCCUCUACUCGGUGGUAUAAAGUUCAAACACUCUCUCUUACUUUCUUGCAAUCUAGAGUAGCUUACUUCUUGUAUAGAAACUUUAGGUAGCUCUCUAGUGUAAGUAGAGACUUAGCUCUUGUGUGCAUAGUGAUCAUAGCAACUAGAAUUGUUGGGUAGGUGGCUUGCAAACACCCCUUUAGAGCUAGAGCAAAAAGCUUCACUUUGUUAUUUACUAACCUCUUGCUCUAGUGUUUUUGUAGAAUUUUUAAAUAGGCUAUUUACCCCCCUCUAGCCAUAUUAGGACCUUUCAAGUGGUAUCGGAGCCGUGGUCACCGUUUGUGAAGGCUUAACAAACUCGGUGCUCAAAUUAUGGCUCAAAUAGUGUUCAACCAUGUUGGGGGCACACCACCAUUCUUUGAUGGCACAAGUUCCUUUGACUAUUGGAAGAGAAAAAUGAAGAUGUACCUUGGAUCAAUCAAUGAUAGAGUGUGGGAAGUCACGGAGAAUGACUUUGUGAUCCUUGACCCCGCCAACCCCACCGACAAUGAGAGAGCAAACAAGCAAUGCAAUACAAUGACUCUCAACACAAUCUAUAAUGGCAUUGACUCAAAGGUAUUUGAACAAGUCAAAGAUCUUGAGAGAGCAAGUGAAGUGUGGACAAGGCUAGAAGAAACAUAUGAGGGCACUACAACGGUAAAAAGUGCCAAAUUGUAUAUGCUCAAGGAUAAGCUAUCCAACUUCAAGAUGAAGGAUGAUGAGUCUAUACCGGAGAUGUUCUAUAGGCUCCAAGUCAUCAUCAAUGAUCUCAAGGGCCUUGGUGAGAAAGUGAAGGAUGAGGACUUCAUUCACAAGUUCUUGAUGUGCUUGCCCAAGAGGUUCAAGACAUUAAGAACAAUCAUCUUUAGAGGUGGAUUGACCGGUGUAUCUCCCAAUGAGGUACUUGGAGAUGUCAUGACCGAAGAUCAAUACAAUGACAAUGAUGAUGAUGAGGUCAUGAAGAAGGAUGAUGAUGACAAGGAGAAGAAGAGUGUAGCAUUCAAAGCUAGCUCUUCAUCCAAGAGCAAGAACAAGGGCAAGGCUAAGAAAGAAGAAUCAAGUGAUGAGGAGUGCUCCAAUGAUGACAGUGAUGACGAAGCACUAGCACUCUUUGUCCGCAAGUUUGGCAAGAUGAUGAAGAAGAAGGGUGGAUCCUAUGUUGUGACAUGGGAUAGUGAUGCCUCUUCGGCUGAUGAUUCAAGCGAUGAUGACAAGUCAUCUAAGAAGAAGGCACUUGCAAGCAUUGCUAUCAACAAUCCAUCACUCUUCAACACUCCUUCAUGCUUCAUGGCCAAGGGCCACAAGGUACAAUAUGAUGAGAGUGAAAGUGAAAGUGAAAAUGAACAUGAUAGUGAUAGUGAUGAUGAAAAUGAAUUCACUAAUGAGCAAUUCAUGGACAGGCUAGAACAAGCCGAUUCACUUAUUCAAUCUAAAAACAAGAAGUGCAAAGAAUUGGCCAAGAAGUUAAAAGCUCUUGAGCAAUCCUUUGAUGAGCUCAAUGCUAAUCAUGAGAGGCUAGUGGAAGCCCAUGAGAAGCUUGGCAAGGCUCACACCAAGCUUGAAAAAGCUCACUCCUUGUUAUUAGAAGAGAACUAGGAAAAGGUUGUUGUAUCAUGUGAUGUGGGCACAACAUGUGACUUAACUAAAGAAUCACCUAACGCACCUAUUGUUGUUGCCACUAACUCUUCAUGUAGGUCUUCAUCCACCACCACCAACUCUACCUCUACUUCUAGUGUUAGUGUCACUUGUGAUACCUCACUAAAGGUUGAGAAUGAGACUCUCAAGAGAGAGGUGGAUGAGCUCACUCACGCCUUAGGCAAGGCCUAUGGUGGUGAGGCCCGCUUGCUAAAGUGCUUGGGUAGCCAAAGGUUUUCUCUCAAUAAGGAGGGAUUAGGCUAUACCCCCAAGAAGGGCAAGAAAGCCUAUGCAACUCACAAGAUUAGCUUUGUGAAGAGCAAUGGUCGGUAUUGCAACAAAUGCAAGCAAGUUGGGCACCUAGAGCUUAAUUGCAACAAAAUGAACAAGAACAAGAAAAAUGCUAAUGCACCUUACAUUCCUUCUGAUUCUUGUUAUGUGCUUACCAAGGGUGAGAAGGGUGUGCAUGCUAAGUUUGUUGGUACACCAAUUGUGGGUCCAAAGAAGAAGGCUAUUUGGGUACCAAAAAGCUUAGUCUCUAACCUCCAAGGACCCAAACAAGUAUGGCUACCUAAGAAACAUUGAUUUGUUUUGUAGGUAAACUAUAAAGCCGGAGGAAGGCAUUGGGUGCUUGAUAGUGGGUGCACACAACACAUGACCGGUGAUUCAAGAAUGUUCAAUUCAAUCAAUCCAAAUGAUGACAAUGGUGUUGAUAGUAUCACAUUUGGUGACAAUGGCAAAGGCAAGGUCAAAGGGCUUGGUAAAAUUGCUAUAUCCAAUGAUUUGAGCAUUUCCAAUGUGCUACUAGUAGAGAGCUUGAACUUCAACUUACUAUCCGUGGCUCAACUUUGUGAUCUUGGUUUCAAAUGCAUAUUUGGAGUUGAUGAUGUAGAGAUCAUAAGUGUAGAUGGAUCAAACUUGAUAUUCAAAGGCUUUAGAUAUGAGAAUCUAUACUUGGUUGAUUUCAAUGCUAGUGAAGCUCAAUUGUCAACAUGCUUGCUCACUAAAUCUAGCAUGGGUUGGUUAUGGCAUAGAAGGCUUGGUCAUGUUGGAAUGAAACAAUUAAACAAGUUAGUCAAACAUGAUCUUGUUAGAGGCUUAAAAGAUGUCACGUUUGAGAAAGACAAGCUUUGUAGUGCAUGUCAAGCCGGAAAGCAAGUUGGGAACACUCAUCCAAAGAAGAGCAUCAUGAGUACAUGCAAGGCAUUUGAGUUGUUGCACAUGGAUCUAUUUGGACCAACCACAUACACAAGCAUUGGUGGAAACAAAUAUGGAUUUGUGAUAGUGGAUGAUUUCACAAGAUAUACAUGGGUAUUCUUUCUUAGUGACAAGAGUGAUGCUUUUGCAACCUUCAAAUCAUUUGUCAAGAGAGUACACAAUGAGUUUGAAACAACCAUCAAGAAAGUGAGAAGUGACAAUGGAAGUGAAUUCAAGAAUACAAGAGUUGAUGCUUUUGCAACCUUCAUCCAAGUAUUUGGUGACAAUCUAGAUUGAUGAGCUUUGUGAUGAUAAGCAUUUGGUGGAAACAAAUAUGGAAGUGAAUUCAACAAUACUAGAGUUGAUGAGCUUUGUGAUGAAUUUGGCAUUAGGCAUAAAUUCUCGGCCAAGUACACUCCACAAUCAAGUGGUCUUGUUGAGAGGAAGAAUAGAACAUUGAUUGACAUGGCAAGAUCAAUGUUGAGUGAAUACAAUGUGAGUCAUUCUUUUUGGGCCGAAGCAAUCAACACGGAUUGCUACUAUAGCAACCGACUCUAUUGUCACCCAAUGAUGGAGAAGACACCAUAUGAGCUCUUGAAUGGUAGAAAGCCCAAUAUUGCAUACUUUUGGGUUUUUGGUUACAAAUGCUACAUAUUGAAGAAAGGCACUAGAUUGAGUAAAUUUGAAAAGAAUUGUGAUGAAGGCUUCUUGCUUGGUUACUCCACUACUAGAAAAGCUUAUAGAGUUUGGAAUUUGGCUAGUGGUACUCUUGAAGAGGUGCAUGAUGUUGAGUUUGAUGAAACCAAUGGCUCUCAAGAGGAAGAUGAGAAUCAAGAUGAUGUGAGAGGCACUCCAUUGGCCGAUGCAAUGAAGAAUAUCGACAUUGGUGAUUUAAGGCCUAGAGAAGUGAUUGAUGUUGAAGAUGACAAAGAUCAAGUGCUUCCUACCUCUAAUGUGCAAGCUAGUGGUUCUCAUGAUCAAAAUCAAGCUAGUACAAGUGGUACACAAGUGCAAGAUCAACAAGCUAGUACAUCAUCUCAUGAUCAACCAAGUGCAAGCAAUCAAGUGCAAAUACUCCAACCAACAAAUAUUGCAAGAGAUCAUCCAUUGGAUCAUAUCAUAGGUGAUAUUCAAAGAGGAGUGCAAACUAGAUCAAGAUUAGCAUCAUUUUGUGAGCAUUUCUCCUUUGUGUCUCACAUUGAGCCAAAGAAGAUUGAUGAAGCAUUGAGAGAUGUUGAUUGGGUAAAUGCUAUGCAUGAAGAGCUUAACAACUUCAAAAGAAAUCAAGUAUGGGAAUUGGUUGAGAGGCCUAGUAAUCAUAAUGUCAUUGGUACUAGAUGGGUCUUUCGCAACAAGCAAGAUCAAGAUGGGAUAGUUGUAAGGAACAAAGCAAGAUUGGUAGCACAAGGCUAUACUCAAGAUGAAGGUCUUGACUUUGGUGAAACAUAUGCCCCGCUUGCAAGAUUGGAAGCAAUUAGGAUCUUGUUGGCCUAUGCUUGUGCACACAAUAUCAAGUUAUAUCAAAUGGAUGUGAAGAGUGCAUUUCUCAAUGGCUAUAUCAAUGAAGAAGUUUAUGUUGAGCAACCUCCCGGUUUCGAAGAUGACAAAAAAACCAAACUUGUUUGUGUUGCAAAUAUAUGUUGAUGAUAUCAUUUUUGGAUCAACCAACCAUGAAUUUUGUGAAGAGUUUGGCAACAUGAUGGCUAAUGAGUUUGAGAUGUCAAUGAUUGGAGAGCUUAGCUACUUCCUUGGUCUUCAAAUCAAGCAAUUGAAGAAUGGCACAUUUGUGAGUCAAGGCAAGUACAUAAAAGACAUGCUCAAGAAGUUUGGAAUGGAUGAUGCAAAGGCAAUUAGCACUCCAAUGGGAACAAAUGGAAGCCUAGAUAGUGAUACAAGUGGAAAUAUGGUGGAUCAAAAGUUGUAUCGGUCUAUGAUUGGAAGCCUAUUCUAAGUGACCGUAUCAAGACCGGAUGUCAUGUUUAGUGUAUGCAUGUGUGCAAGAUUCCAAGCCUCACCAAGAGAAAGUCAUUUGAAAGCAACAAAGAGUAUAUUGAGGUACUUGAAGCAUACACAAAAUGUUGGUUUGUGGUAUCCCAAAGGUGCAAAAUUUGAACUUGUUGGAUAUUUCGAUUCGGACUAUGCGGGAUGCGAAGUUGAAAGAAGAAGCACAUCGGGCACAUGUCAACUAUUGGGUAGAUCACUUGUCUCAUGGUCAUCCAAGAAGCAAAAUAGUGUUGCACUAUCAACCGCCGAAGCGGAGUACAUUGCGGCCGGUAGUUGUUGUGCACAAAUCCAAUGGAUGAAGGCAACUUUGAAGGACUUUGGAAUCAACUUCAAGCAAGUGCCAUUGCUAUAUGAUAAUGAAAGUGCCGUGAAGCUCACCAAUGUUGGGAAUUUUAAACGCAAACAAAAAAAUCCGCAAGCGCACGGAUACCGAUGUAGCUUUCACCCGGGAGUAUUCCAGAGUAUCGAUUUUCCACAAGGAACGUGAGUGUACUAAUUAAGAUCCAAGAUCGCCCAGGGAUAACUAUAUGAUUAUUUUUGGUGGGAAGAGAGAAAGUUUUCUGAGAGUUCUCUAGUUGAUCUAAGAAUCAAGAAUUACUUCAAGAUUAUCUAUUUCGGGACAUCAGAACACUAACCACAGAAAGAGAUGAGAAGGGGGCUACGAAGCUCCGACUACGGUCCUACAAACACCGAUCCGAACGAGGUGGAAUACGUCGACCGUUAGGGCUGUCACUACCCUAAGGCUACCACAACAAUCCACAGGAUUGGGUGCAAUUCCAGGUAACUGCAAGACUAAACACCACGUCUAUUCUAUUAAUUACUACUCUAAUGUUUCAAAGAUUGGAGCACUUCAUGCAAGCGGGAAUCCAAUAAAUAACUUGAAUGUAAAUAAAAGUAAUUAGAGAACUCAGGAGUUAUGAAUGGAAGAACCUGGAGAACGAUGAAGAACGAACCAGAUGCUGCAAAAGUACAAAUAUUGAGGAAGAUCCGAUAGAUCCGGCUCCUCCUCCGCUCUCCUCUUCUCUCUCCCUAUUUUCUAGAUUACAACUAGAACUAACUAGAACUAGAACUAGAGGAACUAGAACUAGAACUAGAUGAACUAGAACUAGAUCUAGAUGAACUAGAGGUAGAACUAGAAGAACUAGAGGGAUCCUCUCUACUUGGAUGAAGAAUUGAAACCCUAACUUUGAUUCUGUAGAAGAGGUAUGAUCUCCAGGGGCCAGGGGGUCUGGUUAUAUAGUCUUUUCAGAUGAAUCUGGGCCGUCGGAUCAAACCGACAUUGAUCGCACGGUUUUCCUUCAUCCUUUAGGUCGGUGGAGCAUAAUCCGCGAAACGUGUCGUGAUUGGGCACUGUAGCUGGGCGGGCACCUAGGAGAGUUGGGCGGGCGCCCUGCCUCCGAGCCCGAUUUCGUUCCCGUUCGUUCCGGAGUAUUCUAGAUGAUAGAAAAUUGCGCGACAUGUUAAUAUCUCUAUGUAAACCCAACGUGUGGGCCUUUCUUCCGUAUUUCCUGAUAACCCCCUGCAGAAAUAGACAAACACCAAAACUUGUGGAAUUCUGUCAGAUAAAACCCUAAGUCUAGGUGUUGGUUGCAUUUGGAUCCUUUUCUAUGAUUAGUUGAUGGUUAAUUGUGAGCAUUAAGGACCGUCAACAAGCUCCCCCAAGCUUAAUCCUUGCUUGUCCCUGAGCAAAGAUGGACUCAAGAGUUUCUGCAGUGGUUUCAUGCCUUAAAGAUACAAAUGCAUUCAAACAAGAUAUCAUCUCUGGGUUAGAGUAAACUGUUAAGACUUAAAACUUACUCAUAUUACCUUUCACCAUGGGGUUUGUAACCGUCACUUCUGUCUUGAGUAGUUAAAAGAUAGAACGGUCUAAUCAAACGCUAUGUCUCUUGUUCUUUGAUUAACUAUAGCUCUGGAGUUUUUGUAGAUUUUCAAAUAAAACUUAGAGAUUCCUUGUAUGACUCUCUCUAGUCUCUCUUUUGUAGUAUUUCUGGAUCCUUACCAAGGCAGUGAUGGUAUAUGCCUUCUCUCAAAGUAUGUGGUAUUUGCAGUAUGAAGUAUAGUGGCAUUGCCUUCUCUCUCACCCUACUCUAAUAAGGUUUUGAUAUCUGGAGCUCAUAGGUGGGAGAUAGCUAAUACAUACUUACAAGACAUUUAUUGCAUAGUCAAACCAUGGAUCCAGAAGAACAAGUCAAUAAGUCAAAUCAAGAUGUGCAUGUGUGGCGAAUGAAUGGUGUAUGGUGAUGAUGGUGACAACAAUGGUGAAAGUCUAAUUCUACUUGUGCUCUUUUGAGGGGAUACAUACCUUUCUUGCUCUUUUGGAACUUUUUGAGGAGAAUGAGAUGCUCUAUAUUUUCUUUUUCUUUUCUCUCAGGUGGGUAUUUUGUAUCCCUAAUUCUACUGUCGGACACUUGUCCAUUUUUACCUCUCGUCUCACUUUUUCUUUUCUUUUGAGGUUUCGGGCACUUGCCCCUUUUUAUUUCCUCGUAUCUCUUUUUUUCUUUCUUUUUUUAGAGCACUCAUCUCCUGAAAUAAUAUAGCAAGUGGUAGUAACCAAGAUAACUUGAGCAUUCAUUUCAAAGGGGAAAACAGAAAUAGGAGAAUGUUUUUAGCUAUUCUCUCCCGGAUUAGGAGUAGAAUAUUUUUGGAUGGUUUUGGAGAUGGAAAUGAGUGGAUGUGCAAGUGAAUCUUGAUUUAACCACAUGACAAGCUCCUAAGGGUCUACACAGCUUGACCACACUCAAUGCUCAUAAGCAGUAAAAAGUAAAUGUGUGGCUCAAAGUCUAGCAAGCAUGUAUAUAUGGCUGUGGUAGGAAUUUAAACUCUCAUCAUACAGGAACUCAUCAUGCAACAUUUUAAAGAUUUUUCAAAGAUAAAAUUCUCCAGAAUUCUAGCAUCUCUAGGAAUAGAUAAACAGCAGCUCAACCUUCCCAUCUCAUAUCCGUUAACGACUUAGACUUUAGAUCAAGUACUCUUCCCACAAGUUCAGGUUUAGAGCAAAUCUUAAUUAAUAACAGUCAUGCCUAAACUUGAGAGAGAUUUUAAUUUUGAGAACUAGUCAUGGCAGAGCAACUAUUCAUUAUUUCCAUGUGAGAGCUUAUCAUGAGGGUUCAUAGCAAACUUUAUUUAUUUAUUUAUUUAGCAAUCUAAGCAAAGAUAUAUAUAUAUAUAUAAGCACAAAAUCUUUAUUUGGGUUUUUAUGAUUAUGCAUCUUUUAUUAUUUGAGUAAAGUAUAAAGAUGAGUAGAACACUUAGCUGGAUAAAUGGGAGUGCUCUCCCCCAAGCUGGAUUUUGACGUAAUUCCUUGUGAUGUAGCUAGCAGGUAGCGGAGAUGUAUUUGAAUGUCGGCAGCACCCUGACAGCGAUUAGGAUGUCCUCUGUCUGCUAGUCUUCUUUGAUCCUUGAAUUCUGUGGAGCUCAAAUAGACAACAAAGCUUUGUGGAACUGGUUAAGUGUUAGCAUAAGUAUCUAGCCUUUAUCAUGUUGAGCCUCCUCAAUAAAUGUUACUCUCUUUAGUAGGAUCAUAAAUUUAUGUUUAUAAUUUUAUUUUUAUAGGAUAGGAAUAUAUUUAUUUUAUUUUUUUAUGCCACCACAGUGAAUGUACUUAUGGGUUUUAUGCCAUGAGCAUACUCACAUGGGGCUUACUAUUUUAAACAUUUUUAUUUUCUUUUCAAGAUGAUGUGAACCUGAUUAACUAAGCAAACUAUUUUAAAUAAUUGAAAGGAGAAAGAUAACUACCAAGUUUACCACUUGGCAAGGCGUUCGGUGUUUUUAAGUCCGGGACUCUCUGUUUUCUCAGUCGUCCUGGGCUUCGUUGGAUGGCGUAGUCGGUGGUUCCGGUGGCGCUUCUUCUUCAUGUAUAACUAUCUUCUCUUUCCACACCUGACUCGGUACUACGAUCUCCUCAGGACAGUUCUAUUCAAGCUAUAUGGCUUCAGACCUCACUACUUUUCCUUUGUAGUCUGCCCAUCCGUCCUUGAUGAUUUUACCUUCUCUGGUUGCGGUUGCGUCGUCUCCUUCUUGUCCUGACCUGCUUAGAGUCUUCAACUAUAUAGUUUGGGUCAGUACAAUAGCGGCGUACCUUCUCAGAGGGGAAGUGCAUGUGGACUUCUCCGGUUCCAAUGUAAAUGAUUGCUUUAACAGUGUUGAGGAACGGUCUUCCAAGGAUGAUGGGUGGAUUGUACUCAUCUUCAACCUUUCGGAAUGUCUAAUCUGCCAUCUAGAGCUGAAUGUAUGUCGGUUUUAGGGGCAUGGUUCCGAACCGGAGCUGAUAAGUGACUGCGGCCAUUAUGUUGACGUUAGAUCCGGUGUCGUAGAGUGUCUUCUAAAAAGAGUAUCCGGUGAUUGUGCACUCGAUGCUUGGAACACCAGAGUUGUCCUUCUUGAUCAAGAAAGGCGACUUGAGUUGACGAUCUUGACCUCCUUGAGCUGCAGUGACCAUCUUAGCUGACUCGGUCCACACUUGCUUGUUCCUGUUCCUACUGUUGGUCCUCUUCCUAGGUUCAUGUCUGGAUUGCUCUGAGAUUUGUGUAGUCUUAUUCUUGAAGGUAAACGUCUCCGUCCUUCCCAUGAUGUAGAAACUGAUCUUGGCAGCACUAGCGUAGAUGACAACUCCCGAGGUGUUCAGGAAUGGCCUUCCUAGUAUGAUGGGUGCCCUCUGAUCAGUAUCAGUCUCUAUCACCACGAAGUCUGCUGGAGCGUAUAAGGUACCAACUCGGACGUACAGGUUCUUCAAUAUUCCCUUUGGGAAACUUAGUGUCUGAUCUGCAAGCUACAAACACGUGGUUGUUUCUAGGAAAGGACGUGUAAAGAAUUUUUCGUAGAGUACCCUGAGCAUAAUGUUGACGCUGGAGCCAAAGUUGCAGAGUGCUUCUAGGAAGUCCACCAUGCCGAUGG
RNAcentral lists this long non-coding RNA (104628 nucleotides) under Sorghum bicolor (sorghum). RNAcentral describes it as "long non-coding RNA (SBIC_LNC012173)". The stretch from base 26074 to 26180 matches the Rfam family "Plant small nucleolar RNA R71". The record is from RNAcentral. Lineage: Eukaryota; Viridiplantae; Streptophyta; Magnoliopsida; Poales; Poaceae.